CAUGAAGUAGCGCAGCGCCUGGCAUCGGCACUGCUGCGGAAUGUUUGCAAGCUGCUCACAGCACUCCUGCUUGGCGAGGUACGGCGGCCCGGGCAUUUCGAUACGACAUGCUUGUUCUUCCACAUAGUUACGGCAGCUUGGGAGUGGAGUGAUCAGAGUACUCGUCCAUGGGGUGCAAUCUUCAUUGCCGACGGCGGCAACGGCGGCAAAGAUGAAGACUAGGAGGGCCGCGAAGAGGAGAUUGUAGUUGGACUUGGACGCCAUAUUUUUGGAUGGAGGCCAAGUUCGUUGGUGUGGUUUUUUCUUUUGCACUGCACUGGUGGGUGUAUGCUGCACGUACCACACUUGCAUGGAUAUAUACCCCGUGAAAAGUAAGAAAGGCAGUGCUGGUAGCAAUUAACUAAAUUUGUUGUGUUACAUAACGACGAUGGUGAACUAGAGUGCACUUAACUAAUUAGUUGGAACUGAAUUUGGAGGGGAAUGCAAGCUGGCUAUAGCGUGGGAAGCCGUGAGAGAUCCAUAGCCGCUAGAGCCUGCCUUUUGUGGUCAUGGUUGAUGUGGCAUUCUUUUCUUCUGUUGUCAAGUUGUCAUCAGUACUUGAAAGUGGAGCACCAAUUAAGCUAGCUAGUUUAUGCGUGGGAGUGUUGCUAAACCCAACAACGGACUUUGUUUUUGCAUCCUGUGAUAGAGCAAACAUGUGACGGCAGUGUGGGUGAGCAAAUUUGCAAAGCAUUGUUUUUGGAAUUAAUAGCAAAUCAAAGGUCUGCACAGAUAGACGGCUAUGACUCAAAACCUUUUUUCUUUUUGAAAAGGAGGAUACCCCUGGCCUCUCUGCCUCUGCAUCAUUAUGAUGCACACAAACCAUAUUUAUUAAACAAUGAGCAUCACGGUCUGGAUAUCAAAUAAACAAAAAGAAGCCACAACCCCUGAAAAUAGGAAUAUAUGCCUACACACAUAGCCUAUUAUUGAAACGUCGUCCAAACCGGUUUUAAUUAACCCGAGCAACUGCCUCCCACCGCUUGCGCCCAAUACUCAUAACCAUGCUGCAAUAAAGACAUGUACAGAUCCAUGUUGCAGCCCUGAAAAUGAUUUGCAAAAAGUUUUGUGCUUUGACUCUGUUAAACACAGUCAUCCCGGUAGUUCCAUAAAGCCCAAGGAAAAUCAUAAACUUCCGCCCGGAUAUGUGGCUUAACUUUAGGAUUAACCCCACCCAACAAGUUUCUGAACAAGUUUGUUAUACUAGUAGGUAGAGGGAUGCUAAUAGUCACAUGAAUCGUUUGUCAUAGCAAGGUGGCAAACGGGCAGGAAAUAAACAUAUGAUGAAUUGUUUCAUCCUUAUCACAAAAACAACAUCGUUAUGGCAAACCUUGUUUACAAAACAAACUAUCCAACUAUGUGAUUUCAGUUUCAGGCCAAUAACAGCCCCCGGACAUAGGCGCAUAGUACAAUGCGUUUGAUAUAGGAUAUUCAAAAAAAAAGAACGUAAGAUGAUUUUUAGAAUGUACUGUAAUACACACUAAACUCUAAAGACAAUACAUAUGCAUUGUUUACUAUGAUAAAUUCAUUAAUAUAUGGAUCAAGGAAGGUUCCGAAGGGUCAUAAGCAAUAGCUAAGACCACAAUAAGGCUAUAAAACCUGCAAGAUUAUGCAUGAACGAUUGUGUUAUCUCCUUUCCCCAUAAAAAUCUAGUCACCAUCCCGCUAAUUCCGUCAGUUUCAGUGUUGGGAAACUGGGAGACAAUGGAUCUUGAAGCUCGUGGAGAAUAUUGAUCUAUUUUCGGUUUUGGUGUCUUAGUUUCAUUUGCACGGACGGUAUGGAGGCGACGACACAAUGGAAUAAGAACAUUUGUCCACGUCCAUUCAUGGUAACACGGGUUCCAGCAUCAACAUAGGGCGCGUAAGGAUUGGUUUCCCGAGAUCUGAUCGAUCGGGUUGUGGUGAGAGUCAUUAACCACGAUGUUUUUGCCUCUUUUCACUGUCGCUUCUGUGGUCUCAUCAAUUAGAUCACGCGAUAACACUUUCAGCGCCUGUGUGGGAUUGGGUCUACUCAUCCGGUGUUCGCCUUCUCUAGGUCGAUAGAAUGUGCUUCACACCAUCGACGCUGGCAUCUCCUCUUGCAAUGCUCAACUACUUCUCACUCGCAGUUUUUUUUCCCAACAAAUGAUGGAUUUUAUUGGCUUAAAAUGGAGCAUCAAUAGGAUACAAACACAAUGCACACACCCGGUCUAUGCAUGGCUAUGAUGCAUGCAGUCAACACCAACCCACGCACACAAAAAGCACGACAGCAAAGAGCAAAGUCAUAUAAGACUAAAACUAAGCGUAGACGAGGAAAAUGAAAAGGAAACCCCAAACAGAUCAGAUCUGUGAUCGCAACCUACAUCAAUGACCAUAUCCGCACCAACCAUCUCAUGACACCACACUGACGAGGAGGUUCUUCAAUGAUUACAUGGCUCCAAUGAUGUCAACAUGUGAGGCGUUUAGCUAGGCUCAAGACGGGCCAUCAGCUUGUGAAGGUCAGAGACGGCGAUGAACUCCCCUUGGGUCUGUUUGUAAUCUUUAUUUUUGUCAUAGGUGUUCUUAUAAGGUUUGGAUUAGUUAAUAACUUGUAUAUGGCUUUGGCCCUUUACAAACAAAUUGAUCGAGUUGAAAUAUGGCUUUGGCCCUUUACAAACAAAUUGAUCGAGUUGAAAUAUGGCUUUGGCCCUUUACAAACAAAUUGAUCGAGUUGAAAUAUGGCUUUGGCCUUUGACAAAAUAAAUGACCGAGUGUGAACUGAGCGUAGCUCAGAUUGUUAGGUUCAUUCCGGUGGAAUCAGCCCACCAGGAUUCAAGUCCUAAACUUGGCACUGUUGCUCGUAUAUUUCUGGAUUUAUUUCAGCCUUUCCGGUGAUGCUCGCUCAUCGGGAGGAGACGUUCCCGUUGACUACGGAGGCGUCUGUGCUGACUUUAUCAAUCUCAGGAUGUUAUGUCGGCUUAGUAUCUCGGAUGUGCUCAUAGGGCAGGGUGUGCAUGUCAUACAGGUGAUAGUAUAUGCGUGUAUGUGAGCAUCUGCGUUGUGUCGUGUUAAAAAAAAUUGAUCGAGUUGAAAUUAAAGAACCACAAAAUGGUUCUCUUUAUUCUCAUUCAUAGCAGAUAGCCCACACAUGUUGAGCGCGCGGAGCUCACAUAUGCAUGCAUGCACACCACACGCCUAUGGAUGCAACAUGCAUGCUUAUUCACGAACGACUGAUUUUAUCUCUAGAUCCACAGAAGCUGUUCCACGGCGGGGCAGUAUCGAACAUUGUGAAUGGUCGCCAAGUUGCACUGCCCCGGGGCAACAAGUAAUCUGACAAAGUCCCAUUGCAUCUGCCUGGGGCAUCCGGGCAGGUCGAUGAGGCCGCUCUCACCGACAUUGCCGGACCUCGGGUCCACGGGCUGAGACGGUACCGGCAACGCUAUGAAGUAGCGCAGCGCCUCGCACCGGCACUGCUGAGGAAUUUCUGCGAGCUCCUGGCAGCAAUACAACUUGGCGAGGUAUGGCUUCAUGGGGGAGAAUAUUGACGCGGAUGUCAUCCAUUCGGGUAACUUCGACCCGGGGGUGAAGGUGCCACAAGUUUGUUGUAACACAUAGUCGCGGCAGUGUGGCAGAAGAUCGGUCCGAAAAGCCACCCCUGGGACGCAGCUGCCGGAGGCGGAAGCAGCGGCGACGACGGAGAGCAGGACGGCGGCCAAGAGGAGGAGGUUGCAGCUGGACUUGCACGCCAUGGUAUUCUAGCCAAGUCUGGUUCGCUGGUGUAGUUCCUUGAGUGUAUGCUGGAUGCACCACACAAUACAUGCUUGCAUAUAUAUAGUACCCAAAAAAUGUUAUCGAAGGCAGAUUUGUUAGCAAUCAAUAGCUAAAUUUGUUGUGUUAUACUAGGACGGUUGUGAUGAGCUAGAGUGCACUUAAUUGAUUGGUUGCAACAGAAUUUGGAGGGGAAUGCAAGCUGGCUUUUGCGUGGAAGCAGUGAGAGAUUCCUAGCCGCUCGAACCUAGCUUUUCUCGUCAUGGUUGAUGUGGGAUCUUUUCGCAUGCUAGCUGCUCAUUUAUCUCGUCAAUUAAGCUAGCUUAUUAUGCAUGCGGGUGUUGCUAAACCAACAACGGAGUUGGGUUUUGCAUGCAGUUCGCGAACAUGUGACGUACGACUGUGCGUGUGAGCAACUCCCCUUUGGAAAUCAUUUUUCGAGUUAAUAACAAAGCACAAAAGACAUAAAGCAAUUACCUUACUGCUUGCUGGGGAUAUUUUCUCACCUUCUUCGUGUCCAAACACGGAAAUAAACUUGACUGGUACCGUUAGUAAAUCAUGAUGUUAGCGAGCACCAACCAAUCGACUUGUCUCGAAUACUUGACCUAUUUGGAUUAAUUCUUUAAUUUUCAAAAGACUUAACACAACCUAAACCGACAACAAUAUUCCUCUAACUCCUAGAAUAAUUUGGGAGCUCUAAAUGAACAUGUUCCUCAAUAAUUGGGACUUGGGAGAUUUUUCUAACUCCAAAUCCUUAACUCGCAAUAAUUUUUUUGGCGGGAGAACGUUUAUUUCCCUAACCGCCACUGCCACCAAAGUCGUCGCUUGCACUGCUUCAGCCACACCGCCUUGCGCGUCCCCGCCCAUUUCUGGAUGCAGUUCCACAUAUCUCAUACUCCCGAGCCUUCUUGGCUUCCGCCACUGAGUUGGAGCUCGUGGUUGUCGCGCCACGCUGACAUAGCUCCCCAUAGUUGGAGCUCGUGUGUUACAAUCUUGGAUGUAUCAACUAUAUAAAAUGUACACAAAUUAUUUUUAUGACUAUGUGUAUAAGUGGACUAACCAAAUCUCAUCAUUAUGCUUCUUAUUAUGUGACACCUUAUUUACGAAAUAUGUUACUGGUGAACCUAUGAACCAUGGUCAGUUUCUACAAAAAAACACUCCAAAAAAAUACUAGUUAAUAAAAUGGACAACGUGUGCCAGAUUGCUAAAAGUACCACACGACUCUUCUCCCUUCGAUCCCACCUCCUCCCGAGCCCCUCCUUCGAUCCCAUCUUCUCCAGUUUUUUUCGGGCCUGUAGGAGCCCCUCCUUCGAUCCCAUCUUCUCCAGUUUUUUUCGGGCCUGUAGUUUAAAAUAGGCAAAAAAAAUAGCGUUCAAGGGGAAUUGAACCCAGACACUUCCGUACAAAUCUAAGCUGCAACAUCCAGCUGCACUAGACCUCUUAACUGAUUAUGUUCAACUUACAUACUAGUUAUAUAUUUCUGAGACGAGAAUAAACAAAAAAGGCAGUGAUUAGUAACUGAAAAUCCAAACCGGCAGCCUCACUUGUACGGGUUUUAGAACAAUGCGCCCUAGUUUUAUCAUUUUUUCUGCACGUUUCACAUGGUUCACAAACCCGGGCGUCCUCUUCACUCCUUUUCAGAUGCAAAAUAUCAUGAUGUUUGCACGUAAGUUAUCAGGUACGAAGUUUUAGUGUUGCCAUGUUUUCCUCACUCUAGUUUUUGGGUAUGUUUCUCAAUAGCUUUUUCCCUGUUUGUACUUAAAUUAUCAGGUAUGGGCUUCGUAUAUUACCANNNNNNNNNNNNNNNNNNNNNNNNNNNNNNNNNNNNNNNNNNNNNNNNNNNNNNNNNNNNNNNNNNNNNNNNNNNNNNNNNNNNNNNNNNNNNNNNNNNNNNNNNNNNNNNNNNNNNNNNNNNNNNNNNNNNNNNNNNNNNNNNNNNNNNNNNNNNNNNNNNNNNNNNNNNNNNNNNNNNNNNNNNNNNNNNNNNNNNNNNNNNNNNNNNNNNNNNNNNNNNNNNNNNNNNNNNNNNNNNNNNNNNNNNNNNNNNNNNNNNNNNNNNNNNNNNNGGUCAAUAUUACCAUGGUGUUUGCAUGUAAGUAAUCAGAUCUGCAGUGUGUAAAUUAUCAUGUUAUUUAGACAGAAGUUAUCGUGUGUUCAUCAAAGAAAUUCACUUGGGCAAAUUUACUAUGGUGUUUUGUACCAAAGUUAUCAUGUUUGAGGUGUGUAAAUCAUCAUGCUAGGUACAUAGAAGGUACUGCGUGUACAUUUUCAACAAUUUUUUCACCCCCAGGUCAGAAAAGUUACCAUGAUGUUUAUACACAAGUUAUCAGAUCUGCAUGAGUAAAUUAUCAUACUAUUUACACAAAGGUUAUCAGGGAUAUGUUUAUAACAACUUUUCCACUGGGUCAAAAAUUACCGUGGUGUUUGUACGAAUAUUAUCACGAUUGUGGUGUGUAUAUUACUGUGUUAUUUACACACAAUUUAUAGGGGUAUGUUUCAACAUCUUUUUCUCUGAGUCAAAAGUUAACACGGUACGUGUUUUUACUAAGUUAUCAUGUCUGCGGUGUGUGAAUUACCAUUCUAUUUACAUAGAAAUUAACGGGGAUUAUUUUCUCGAUAAUUUUUUACCUAGUCGAACUUUUUCCUUAUUUGGUCAAUGUUAUCGAGGUAUUUACAUCCAGGGUAUCAGAUAUGCAGUUUGUAUAUUACCAUGCUAUUUACACAUAAUUUAUCUAGGGUAAGUUUUUGAACAACUCUUUCCCCUGAUCAAAGUACCGAGGUGUGUAUGUAAGUUAUUAGGUCUGCGGUUCAUAUAUUAUCAUGCUACUUACACUGAAGUUACCAGAGGUAUGUUUUAACAAACUUGUUUCUCCGUGGACGAAAAGUUACCGUGGUGUUUGUACAUAAGUUAUCACGUCUAUUCUAUGCACAUGACCAUGCUAUUUGCACUGAAGUUACCAGAGGGGUAUGUUUUCCAAAAACUUCUUUCUUCGGGGUUAAAAAGUUACUAUGGUGUUUAUACAUAAAUUAUCACUUGUGAUAUGUGCAUAUUACCAUGCUAUUUGCACAAAAGUUAAUGGGGUGUAUGUUUUCCAACAACUUUUCUCCCGGAUCAAAAAGUUACCGUGAUAUGUAUACGUAGGUUAUCAACUCUGUUGUGUGUGUAUUACCAUGUUAUUUACACAAACUUAUCCGGAGUAUGUUUUAACAAAAAAUUCUAGCUCAAACUAUCACUGUUUUUGUAUGUAAGUUAUCAGGUUUUCUGUGUAUGUACUACCGAGUUAUUUACACAGGACUUACUGGGGUAAAUAGUUCAGAGAAAAAAAUGUUUUAGAACUAGCGAUAUCCUAAACAGCGUGCAUCAAAAGAGAUGGAAGUUCAAAAUAAAAUGUCGUUGCCUUCUUGUUCUCUAUCGGCAGUAGAAAAAAAUUCACAAUCUAAAACAAAUGUAGGCCUACAUGGAACAUCAAGACGUGUCGGAGUGUCCCAGCUUGAGUACCUGCUUCAUGGGAGAUAGGUUCAAAUGAGGUUCAGAAGAAUGUUCAGAUUCUGAUGCAAGAAAAAUAGCAGUUGUAAGUGGGGUAGUAGCUUUUUUGCAUCAAUGGUGAAGUGCAUCAGUAGGGAAUGUCCAAAAUUCACACGAGGGAGAGAAAGAGAGAUGGUGAUGGAGAUAGAGCAGCAGCCUGCAUCGGUUGAAGGGACGUCCAUAUCAACAUGCGUCUGUCAGCAGCACUUGAACUUUUAUCCCGAUUUUCCUCUGAAACUGCAACCUACUACAAGCAGCAGUGCAUCUUCUUCUCCGCCGAUGAGGGGCAAGCCUGGUUGAUGUCUCUCAGUUGACAUGUCCAAAAAACAAUCCAGUAGCAGGUGUGUGUAGUGUUGGAACGAACCACGCGAUGGAUCGGAGUGAAUGCGGAUCGAGCGACCAAAUUUAGCUGGUGUGGAACCUACGACCAGGCUGCCAAACCAGUAGUACACAUACGUGCGUGUUGUGAUCUAAAAACAUCCUCCCGGAGAUUGAGACAGGCCGAGCUCAAACAUGUCAACCGAGAAGAAGCAUGUUUCAGUUCAUAGGAUGAGCUCAACCCUCUCUCAAUUAACAUGUUAAACCAUAGAUUAAAAUCGCGGGAGAAAUGAUUUCGCGGCGGCCUCUCCCAGCAGCUAUAGCGGCCGCCGUAGCGGGCAAUCGCGGCAAAUAGCGGAAAUUUUUCUGGUGGGGGAGAUGAUUCUGGAGGGAUUUGUUGAUUGUUGAGCCAUUUAUAGGGAUAUGUGGAGGAUUUCGCGGCAGCAGCCAUAGCGUAGCGGCGAGGCUCCCGGGCAGCUAUAGCGCAGCUAUCGCGGCUAUUUUGCGGGCUAUUUUAAUCUAUGUGUUAAACACAGGGGAAAAUCCAGGGCGACGAUGGAGAGGCCGAGCUCCCUGAGGUUGGGGAAGGUGGCGGAGCAUGGGACGGCGACUGUGUUCGGGAGUGUCCAGGCACUGAGGAAGAAGUGUGUGAGGCGCGUAGCAGAAGAGCAUGACCGUCAGCGCACGUUGGAGAACAGGAGAGGGCGGCGAUGGGAGUCCUCGACGGAGAAGCACUGGGGCAGGCUGCGUUGGUGAGGUCGUGCACGCCUGCGCAGUCGCCGGAGUUCAGGAGCCGGGUGGGACGGGGCUGGAAGCUCUGCCGACGGCGUCAGCCCCUGGGCAUCCACUUCCCAGGAGCAGGCGAUGCUGGUGCGGGGGUCGCCGAAGCCUGGGAGGGGCGGCGCGAGGCAGGCGGUGGCAGUGUGCAGCGGUAUGACGACGGUGGCCGAUGGAGAGCAGGCGGCGCGCGUGAGGUAGUGCGGCGGCGGCACGAGGUAUGUCAGGAGGUUGAGGAAGGGCCCCGUUUUUCUCAGGUGCGGGGACGACCCAGUCUUGCGGGACGAGGAUGCAAACGAGCUUCACGGGACGAAGAAAAAAGGUGAUGUGCGAUGCGGAUCGAACGUCAAACGAACCGUGUGGCAGUUUUGCAAAAACAAUUACUGUUGCCAUAUACAUAUUUUGUAUUUAUAUUUAUUAACUAUUCCUACCAGAGUUCUAUAAAUCUAAUGCAAUCACAAUCACCUUCCUUUACAAGCUGAACAUUCAGGAAUUUAGCAAAAGUGAUCUUAUACAUCCGAGGAAACUAAGUAACCAAUGGUGAUCCAUUCACAGAGAAAUAUUUUUAGAUCAUGGUUUUAAGUUCAUUGUCAAUUAUUCUCUCAUGAAUCUUCCGAAAAAUAUGGUUAAGUACCAUGCCCUCUCCCUCAGUUAAAAUGUACCAGAAAAUGUGAGGCAUUUGAUCUUUCCUGCGCAACACUUGAUUUUGUGAGUAUUUUGUUGUUGUUAGCAUAGUCUAUUAGGUGUUUUGAGUGUUUUCUUAUUUUUCACAACCAUUUAGUUAUAAGAUUGUAAUUUAGAGUGUCCAGAUCCAGAAUUCCAGGCACCACAUAAUCCUUUCGCAAAUAAAAUAUAGGCUUGUUAAACCGGUGACACUUCCUUGUAUCUUUGUUUUGCAAAGGAUACUUCCUUUUAUCUUGAAUAUCUUGCACUAGCCUUCUUGGUCUACACUCACUCCUUUUGAUGCUUCUAGGAAUGAGAACAUGUACAAUGGUACACUACUCAUGCAAGUGUUAGUAAGUACAACCCUGCCUCUGGUAGAUAUGAUAUUACCUUUCCCUCCUAAAAGCUUAUUAUCCACCCUUUCAUGUAUUGGCUCCCUUUUUAUGUUCAUUUUUAAAGAUAGCUCACCACUCAUGCGGAAUGGUCAUGUAUUGGCUCCCGCUAAACAUUACUCAAUAUUUUGACAUCAUUGGAAUACCUAAGUAAAUAAAAAGGCAAUGUCAUAGUAUUGCAAGUGAAGAUUUUACUAUAGUGAUCCUCUCUUUCACAUGCCUCUCCCAGAUAUAAAUUUUACUUUUGUGAGCAUAUAAUUUCAAUCUAGAGUUUUGUUAAAAAAAACACAAAGGAUAGACUUCAUUUAAAUCCACAUUACUCCUAACUCAAUGUAUACAAGGUGUACUGGAUUCACACCUCUCUUUGGACGCUGUACCAUUAAAGAUUACUUAACAACCGCCAUGAGUGAUUGCUCUACCAACAGAUUCAUGUCCUUGUUGGUCAACCAGAAUGUCUCUUGGACAUGGUCCUCAAUCAGAGAUUCGUUUUCACAUCCGGGGGAAGAAGUUUUGACUCCCAAGCUAAUGUGUGUACGCGGAUGAGUAGUUAAAUCUGAAAAGAAAAGGUGAUUGUUUUACAAAACAUGCUUGUGUAUUCUACUUGUAUGUAACUCUUAAUGAAGUAAUAACGUUCCACGUGCUCUAGAUGAAAGAAAAAAAAAACAGUACAAUGAAAGGCUAUUUCUCAAGUUUUGAGUGUGGGUGGAUCCUAUUCACCGAAUACUGCGCAAUCACGCACCUUGACAAGAGUUGCGCUGAUAUAACGGGCCAACCAAAUUUUCGGUUGUAGUGUAUGUUUGCCACCAUGGUGGAAAGGUUCUGUUCAAGAACCUUCCCUGAAUUUUUUUGGGCCUGUGUUUUUGGGUCUUUUCGGUGUUAUUUUUUUCUAUUUUUAUUUUUCACUUUUUCCCUUUUGUCAUUUUAAAAGUCACAACUAUUUUUUGAAUUUGCGAAUAUUUCUAAAAUUCAUGAACAUUUUUUCCAAUUCAUAAAUAAUUUUUGAAAUCAUGAACAUUUUUCAAAUUCACAAAUGUUUUUGAAUUCAUGUUUUAUUCCAAAUUCACGAAGAUAUUUUUGAAUUUGCUGGCAUUUUUUAAUUCAGGAACACUUUUUAAUACACAAAAUUUCAAAUUCACGAAAUUUUUUUCAAAAUUGUGCAUAUCUUACGAAUUCAACAACAUUAUUUUGAAUUCAUAAAUAAGUUUUGAGUUGGCGAACAUUUUUCAAAUUCAUGAUUUUUUUCCAGUAUUGUGAUUUAUUUAAUUCCUGAAUAUUUUUAGAAUUUAAGAACAUUUUUCAAAAUUUGUAUAUUUGUGAAUUUGUAAACAUUUAAAAACUUGAUGGCACUUUAUUAGUUUAAAGCAUGGAUUCUAAAUUCCGAGUCUCUUCGUGUGUGUGGGCGAAGAGAGCUAUAAAUAGCUCAUAGGGUGAAGGAGGCUCCGGCCAGAAUCGGUUGUCGUGGGGAUGAAAUAAAUAAAGCUACGAAGCGCAAAUAAUAUAGCGGCAUGUGGCAAAGGGGCUCUUCAGCAUGGAAAGUUCCUGCAGAGGCCGAGCUCCAUUGAGCUUUUUAUUUUUCUUUCAACGAAACACUUUUUCUACAUCUCAAAAAAAUCUUUAAAAAAUAUACAUGUAUACAUAUAUUUAUAGAAUAUAUGUACAAAAUUCAUGAACAUAUUCAUAUGUGAUGUACACAAAAAAAGGUAAAUGCACAUAUUAAAAUGGGCUUUUACUGGUUGUAUUGGGCCAGAUAUUUGUCUUUAUUGGGUAGCAUGCAAAUAAUCAAAUUAGUUGAUGAAUUUUUUUUCUUCCCUCAAAAAAAAGUUGAUGGAUUUUUUUUGCGAGAAAGUUGAUGAAAUUUUACACAUACUUGAAUACUAUGCAUAUGUGUUUGUAUUAAAGAAAAUGACAUUUUUUGAAACUUCUAAAUAUAUUUAGAUUUUUUUUGAAAAAAGAGCUCCAGUGCCGUUCUCCUCUUCAGCAGAGAUAUAAAUAGCACGGCGGUCCCCAAAAUAAUUUUAAAAAAUAGCACGGCGCACAGUACACGACAUUGCCCCGGCCUGUGGUCACAUCGCACUGUGGCACUGCGCGCACGUACGUGCGGCCAUCUCGCCCAGUAUCGGACCCCCACCUAACUCCUAUAGGGCGUCCGGUCAUACAGCGCCGCGUUAAUGGCGCUGACGGCGACACGCAGCGUCACCUACGUACGGCCGUGUUCCGGGCGGGCGUACGAUCACGGUUGCCGUCGUCGCCGUGGGCGUGGCCCGGGGGACAAUGGGACGGACUCCCUCACCCACAAAACCGGGCGAAACGCACGGCGCGUGACCCCGGGGUACGUAAAAAAGGGUGUCCAGCCCAGCGCACGGAGCACGUACGCAAUGAUCGGAAAAGCGCCCAGCUCUCAGCGAAUCCGGCAAAACGUCUCCAUCCUGGCAAUUUCAAGCUAUGCAUCACUCGUUAUCACCCAAGGAUAUGCUUUUGGAAGUUAACCCGCUGUAAGCUUCCGUCACACACCGGGUUGUUUAAUCCCGGCUCGGCUGUCAGUGCACAUGAGGGCAUUUUAUUUUCAUUCUUGUCUAUUUAUUUUUUUAAAUGUACCCCCACGUGCUCCAUUGAGGAAACCCUUUGGUGGCUCUAGCUACUCAUUGCCAGGAGGUACAAGAAGAGGAUCGGCAGGCCGACGGCGCGGCUGAUGAAUUGGUGGUUUUGCUUUCCUUGUACGGAUGAGUUGUUAAUUGCGGCAGUGGUGACACGACAUGGUGGAGUGGAGUUGCCCGUGCGUUGUGCGUGCCAGGUAACCAUCACCGUAUAAAAAUGCGAAAGCUAUAUGGAAAAGAAACUUCUCGCGGUUGGAUGGUUAGAGAGACUCUAAUAUCUAAUAUCUCAGUCCACCAGAGUUUAAGUCCUGAUGCUCGCAUUUAUUUUUGAAUUUAUUUCAGAAUUUUCGGUGAUGCAUAUUCAGUGGGAGGAGACGUUUCCGUCGACGACGAGGUGCCUACGGUGACUUCGUAAAUUUCAGGAUGAUAUGUCGGCUCAGUCUUUCGGAGGUGCCCCUAGGCCUAGGGGUUAGGGUGUGUGUGCGUUCAUAGCGGUGAGUGUAUGCGCGUGUAUAUGAGCUAUACCUGGCAAUACCUCGGGCCGGGCCGGGCCUAGCCAAGCCCGACGCAAAAAACCCGGGCCCGGCCCAGCCAUCAGGCAUGGUUUUUGGGCCCAAGCCUGGCCCGCACGUGUAAAAGCCCGCCGAGCCCCUUCAGGAAAACGCGAAAACGACGGGCCCGGUCCCGGCCUGGCCUUCGGGCUCAAAAUCUAGGCCCGGACCCGAUCCGAGAGCAACGCCGGGCCGGGCCGGGCUGCCCAUAGCCAGGACUAAUAUGAGCGUUUGCGUUUGUACUGUGUUAAAAAAAUAGAUAUAGACUCUUUUUUUUUGCGGGAAAUAGAUAUAGACUCAGCUAAAAAAAAAACUUCCCGCAAAAAAACCAUAUGGAAAAGAAACGUAAAAGGUUUAGUACAAAACACUGCUCGGAAAAACAGAUGAGGAAACAGUCUUGCAUCCAUCGAACCGGUGACUGGCCUGGCCAGACCAGACCAGGUCGCGGUAGACCCGAGAAAAUACUGAUGCCGCGUUGACAGUCUGAUGUUGCACCAAAAAUCCAACCCUUGGUGGUGAACAAAGAAUGGCGUUGAGAUACAGGCGACCAAGGAAUCGGGUGUCGUACGUAACAUAACGUAGUACAGCUUUCGUUGGUUUCUCAAGACCGGAAGUACCGAAAUCAUUAAUUAAACCCGUUAAGCUACGUAUGAAAGGGCGGCCAACCAGCUAUGCCACGUGGCAUAAGCAGAUUGGCCGCGGUGAGAAAGCUUUUGAAAAAAAGUAAAGGUGUGGAUUAUUUUUUAAAUAUAUAUUUUUUCUUUUUAGAUGGAGGUGAGGACCUUUGGUAUUUUUUAAAUGGAGGGUUAUGCAAAGUGACACUCACUGGUAGGCUGCGGUGGUAGUAAUUUUUUUUAACUUUUUUAGAAGAUUUUUUUUUAAGAUGUUUUUUUAGACGGAGGCGAGGACUCUAUGCAAUUUUUUAAAAUGGAAACAUGCGCGCAGUAACCUCACAAGCGGCGUUACAGGGUGGCGCCCCAACCAUUAGUUCAUUUCCAAAGUAGAGCAAUCGAUGCCUUUGUACGGGACAAACCGUCGGUCUCGGGUGCCGGUGGCCCGACGCUUUCGAAAGCAAGGAGAAGUUGCCCCGACGGAAAGAGAUGGAACGGUCGCCGGAUGCACGGGAGUUUGCCGAUGGGCCUUAAAGCAUCUACAGCCGGACCCUUCAAACUCUUCUUAAACGCUUGAGCGGGCCGUCUGGUCACUGUCCGCGCACGUUUUUACAAUCCAGACGGACGCUUCAGACGGGUCUCAAACUCUCAAACGCCCAGACUGACCGGCACCUCCCAUAUCCAGUCCAAAUAUGGGGUGGACCGGGCACGGCUGGGCGCGUCUGCCUGACAAGCCCGGCCCACCACCGACCCCACGGAUGUCCCACAAAAAAACCCAUUGGGCUCAUCGCUCUGAAACUCUAGCUCACUCACUCUCCUCUCUCACUCAGUCCUCAACUCUUCCCGCACCGAUUUCGAUCGGAUCCGGCAAAAUGUCGAGCUCCGGCAGGCGCUCCGACGACGAGCUGGAUCUGGAGUAUGAGCUAUCCCUCCGCAUCGCCUUCGAGCGAUCCAAGGUGGAGACCGGGGGCAGCUCCGGAUCUGCAGCCUCGCCGCAGCUUCCCCGUCGGCACAGCUCAGACGCUGGCGCUGGCCCCUCCCGGCUCGGGGGCAGCUCCGACGGGUGGCCUGCGCAAUUCGCGCCUCCCCUACUGUUAGGGAACAUAGUAAUUUCAAAAAAAAUCCUACGCACACGCAAGAUCAUGGUGGUGCAUAGCAAUGAGCGGGAGAGUGUUGUCCACGUACCCUCGUAGACCGUAAGCGGAAGCGUUUUAUCAACGUGGUUGAUGUAGUCGUACGUCUUCACGAUCCGACCGAUCCAAGUACCGAACGCACGGCACCUCCGAGUUCAGCACACGUUCAGCUCGGUGACGUCCCACGAACUCACGAUCCAGCAGAGUGUCGAGGGAGAGUUUCGUCAGCACGACGGCGUGAUGACGGUGAUGAUGAAGCUACCGGCGCAGGGCUUCGCCUAAGCACUGCAAUGAUAUGACCGAGAUGGAUUAUGGUGGAGGAGGCACCGCACACGGCUAAGAGAUCAAUGAUCAACUUGUGUGUCUAUGGGGUACCCCCUGGCCACGUAUAUAAAGGAUGGAGGGAGGAGGAGGCCGGCCCUCAUAGGGCGCGCCCAAAGUGUGGAGUCCUACUAGGACUUACUAGUCCUAGUAGGAUUCCACCUCCCACAUGGAAUAGGAAAAGGGGAAGGGAGAAGGAGAAGGAAGGAAGGGGGCGCCCCCUUUCCUAGUCCAAUUCGGACCAGUCCAUGGGGAAGGGGCGCAGCCACCCUUGAGGCCUUUCUCUCCUUUCCCGUAUGGCCCAUUAAGGCCCAAUACGAAUUCCCGUAACUCUCCGGUACUCCAAAAAUACCCGAAUCAUUCGGAACCUUUCCGAUGUCCGAAUAUAGCCUUCCAAUAUAUCGAUCUUUACGUCUCGACCAUUUCGAGACUCCUCGUCAUGUCCCACAUCUCAUCUGGGAUUCCGAACAAACUUCGGUCAUCAAAUCACAUAACUCAUAAAACAAACCGUCACAGAACGUUAAGCGUCCGGACCCUACGGGUUUGAGAACUAUGUAGACAUGACCGAGACACGUCUCCGGUCAAUAACCAAUAGCGGAACCUGGAUGCUCAUAUUGGCUCCUACAUAUUCUACGAAGAACUUUAUCGGUCAAACCGCAUAACAACAUACGUUGUUCCCUUUGUCAUCGGUAUGUUACUUGCCCGAGAUUCGAUCGUCGGUAUCUCAAUACCUAGUUCAAUCUCGUUACCGGCAAGUCUCUUUACUUGUUCCGUAAUGCAUCGUCCCGCAACUAACUCAUUAGUCACACUGCUUGCAAGGCUUAUAGUGAUGUGCGUUACCGAGAGGGCCCAGAGAUACCUCUCCGACAAUCGGAGUGACAAAUCCUAAUCUCGAUCUAUACCAACUCAACAAGUACCAUCGGAGACACCUGUAGAGCACCUUUAUAAUCACCCAGUUAUGUUGUGACGUUUGGUAGCACACAAAGUGUUCCUCCGGUAUUCGGGAGUUGCAUAAUCUCAUAGUCAUAGGAACAUGUAUAAGUCAUGAAGAAAGUAAUGGCAACAUACUAAACGAUCAAGUGCUAAGCUAACGGAAUGGGUCAAGUCAAUCACGUUAAUCAAAUAACAACUCAUGUCUAUGGCUAGGAAACUUAUCCAUCUUUGAUUCAACAAGCUAGUCAAGUAGAGACAUACUAGUGACACUUUGUUUGUCUAUGUAUUCACACAUGUACUAAGUUUCCGGUUAAUACAAUUCUAGCAUGAAUAAUAAACAUUUAUCAUGAAAUAAGGAAAUAAAUAAUAAAUUUAUUAUUGCCUCUAGGGCAUAUUUCCUUCAGUCUCCCACUUGCACUAGAGUCAAUAAUCUAGUUCACAUCGCCAUGUGAUUUAACACCAAUAGUUCACAUCACCAUGUGAUUAAAACCCAUAGUUCACAUCGUCAUGUGACCAACACUCAAAGGAUUUACUAGAGUCAGCAAUCUAGUUCACACUGUCAUGCGAUUAACACCCAAAGAGUACAAAGGUGUGAUCAUGUUUUGCUUGUGAGAGAAGUUUAGUCAACGGGUCUGCCAAAUUCAGAUCCGUAUGUAUAUUGCAAAUUUCUAUGUCAACAAUGCUCUGCACGGAGCUACUCUAGCUAAUUGCUCCCACUUUCAAUACGUAUCCAGAUUGAGAUUUAGAGUCAUCCGGAUCAGUGCCAAAACUUGCAUCGACGUAACUCUUUAUGAUGAACUUUUUGUCACCUCCAUAACCGAGAAACAUAUCCUUAUUCCACUAAGGAUAAUUUUGACCAAUGUCCAGUGAUCUACUCCUAGAUCACUAUUGUACUCGCUUGCCAAACUCAGGGUAAGGUAUACAAUAGGUCUGGUACACAGCAUGGCAUACUUUAUAGAACCUAUGGUUGAGGCAUAGGGAAUGACUUUCAUUCUCUCUCUAUCUUCUGCCAUGGUCGGGUUUUGAGUCUUACUCAACUUCACACCUUGCAACACAGGCAAGAACUCUUUCUUUGACUGUUCCAUUUUGAACUACUUCAAAAACUUGUCAAGGUAUGUACUUAUUGAAAAAACUUAUCAAGCGUCUUGAUCUGUCUCUAUAGAUCUUGAUGCUCAAUAUGUAAGUAGCUUCACCGAGGUCUUUCUUUGAAAAACUCCUUUUAAACACUCCUUUAUGCUUUCCAGAAAAUUCUACAUCAUUUCCGAUCAACAAUAUGUCACUCACAUAUACUUAUCAGAAAGGCUGUAGUGCUCCCACUCACUUUCUUGUAAAUACAGGCUUUACCGCAAGUCUGUAUAAAACUAUAUGCCUUGAUCAACUCAUCAAAGCAUAUAUUCCAACUCUGAGAUGCUUGCACCAGUCCAUAGAUGGAUCGCUGGAGCUUGCACACUUUGCUAGCACCUUUAGGAUUGACAAAACCUUCUUGUUGUAUCAUAUACAACUCUUCUUUAAGAAAUCCAUUAAGGAAUGCAGUUUUGACAUCCAUUUGCCAGAUUUCAUCAAAUGUGGCAAUUGCUAACAUGAUUCGGACAGACUUAAGCAUUGCUACGAGUGAGAAAAUCUCAUCGUAGUCAACACCUUGAACUUGUCGAAAACCUUUUUGCGACAAUUCGAGCUUUGUAGAUAGUAACACUACUAUCAGCGUCCGUCUUCCUCUUGAAGAUCCAUUUAUUCUUAAUGGCUUGCCGAUCAUUGGGCAAGUCAACCAAAGUCCAUACUUUGUUCUCAUACGUGGAUCCCAUCUCAGAUUUCAUGGCCUUAAACCAUUCUGCGGAAUCUGGGCUCAUCAUCGCUUCCUCAUAGUUCGUAGGUUCGUCAUGCUCAAGUAACAUGACCUCCAGAACAGGAUUACCGUACCACUCUGGUGCGGACCGUACUCUGGUUGACCUACGAGGUUCGGUAGUAACUUGAUCUGAAGUUUCAUGAUCAUCAUCAUUAAUCUUCCUCACUAAUUGGUGUAGGCAUCACUGGAACUGAUUUCUGUGAUGAACUAUUUUCCAAUUCGGGAGAAGGUACAAUUACCUCAUCAAGUUCUACUUUCCUCCCACUCACUUUUUUCGAGAGAAACUCCUUCUCUAGAAAGGAUCCAUUCUUAGCAAUGAAUAUCUUGCCUUCGUAUCUGUGAUAGAAGGUGUACCCAACAGUCUUCUUUGGGUAUCCUAUGAAGACUCAUUUCUUCGAUUUGGGUUGAAGCUUAUCAGAUUGAAGCUUUUUCACAUAAGCAUCGCAGCCCCAAACUUUAAGAAACAACAACUUUGGUUUCUUGCCAAACCACAGUUCAUAUGGCGUCGUCUCAACGGAUUUAGAUGGUGCACUAUUUAACGUGAAUGCAGCUGUCUCUAAUGCAUAACCCCAAAACGAUAGUGGUAAAUCGGUAAGAGACAUCAUAAAUCGCACCAUAUCUAAUAAAAUGCGGUUACGAUGUUCGGACACACCAUUACGCUGUGGUGUUCCAGGUGGCGCGAGUUGCGAAACUAUUCCGCAUUGUUUCAAAUGAAGACCAAACUCGUAACUCAAAUAUUCUCCUCCACGAUCAGAUCGUAUAAACUUUAUUUUCUUGUUACGACGAUUUUCCACUUCACUCUGAAAUUCUUUGAACUUUUUAAAUGUUUCAGACUUAUGUUUCAUCAAGAAGAUAUAACCAUAUCUGCUCAAAUCAUCUGUGAAGGUCAGAAAAUAAUGAUACCUGCCACGAGCCUUAAUACUCAUCGGACCGCAUACAUCGAUAUGUAUUAUUUCCAAUAAGUCAGUAGCCCAUUCCAUUGUUCCGGAGAACGGAGUUUUAGUCAUCUUACCCAUGAGGCAUGGUUCGCAAGCAUCAAAUGAUUCAUAAUCAAGUGAUUCCAAAAGCCCAUCAGCAUGGAGUUUCUUCAUACGCUUUACACCAAUAUGACCUAAACGGCAGUGCCACAAAUAAGUUGCACUAUCGUUAUUAACUUUGCAUCUUUUGACUUCAAUAUUAUGAAUAUGUGUAUCACUACGAUCGAGAUCCAACAAACUAUUUUCAUUGGGUGUAUGACCAUCGAAGGUUUUAUUCUUAUAAACAGAAUAACAAUUAUUCUCUGAUUUUAAAUGAAUAAACGUAUUGCAAUAAACAUGAUCAAAUCAUAUUCAUGCUUAACGCAAACACCAAAUAACAUUUAUUUAGGUUCAACACUAAUCCCGAAAGUAUAGGUAGUGUGCGAUGAUGAUCAUAUCAAUAUUGGAACCACUUCCAACACACAUCGUCACUUCACCCUUAACUAGUCUUUGUUCAUUCUGCAACUCCCGUUUCAAGUUACUACUCUUAGCAACUGAACCAGUAUCAAAUGCCGAGGGGUUGCUAUAAACACUAGUAAAGUACACAUCAAUAACAUGUAUAUCAAAUAUACCUUUGUUCACUUUGCCAUCCUUCUGAUCCGCCAAAUACUUGGGGCAGUUCCGCUUCCAGUGACCAGUUCCUUUGCAGUAGAAGCACUUAGUCUCAGGCUUAGGUCCAGACUUGGGCUUCUUCACUUGAGUAGCAACUUACUUGCCGUUCUUCUUGAAGUUCCCCUUCUUUCCUUUGCCCUUUUUCUUGAAACUAGUGAUCUUUUCAACCAUCAACACUUGAUGUUUUUCUUGAUUUCUACCUUCGCCGAUUUUAGCAUCACGAAGAGCUUGGGAAUUGUUUCUGUCAUCCCUUGCAUAUUAUAGUUCAUCACGAAGUUCUAGUAACUUGGUGAUAGUGACUAAAGAACUUUGUCAAUUACUAUCUUAUCUGAAAGAUUAACUCCCACUUAAUUGAAGCAAUUGUAGUACCCAGACAAUCUGAGCACAUGCUCACUGGUUGAGCUAUUCUCCUCCAUCUUGUAGGCAUAGUACUGUCAGAGGUCUCAUACCUCUCGACACGGGCAUGAGUAUGAAAUACCAAUUUCAACUCUUGGAACAUCUUAUAUGCUUCGUGGCGUUCAAAACAUUUUUGAAGUCCCGGUUCUAAGCCGUAAAGCAUGGUGCACUAAACUAUCAAGUAUUUAUCAUACCGAGCUUUUGUCAAAGCGUUCAUAACGUCUGCAUCUGCUCCUGCAAUAGGUCUGUCACCUAGCGGUGCAUCAAUGACAUAAUUCUUCUGUGCAGCAAUGGGGAAAAUCCUCAGAUCAUGGACCAAGUCCGCAUCAUUGCUACUAUCAUCUUUCAACUUAUAUUUCUCUAGGAACAUAUAAAAAUAAACGGGGAGCUACAUCGCGAGCUAUUGAUCUACAACAUAGAUAUGCUAAUACUACCAGGACUAAGUUCAUGAUAAAUUAAAGUUCAAUUAAUCAUAUUACUUAAGAACUCCCACUUAGAUAGACAACCCUCUAGUCAUCUAAAUGAUCACCUGGUCCAAAUCAACUAAGCCAUGUCCGAUCAUCACGUGAGAGGGAGUAGUUUUCAAUGGUGAACAUCACUAUGUUGAUCAUAUCUACUAUAUGAUCCAUGCUCGACCUUUCGGUAUCCAGUGUUCCGAGGCCGUAUCUGCAUAUGCUAGGCUCGUCAAGUUUAACCCGAGUAUUCCGCAUGUGCAAAACUGGCUUGCACACGUUGUAUGUGAACGUAGAGCUUAUCUCACCCGAUCAUCACGUGGUGUCUCGGCAUGACGAACUGUCACAACGGUGCAUACUCAGGGAGAACACUUAUACCUUGAAAUUUAGUGAGAGAUCAUCUUAUAAUGCUACCGCCGAACUAAGCAAAAUAAGAUGCAUAAAGGAUAAACAUCACAUGCAAUCAAUAUAAGUGAUAUGAUAUGGCCAUCGUCAUCUUGUGCCUUUGAUCUCCAUCUUCAAAGCACCGUCAUGAUCACCAUCGUCACCGGCGCGACACCUUGAUCUCCAUCGUAGCAUCGUUGUCGUCUCGCCAACUAUUGCUUCUACGACUAUCGCUACCGCUUAGUGAUAAAGUAAAGCAAUUACAUGGCGAUUGCAUUUCAUACAAUAAAGCGACAACCAUAUGGCUCCAGCUAGUUGCCGAUAAAUCCGUUACAAAACAUUAUCAUCUCAUACAAUAAAAUUUAGCAUCAUGUCUUGACCAUAUCACAUCACAACAUGCCCUGCAAAAACAAGUUAGACGUCCUCUACAUUGUUGUUGCAAGUUUUACGUGGCUACUACGGGCUGAGCAAGAACCGUUCUUACCUACGCAUCAAAACCACAACGAUAUUUCGUCAAGUAUGUGUUGUUUUAACCUUCAACAAGGACCGGGCGUAGCCACACUCGAUUCAACUAAAGUUGGAGAAGCUGACACCCGCCAGCCACCUGUGUGCAAAGCACGUUGGUAAAACCAGUCUCACGUAAGCGUACGCGUAAUGUCGGUCCGGGCCGCUUCAUCCAACAAUACCGCCGAAUUAAAGUAUGACAUGCUGGUAAGCAGUAUGACUAGUAUCGCCCACAACUCACUUGUGUUCUACUCGUGCAUAUAACAUCUACGCAUAAACCUGGCUCGGAUGCCACUGUUGGGGAACGUAGUAAUUUCAAAAAAAUCCCUACGCACACGCAAGAUCAUGGUGGUGCAUAGCAACGAGCGGGAGAGUGUUGUCCACGUACCCUCGUAGACCAUAAGCGGAAGCGUUUUAUCAACGCGGUUGAUGUAGUCGUACGUCUUCACGAUCCGACCGAUCCAAGUACCGAACGCACGGCACCUCCGAGUUCAGCACACGUUCAGCUCGGUGACGUCCCACGAACUCACGAUCCAGCAAAGUGUCGAGGGAGAGUUUCGUCAGCACGACGGCGUGAUGACGGUGACGAUGAAGCUACCGGCGCAGGGCUUCGCCUAAGCACUGCAAUGAUAUGACCGAGGUGGAUUAUGGUGGAGGGGGGCACCGCACACGGCUAAGAGAUCAAUGAUCAACUUGUGUGUCUAUGGGGUGCCCCCUGGCCACGUAUAUAAAGGAUGGAGGGAGGAGGAGGCCGGCCCUCAUAGGGCGCGCCCAAAGUGUGGAGUCCUACUAGGACUCACUAGUCCUAGUAGGAUUCCACCUCCCACAUGGAUUAGGAAAAGGGGAAGGGAGAAGGAGAAGGAAGGAAGGGGCGCCCCCUUUCCCUAGCCCAAUUCGGACCAGUCCAUGGGGAAGGGGCGCGGCCACCCUUGAGGCCUUUCUCUCCUUUCCCGUAUGGCCCAUUAAGGCCCAAUACGAAUUCCCGUAACUCUUCGGUACUCCGAAAAAUACCCGAAUCACUCGGAACCUUUCCGAUGUCCAAAUAUAGCCUUCCAAUAUAUCGAUAUUUACGUCUUGACCAUUUCGAGACUCCUCGUCAUGUCCCCGAUCUCAUCCGGGAUUCCGAACAAACUUCGGUCAUCAAAUCACAUAACUCAUAAAACAAACCGUCACAGAAUGUUAAGCGUGCGGACCCUACGGGUUCGACAACUAUGUAGACAUGACCGAGACACGUCUGCGGUCAAUAACCAAUAGCGGAACCUGGAUGCUUAUAUUGGCUCCUACAUAUUCUACGAAGAUCUUUUUCGGUUAAACCGCAUAACAACAUAUGUUGUUCCCUUUGUCAUCGGUAUGUUACUUGCCCGAGAUUCGAUCGUCGGUAUCUCAAUACCUAGUUCAAUCUCGUUACCGGCAAGUCUCUUUACUUGUUCCGUAAUGCAUCAUCCCGCAACUAACUCAUUAGUCACACUGCUUGCAAGGCUUAUAGUGAUGCGUAUUACCGAGAGGGCCCAGAGAUACCUCUCCGACAAUCGGAGUGACAAAUCCUAAUCUCGAUCUAUGCCAACUCAACAAGUACCAUCGGAGACACCUGUAGAGCACCUUUAUAAUCACCCAGUUACGUUGUGACGUUUGGUAGCACACAAAGUGUUCCUCCGGUAUUCGGGAGUUGCAUAAUCUCAUAGUCAUAGGAACAUGUAUAAGUCAUGAAGAAAGUAAUAGCAACAUACUAAACGAUCAAGUGCUAAGCUAACGGAAUGGGUCAAGUCAAUCACAUCAUUCUCUAAUGAUGUGAUCCCGUUAAUCAAAUGACAACUCAUGUCUAUGGCUAGGAAACUUAACCAUCUUUGAUUCAACAAGCUAGUUAAGUAGAGGCAUAGUAGUGACACUCUGUUUGUCUAUGUAUUCACACAUGUACUAAUUUUCCGGUUAAUACAAUUUUAGCAUGAAUAAUAAACAUUUAUCAUGAAAUAAGGAAAUAAAUAAUAACUUUAUUAUUGCCUGUAGGGCAUAUUUCCUUCACCUACGCCGUACCCUAGCCCCGCCGGCAGCUGCUUCCCCUCGUGGGCAGCGGUGGGUGCUUGUGCCCGCUCCGCCGGCCCGGACGCGCACGCCGUCCACCGCGAGAGGCAGCGGCCAAGGGAGAGGGAUGCUGCGGAGAGUUCUGUCCGCCGCAGCGGUGGGUUACCGGCGGAUCCCGACGAGGACAAGCGGCUCCUCGCGUGGGUCUACCGCCGAUCGCUUACGACGGCGGAGACGGACGCUCGACGGCUCCGUCGGAUGAACGCGAAGGUUCUCCGGCUUGCCAUCGAGCAGUACGAGCGGGAGGCGAAGGAGAAGGCGACGGAGGCGGCUCGGCUGGCCAAGCUCAGGGCCAGCAGGACCGGGUCGUCCAGCGCCUCGAGGGCCUCGUCAUCGUCUCCUCCUCGUCCGACGAAUUGGACGACCUCCACCAGUCGCCGCCGGCUACAGCUACGCCGGCGACCAGAAGGGGAAAGGGCCGGCCCGAAAGUGGUGAGAUGUAGUAUAAAGUUGUCCGUCGUUUAUGUGAACUUUGGUGGACCUUUGAAUAGCCGUUUGUGAUCUUUUGGUGAACUGUUGUGCUAUCCUAUGUCUGAUUCUAUGUCCGGUCAGCUGAUCUACGUAGUUUGAUUGACGUUACAUGAUUUAGUAUGAAUAUAUGGGUUCGGAUAUGAGAUACACGGAUGUGGACGACGCGAUUUGAUAAGUGCGCGGUCAGUGUCCGCGGACGCGCCCGGACGCGUCCGCGGACGUUUGAUGGGCUGCAUUUGGCAAGUCCGGCUGUAGAUAUUCUUAGUCCAACUCCGACACUAUGCACCAAAACGAACACACCGAAUGUCCGUAGACAAUGAUAGGUAGCCGGUCAUCCAAUUUGAUGCCUCUUAGUGCAUCUACAACCGGGCGCCUGAAACCGGUCUCAAACACCCGGGCGGGCGGACCGGUCACUGACCGAUAAAGAAAAAGACCCACCCGGAUGCCUCAAACUGGCCUCAAAUGCCCAGGUUGUCUGCUCAAAAAACUCCAAACCAAAAUCCUGGCUCACUUCACUCUCCUCUCUCACUCCGUCUCUUCUUCUCCCCUCUCCGAUUAGGAUCGAUUCGACGGCUCCGACGAGGAUGUCGAGCUCCGGCAGCCGCUCCGACAACGACAUCGACGUCGACCAGGAGCUGGCCCUCCGCAUUGCACUGGAGCGGUCCAAUGUGGACAAGGGGGCAGCUCCGGAUCUGCCCAUCGUCGCUCCCGCGCCGGCGCAGCACAGACGACAGAGCUUGCCCCUCCCGGCCCGCGCAUAGCUCCGUGAGGGUUGCACAGUCUAUGCCGCCCCAACGCCGUCCCCUUUCCCCGCCGGCCACUGCUCCGCAAAGGCAGUGGUGGGUGCUAGUGCCCGCUCUGCUGGCCCGGACACGCACGCCAGAAUCGAAGGCGCACGGCGCCCGCCGUGAGAGGUAGCAGGCAAGGGAGAGGGAAGCGUGGAGCAAUUCGUGCGCCGCCGCUGCGGGUUGCCGGCGGAACCUGACGAGGAUGAGCAGCUCCUUGCUUGGGUCUACCGACGGUCGCUAAUGACGGCGGAGGUGGACGCUCGCCAUCUACAAAGGAAGAACGCGAAGGCGCUCUGGCUUGCCAUUAAGCAGUCAGAGUGUGAGGCGACAGAGGCAGCGGCGGAGCCGACUCGGGUGGCCAAGCUCAAGCGGCAACAGGACAGGACUGUCCGACGGAUGAAGGGGAUCACCGUCCUCUCCAACUCUUCUUUCGACGACGAUGGCGAUGAUCACGACUCCAACACCUCCGACUCCGACGAUUAACCACUUGCCGACGGACGCCUACAGCUGCGCCGGCGACCGGAAGGGUAAGGGCCCAGCGAGGAAGUGGUGAAUCUCCGCCGUCUCCGUCGUUAAUUUCUAGAUGUUUAGUACUGUAGUUAGAACCUGCCCUCGUGUGUGUGGAUUAUGUGAACUUUGACUAGCUUUUGAAGAUCCUUUGGUGAUCUUUUAGUGAUCGGAAUAUGCAUAUCUAUGUCUGUUUCGUAGUCCGUGUGAUGAUCCAUGUACUUUUUAUUGACGUUGCAUGCUUAGUAUGAAUAUAUCAUCUGUGAAGGACGCUAAUUAAGGAGUGCAGGAGUGCCCGCGGAUGCGCCCGGGCGCGUCCGCGGGCGUUUGAGGGGCCGAAUUUGAUGACCGCGGCUGUACAUGCUCUUAGGGAUCGCGGCAACCCCGAUCAAUCGCCGCUAUGCACUUGCGGCGCAUCCGCUCGGUUGCCUCCUUGAGGGGCCUUGUUGUCUUCCUAUGCCACGCGCAAUAGUCGAGCGCGGACUUCGGCCCAUGCUGCCCACCGCUUGCCCUUGUCGACAAGGUGUUGGGCCAAGUGCUCGAACUCGGUCGACCUCACAUUGUAUAGCAGGUAGCUGAUCAGGAAUCGGCGGCGGACAGACGUAUGCAUGAUGGUCCUGCACCGAUCCUCAGCCCAGGCCAACCCGAGGUCAGGGUUGGCGAGCACCCAAUCCGACGCCACAUCCGAUGUCUCAAACGCCAAACGUCGUGCCUCCUUGGUUGCCACCUUGUCGGCCGCCAUCAUGAUGUGCAAGGACGUGGCACUGCUGCCAUGACUGAGGUGGUGAAGGAGGCGGCCGCACGAGUUGGCAAUCAUCGGGGAGGGCGCCUCCUCUUCCUUCUUCAUGGUGAUUGGGCGCCACUGGUUCCCGGACUAUUGGCGGGGCGGGGAUGACGGCGCCACAACCUUCCCGCCCCAUAAAAUGAUGCAUGGGGACGCCGACUAGACAAAGCGCUCGGCCUUACUGUGCAGGCGGGAUGCUGUCUACUCCUUGACAUGUCGUUUGAUUUGGACGCUGCGGUUGGGCGGCGAGGGCGGCACCGUUCCGCGGUCGUGGCGAGACCGCUCGAGGUUCAACGUUAUCUGCACCAUGAGCCCCUCGUAUGUCCGCGCAGCCUAAGCGAGGAGGGAUGGCUGCUGCUGCUCGUCAUAGUGUGAGAGGAGUACCACCUCUGUCUUGACCGUCAGAGUGGUGGUCGGCAAUGGGCCCGGAGACUACGGGCAGCAGCGCCACGAUCCGGAGCUCCCGACGAAUUCUUCUGCCUGCGUGAAGAACCACUUGUUGCCGCCGCCGGACUUGCCCAUCGCGGCGGUGUGCGAAGAAGAGGCGAGGCGCUGCCACGUUCGCAUUGAAUCGGCUUCGGCCGGCCGUCCGGUCACGUCGAUUUUACUAGCAUGAAUGUUGCAGGCGACCGUUCGGUCACGUCCGCUUUAAGGGGCAUGAAUUCCGGACCGCUCAGUCAGGCACCUACGUGACGGUUUGCCAACAUCCCCGGGUCUGCUUUGGCUUGUGAGAUUUCAAACAUUUCACGGAUAUUUGAUGCAACAAGAGCGCUGCAGACUGCAGCCGGAGCACUCGAUCGCACCCGCCACCGCAGCACGCACGUACGUCCGGCCGAAUUCUCAGCCAGGAUCUUUCCCGACGUCCCCUGUACGCUUUCUUUUUUCGAGGUGUGUCUCCUGUACGACGACUGCACGGCCCCCUACGCAUAGGGCAGGGCCUGGAUCAUUUGAGCACGUACGGCCCGGCCCAUCCAUCGCCGUCCAUCUCAACGGCGCACCACUCGGUACAGUGGCUGUCUAAAAAAAAUUCGGUACCGCGGCUGGCUGGUGUGGUUCGGUACGCGUCCUUGUCCUUCUACCUGAGCACAUUCAGCUCGGUCCACCUUUUGCGCUUCAUGAUUAUCACCUUGAUGACUUGCUGCUAAUUAUUCGUGUGCUUUUCUUUCUUUUUCCGGUGGAGUGGUGGAUUGCACAGUUGGAGAACAGGGGACGAGCCGCAUGAGUUGACGUCCGUGUUAAUUGAGUUUUGCAAAUCUGAAAGUGAUCGAAAGGGAUGUUUGUUUGCUGCUCUCGUGUUUUUAUGUUAGGCCACGUACGUAAUCACAGCAUGAGGAUCAGUCUGUCUCCAUCAGCAUCUCACUCACGCGCUUUGGCUGUUGUUUUUCACAACUGCGAAUGUGCUAUUAUAGCUACCUCUGGCCAACCGCCACGUCUGGACUUUCUCUGAUGAUGUGUCGUCGUCCAGGUCUUAGUUAAUUUAGGCUUCGUUUGGAUGCUAUGGGAGCUAUUCGCAGGGAAGAGCCCCCCGGGUGAAAGAUGUGUAACUUUCUAGGGAGAAAGAUUUCCUUUUGAGCAAAUUUCUGGUGUUCACCCUACCAUGCAUAAGUAGCCAGAAGAAAAUUUUGUGCCUCAACCUACAUGAACUCUGCCACAGCCAUUUAAAAAUCUGUUGUUCUUGUUGGGGUGGACUUAGGUGUGUUGGCGAACGUAGCAGAAAUUUAAAAUUUUCCUACGUGUCACCAAGAUCAAUUUAGGAGAUGCUAGCAACGAGAGGGGAGGAGUGCAUCUACAUACCCUUGUAGAUCGCGAGCGGAAGCGUUCAAGAGAACGGGGUUGAUGGAGUCGUACUCGUCGUGAUCCAAAUCACCGAUGAUCCUAGCGCCGAACGGACGGCACCUCCGCGUUCAACACACGUACGGAGCGGGGACGUCUCCUCCUUCUUGAUCCAGCAAGGGGGGAGGAGAAGUUGAUGGAGAUCCAGCAGCACGACGGCGUGGUGGUGGAAGUAGCGGGAUCCCGGCAGGGCUUCGCCAAGCCCAAACGGGGAGGAAGAGAUGUCACGGGAGGGAGUGAGGCGCCAGGGCUUGGGGUGCUGCUCCCAUGCGCCUCCCCACUAUAUAUAGGGGUGGAGGGGGCUGGUUUCUUGCCCUCCAAGUCCAUUGGGGCGUUGGCAAAGGUGGGGAAAGAAAUCCCAUCAUUUCCCUUCCCCACCGAUUGUUAUCCCCCUUUUUUAGGGAUCUUGAUCUUAUCCCUUCGGGAUAUGAUCUUAUUCCUUCUAAGGUGGGAUCUUGGUGCGCCUUGACCACGGGUGUGGGGCCUUGCCCCCACUACCCACGUUCAUGUGGGUCCCCCCAUGCAGGUGGGCCCCACUUCGGAACCUUCUAGAACCUUCUCGGUACAAUACCGAAAAAUCCCGAACAUUUUCCGGUGGCCAAAAUAGGACUUCCCAUAUAUAAAUCUUUACCUCCGGACCAUUCCGGAACUCCUCGUGACGUCCGGGAUCUCAUCCGGGACUCCAAACAACUUUCGGUUAACCGCAUACUAAUAUCUCUACAACUCUAGCGUCACCGAACCUUAAGUGUGUAGACCCUACGGGUUCGGGAGACAUGCAGACAUGACCGAGACGACUCUCCGGUCAAUAACCAACAGCGGGAUCUGGAUACCCAUGUUGGCUCCCACAUGUUCCACGAUGAUCUCAUCGGAUGAACCACGAUGUCGAGGAUUCAAUCAAUCCCGUAUACAAUUUCCUUUGUCAAUCGGUACGUUACUUGCCCGAGAGUCGAUCGUCGGUAUCCCAAUACCUUAUUCAAUCUCGUUACCGGCAAGUCACUUUACUCGUACCGUAAUGCAUGAUCCCGUGACCAAACACUUGGUCACAUUGAGCUCAUUAUGAUGAUGCAUAACGAGUGGGCCCAGAGAUACCUCUCCGUCAUACGGAGUGACAAAUCCCAGUCUCGAUUCGUGCCAACCCAACAGACACUUUCGGAGAUACCUGUAGUGCACCUUUAUAGCCACCCAGUUACGUUGUGACGUUUGGUACACCCAAAGCAUUCCUACGGUAUCCGGGAGUUGCACAAUCUCAUGGUCUAAGGAAAUGAUACUUGACAUUAGAAAAGCUCUAGCAAACGAACUACACGAUCUUGUGCUAUGCUUAGGAUUGGGUCUUGUCCAUCACAUCAUUCUCCUAAUGAUGUGAUCCCGUUAUCAAUGACAUCCAAUGUCCAUGGUCAGGAAACCAUAACCAUCUAUUGAUCAACGAGCUAGUCAACUAGAGGCUUACUAGGGACAUGUUGUGGUCUAUGUAUUCACACAUGUAUUACGGUUUCCAGUUAAUACAAUUAUAGCAUGAACAACAGACAAUUAUCAUGAACAAGGAAAUACAAUAAUAACCAUUUUAUUAUUGCCUCUAGGGCAUAUUUCCAACAAGGUGAUGAUACAUCAAUACGGAGGAAUAUUUGCUUUUCUGGCCCUUACAAAUCCAAGAGUCUUUUUGUUGGUCAUUAGCAUGCAUAUGCACCAAUAGCUGCAGUUCAUUGAACUGGGAGUAUGCUUGAGUGGACAGUGGAGUGUUGAAAUAUUGAGUUUGGUCCUCGGAUGACGUCCAAUCAUUUACAAAUAAAGCAUCAUCCUUUGCAAAUGAAAGAAGCUCAGGAAACUUUUUCUUGAGAGGUUGCUCAGUCCAAUUAUCAUGGCAGAGAAGGAUAGCCUGUCCAUUGCCCAGCUUACAAUUUGAAUUAGAUUUAUAAUCAUCAAAUAACCUCAUGUGACUUCUAAAGAGGUUGGAUCCCUCUAACUUAGAACCUGGCGGUGACUGAGAAUAAUACUUCUCCCAAAUAAGUUUCCUAACAAGGAACCCCGUCCUUGGGUUCCACGGCGUUUCGCUCGGUUUCUAUCAACCGGGGCCGGAAGGAUGGUUGUCGAGCAAACGAAGAUGAGGAAAACCGAGUGACGCGACGGAGCACCGGCGGUGCGAGUGGGGCGGGUGUACCGUCUUCUCUGAAACACAAGGAACAUGCACGCACGUACGAAAAGGAAAGAAAUUGUGAAAAAGAAAAAGAAAAACGAAAAGGUAAGAAGUAGCGAAAAAAAGGAAAACGAAAAGGAAAGAAGUUAUGGACGCGGGAAAGAAAAGAGAAAUCCAGACGGAUGUGAACGAGAUGUGAACGGAAUGAAUACGGAAGAGGACAGACGCUGCUGUAUAAUGCGUCCGUGUGUUGGACGCACUGUCAACUCAAAUACAAAAGGAGACGAACACGGCAACUCAAACGAAUAAAAAUCAGGCAAGCCGGGUCAACGCGAUGGAGUUGCUCUAAUGCAGAUUAUUGAAAUCAUUCAUUUGCCAAAGUAGAGCGAGCAUGGAUCGGUACCCUUGUACGGGACAAACCGUCGGUCUCGGGUGCCGGUGGCCCGGCGCUUUCGAAAGGGUCGCCUCGAGAUGCCUUAAAAAAAGGAAGUUGGCCCGGCGAUGGAACGGCGCCGGCCGCGGCGACACGGUCGCCGGAUGCAAGGGAGUUUGCCAUUUACCUCGGUUUUGCUUCGGCUUCGGGGACGCGCCAGUAACAUGCAAGGUGGAUCGACACCUCUGGGCCACCGAUGGAUCUGCCGACGACGUACGUCGUCUCGGGCUGUUUUAGGAGCAAAAAAGCGGAAAAGGGUCCGGAAGUGCUGUUCUGCCAGUAAAUUCCAAAAAAUUGGAAAGAAAAUUAAAAAAAUCUGAUUUUUCUGAGAGAUAAACAUUGCUGAAUGUUUUACCAACUUGCAAAGUUUUGUGAUGGAAAAACAUUCCUGGAGGUCUGAAAAAAAAAAGAAAAUUGAUGUUCUAAAGUGCUUUCAAAAAAUGCCCUUUUUAGAACAUUGUUUUUGUUUUUUUUGCGGUGGCCUCCACAAAUGUUUUUUCACCACGAAAUUUUGCAUGUUUGUAAAACUUUCAACAAUGUUUGUCCCAAAAAUAGUUUCACAUUUUUUUAAUUUUUAUUUCAUUUGAAUUGAUUUUACUGUUCACCCAGGUGCAUAUGCACCCAAGUGCAGAAACUCCAUGUCCGAAAGGGUCCCUUAAUUGGGUUUGGAUUUGUCGCGUCUGCUCUCGUGCCCACUCUACCCAUCUAUCCUAGUAACAAAAAAUUUAGCGUAUGUGUCGUUUGCAUGCCUGUGCUGCCUUUGCCCCGCGAUUUCAUCCAAAUCCGAGAACUCGUCCACUCCAUGAUUUUUCUGAGCGUGGCACGUCUCCGUCUCCAUCGAUCCGGACUCUUGUCCAUCGCCGUACGUAGCAUCGCUAGCUAGCUACUACUCCUAGCACGUAGCAGUAGCAAGUUGGUGAUCGAUCAUCUCCUGUACGGCCGCAUACAUAGGCAGCUCUGCGCUACCGACGCUGGUCGGCCCAUCCACGAUUGAGGCGUCCAUCCACGGCGGCGGCGCCACGGCACCACUCGGCCCCGUCGCUGGCUGGCUGGGGCGGUUCGGUACGUACGCGUCCUUGUCCUUCUACCUGAGCACGCUCAGCCCCGUCCACCUUCUGCGCUUGAUGGUUAUGUUAGGCCACGUACGUAAUCGCAGCACGAGGAUCAGUCCAUCUCCAUCGGCAUAUCACUCACUCACACGCUUUGGUAUUGUUUUUUUAACUGCUGCCAUUAUAGCUACCUCUCGCCGACCGCCACAUCUGCCAUUCUUCUGAUGCCUCAUGUCGUCGUCCAGGUCUUGGUUAAUUUACGGUGUACCCGGGCCGAAAUUCCAUGCUUGGCUCGGAAGCUUAUGAGAAUGCACCGGAUCGUGUGAGACAAAUCUACUUGUUUAUCAGCCGGAUGGGCAAAUUGACUAUAGAAAAUUAUUGUGACACGCUUAAAUCUUUUUUCAUGGUAAUACAUGUCGCAUUCAUAUGAUAAAGAUCAAAUUGCAAGUCACAGAACGACCAACAUGACAAAACUGAAAAGAUAGCAGAACAUCUCUGAGUUGACACCAACGUUCAUCAUCUGCCUCUGGCAUCACCACAGCAGCCACUGAAUAAUAGAAUGACAGAUCACCUCCUUACCCGAGCUCGACGCGGCUCCAUCGAUGGUAUGCAGCUUUGCGGACCUUCAAGGUGACUCCCCAAAACUAAAGCUAUUGCCAUUGAACGAAUCAGACCUGAGCAACAUGGCGGACACGCCAUCGAACUCCAGAUCUGACACCCCACCACGACUAAGACGCCAAAGGAGGAAACUACACCUGCCAUCCAUCAACCAUGAACCCAACACAUGUUCCGUCUUCCAGAUGUUGUCGAUGCAGACCACAAUCUGCAUCCACUCCUGGACUACCUCCCCAGCUCUACGACGAUGUUGGAGCAGACGCCAUUGCAACGGCGGAGCCCGAUGACACAUGUCCACCACAAGGAUGCCAUCGCCACCACACCAUUCUUACUUGAACAGACUGGAUUUGAAAUACAUCCCCAACGAUAGGACCAAUCGUCUCAUCGGAGUAGGAUCUGAAGAAAUUUUAUUCAGCGCCGCCAUCACCAUCGUCGAAACCAAGAUGAUGAACAAACUAAAAAACUAAACUACUUUGGUCUAAGACUAUCCACACGCGUGGAUCCCAUAACUCCCCUCACCAUCGACGAUUGAGAUGGCCGACGGAGGGGAGUCGCCAGGGAACGGCGGCGGAGCACGAGUCCCUAGCGGCGGAAAGCUAGAUUGCUGUUCCUGGCGUACACUAGUGCAGAACCGGGCUUUAGCGCCGGUUCGUAAGGGCCUUUAGUGCCGAUUCCACAACCGGCACUAAAGAGUGGGGACUAAAGGUCCCCUCUUCUUUAGUACCGGUUCAUCACGAACCGGCGCUAAAGUGCCACCACGUGGCACGAGCCAGGCCCGGGUGCGUGUAGGACAUUAGUACCGGUUGGUAACACCAACCGAUACUAAAUGUUUGGGGUGUUUUGGUUUUAUUUUUUAUUUUUCCUUUAAUUUUGUGUUUUCAAUUUAAUUUAGUGAUUAUUUUACAUUAUAAUGAGUUGUUAAAUCAUUAGGUGAAUGUACCGCGGAUUAGUUUCGACUGGAUGCAUGUGGAUCCUAGCUAAGUGAUCAAGUAUAUGCCAUAUCCAUAUUAUACUUGAUCACCUAUAAUUAAGUGAUCAAGUAUAAUAUGGAUAUGACAUAUACUUGAUCACUUAGCUAGGAUCCAUCCAGCUGAAACUAAUCUGCGGUUUCUUUCAUAAAUGAUAUAAUAACUCAUCCUCAUCAUCAUAUUAAUAUAAAAACUCUUGCAUCAUAUCAUCAACAACAGUAUACUAGCUAGCUAAAAAUCAUCAUAGUCGUCAUUACCACUGUUUAAUCAUCACUGUUUAAUCGUCAUUACCGCUAUCUCAUCACCACCAACACUAGCUUAAAGAAGAAACAUUCACUUAUACCAGAAGCAAAGAUAUCAUCGAGUUCAACAUGGUCAUGAUAUUAUAAGCGUUCAUAACGCCAUAAAAGCAAAUCACUCUUUGAGAUUAAGUUCGGGACGAAGAACACGGACAUGAGAGGACAAGUACUAAGAGCAUGAACUAGCUAAAUCACUCCUGCUGCUCUCUCACAGGUAAAAUAGCAUAGAACAUGUAUAGCUCUCCUGAUUCAUCAUACUGGAGCAUGCAGAUGAACCUGUCUCCUAAUCGUGGGCUGCUCUUCUCAUUGCUGCCCCCUAGUACUUCUCUGGGAUCGUUAACAAUUUUGCUCCAAUCUUUCACUAUUAAGCAUUCACCGCUUUUAGAAAUCCUGAAUGCACUCAUGUGCAAUGUAGGAUAUCUUGGCCGUAAGCUAACCAUUGACAUGUGACCUUUACUCUCGAUCCACUGAGGCACAACUGUCAUCGGGAGUCCCUGUUGAAGAACAUUGUAUAGUAAUUAAUAUACUUAGCAAUGAAAGUUUAGCAAAAAAUAAUGUAUGCAAAAGAUGCACUGAGGACAAAUAGUAAAAAUCUUACCAUCUUUCGUAAAUAGAUGUGACCGUAGUUCAAUACGAUCACUAUUGGUCACACGUUUUGAGUACUAACAUUUCUAAGUGCAGGAAGAAAAUUUGUCUUGACAGUAUGAAGAUCCUCAAGCCAUGAAACAUAAUGACUUAUCUCCUCGCAGUUUAGUUUAGCUCCGGGACAGUAGUAGGUCCUGUCUACCAAGCGCCAGACAUGUUUGCUUGAAUGGAAAUAAGCUGUCAAUAGAAAUUAGUUGUCAACUAUUUUUGAAUAAACAAUAUCAAAGACAUUAAUAUGGUUGAGAAACUCACAUAAUGGUAGAACUGGAGGCGUCUGCACAUCGACCCAGAUGUCUCUAUUACCUUCAAUAUCAUCUUCCGGACGAAUAUCAAAGGUGAUAACCAUAUCAGACUCAAAUGCAUAAGCCUUGCAUAGUGCUUGCCAAAUUUUGCAUUCAAAAUAGGUGUACGUGUCUGCAUUGUAUAAUUUGAAGUUGAAAGUAUAACCAUGUUCGGUCUUCAGGUAAACUCUCUUUACCUCCAUAGUUUUCAAAGCACUGAAACCUAUCUUAUCCAAGACAAAAAUUCUUGCAUGGCAGGGGAUGCGCUAGUAGAAUAGUAAAAAUUUAAAAUUAUAAGUUGAAGCAAAUGAAGCAUAUAUAAGUCAUGCUUAAUUACGAAAAAAGACUUGUCGUUGUGACUUACUGUAUCCACUUCGAAGGUCUCAUCCAGCUUGAUGCUGAAGCGCCUAUCAUCAACAAGGAAAUUUCUGUCGCACAGGCCGCGCUGGUCUUCACAGUAUUCACACAUAAUGAAAUCUUUUUCGUCGUCAGACGACAUUUCCUAUGUUCAUAUAGGUGAAACAUUAAACACUUACUAGUUCUAUUAAUUCAACUAAUUUAACUACUUCUAUUAAUUCAACUAAUUCAACUAAGCAUUUACUAAAAGUAAACUUGUUCUAUUAAUUUUCUUACUAAAUAAAGUAGCUNNNNNNNNNNNNNNNNNNNNNNNNNNNNNNNNNNNNNNNNNNNNNNNNNNNNNNNNNNNNNNNNNNNNNNNNNNNNNNNNNNNNNNNNNNNNNNNNNNNNNNNNNNNNNNNNNNNNNNNNNNNNNNNNNNNNNNNNNNNNNNNNNNNNNNNNNNNNNNNNNNNNNNNNNNNNNNNNNNNNNNNNNNNNNNNNNNNNNNNNNNNNNNNNNNNNNNNNNNNNNNNNNNNNNNNNNNNNNNNNNNNNNNNNNNNNNNNNNNNNNNNNNNNNNNNNNNNNNNNNNNNNNNNNNNNNNNNNNNNNNNNNNNNNNNNNNNNNNNNNNNNNNNNNNNNNNNNNNNNNNNNNNNNNNNNNNNNNNNNNNNNNNNNNNNNNNNNNNNNNNNNNNNNNNNNNNNNNNNNNNNNNNNNNNNNNNNNNNNNNNNNNNNNNNNNNNNNNNNNNNNNAACUAAUUCAACUAAGAAUUUACUAAAAAUAAACUAGUUCUAUUAAUUUUCUUACUAAAAUAUAUAAAGUAGCUAUAUAUAGUAAUAUUUUAAUUAGAUCAUCAAAUCUCAUAUACCUAAAUUUUCUUACUAAAUAUAAACUAGUUCUAGUAAUUCAACUAGUUCAACUAAGCAUUUACUAAAAAUAAACUAGUUAUAUUAAUUCAACUAGUUCAAAUAAUCUCAUAUACCUAAAUUUUCUUACUAAAAAUAAACUAGUUCUAUUAAUUUUCAUGCUAAAAUUAAACUAGUUAUAUUAAUUGAACUAGUUCAAAUCUCAUAUAUAUACCUAAUUAAUAUCGGCCCCCUUUAGUACCGGUUCAUGACACCAACCGGUACUAAUGGUUGUACGCUGCCACCAGCGGUGCACAAUGUUUAAUCCCACCUCGCCGAGCGAAGGGCAGCCGCACUGGUUUAUAAACCCAGCCGCGGCUGCUCCUUCGAACUUCUCUAUAUAGCAGGCUUCUGGGCCUAACUAUGGCGCGCUGCCUUGUGAGCCUGCUCGCCCUUCUGGGCCUGAAUUUGCACACCCUAGGUCUGGCAGGCCCACUGGACAGCGCCCCAACAAUUUCACGGUCAUUUAGCUCUUUAAACAAAUCAGUAAAUGACUGAAAAAUAGCAAAUGAUGUCAGAACGUGUUGAAAAUUGAUGACGUCGCUUUGAAUGCUGCCUGAACGCAAAAAUAGUCUGGAGUUCAAAUAAGUUUAAAAAACACUGAAGUGCCCAUGUAACCGAUGAGUUCUCGUCCGAAACCCUGAUACUCCGAAAAAGAUUGUCCAGUUUGUACACGAAGCGCGUCCAGUUUUCGCCGUGACCCUCUCUAUUCUUUUGCACAUGCUAUGCGGGUGAAAUGAUGAUACCAUGCCAAGUUCCAACAUUUUCAGAGUUCAUUUUGUAGUGAUUUUCAAUUUCACGGUCAUUUAGCUCUCUAAACAAAUCGGUACAUGACUGGAAAAUAACAAAUGAUGUCAGAACAUGUUGGAAAUUGAUGACGUCGCUUUGAAUGCUGCAUACUGAACGUAAAAAUAGUCUGGAGUUCAAAUAAGUUUAAAAAACAUUGAAGUGCCCGUGUAACAGAUGAGUUCUCGUCCGAAAUCCUGAUACUCCGAAAGAGAUUGUCCAGUUUAUACAUGAAGUGCGUCCAGUUUUGAAGUGAGUGGAGAGAGUGAGGGGCGGCCGGCGGGGGAGGACCGGCGCGGGGGAUUGAGGGGGAGACCGAGUGAGUGGAGAGAGUGAGGGUGUAAACAUGUAAAAAUAUACAUAAAAAAUACAUUGAUUAUCAUUGAUCUUUUUGUGUACAGUCUGAAUUGUCAAUAUGAGUUCUCAACGGUUUAGAAACCGGUGAAGACUCAUAUUGCGACCACAAAUUCUACACAUAGAGUUCAAUGAAGACCAAGUGCUUGUGAUAGUUUGAGAAGUAACAUAUUUAAUGUGGUAAAAAUUUUGCUAGGGGAGCGAGGUGGGACUAAAAACAGUCUGCCACAACCUCUUUACUACCGGUUCAUGCCACGAACCGGUAUUAAAGGGGCUGGCCGGGCCCCAGCCUCUUUAGUACCGGUUCGUGGCAUGAACCGGCACUAAAGGUUCGCACUGAACCGGUACUAAAGAUCUCCUCUCGCCUAGCCGUUUGAACCGGCACUAAUGAACACAUUAGUGCCGGCUCAAAUGCAAACCGGGACUAAUGUGUCUCACAUUUGACCCUUGUUCUACUAGUGGUAGUGAUACGCUCAAAUCUUACCACAAGCAGUAACAUAUAACAAACUGGUAACAAUAGCUCGCCUGCCAUGGCUUUGCCCCUAGUCUCCAUCACUACGUCUAAUCUAAUCUAAUGGAGUUGUACUACUAAUUUAGUGGAAACCCCCGAAGCCGCCUGGGUCAAGGUGCAUGCACGAACACGAGCAGCAGAUUGUAACUUUAUUAGAGUAGAAGGGCAGUGGCACCAAUAAGAUAGCCGAUACAUCUAUUGGUUGUCAACAUGAGCCCACAUAUACUCAACCAAAUUAUCUUGCAGCUGAAUGGGAGUUUCUCAAUCACGCAUUGAUGACGAAAUUCAGUGAACUGUGCAAACCUUGCCGCUCUUGCAUGCUCAGGCGCAACAUUUUCACCCUGAAACUGAACCCUUGGUCAUAGAUACGUUUCGGGCGCUCAUCCUCUACGAUCAUAUUGUGUAUGAUCACAUAAGCAGUCAUCACCUCCCAUAACUUCUUGGUGCUCCAAGUUCUAACAGGAUAUUGAACGAUGUCCCAUCAAGAUUGAAGAACACCAAAGGCACGCUCCACAUCCUUCCUAGCACUCUCUUGCUCUUGGGAAAAUCUCUUCCUCUUCUAUCAUACAGGGUCGGGGAGUGUCUUCACAAGAGUAGUCCACUAAGGAUAGAUACCGUCAGCUAGGUAGUAUUCUUUGUUGUAGUGAUGGCCAUUGAUCUCAACAUUGACCUCUGGGCAGUUGCCUUAUGCAAGCCUUGCAAACACCGGACAGCGUUGAAGCAUGUUGAUAUCAUUGUGAGAUCCGGUCAUAUGACGAAGAAAAGUGUGCCAAAUCCAGAGAUCUUAUGAAGCCACGGCCUCGAGUAUGAUAGUGCAAGCUUUGACAUGGUCCCUAUACUGCCCUUGCCAAGUAGAAGGGCAGUUCUUCCACUCCCAGUGCAUACAACCUAUGCUACCAAGCAUCCCCGGAAAGCCCCUGCUGGCAUUCAUCGCCAACAACUGGGCAGUAUCUGCAACAUUUGGCCCUCUCAAGACUCUGGGCAAAACACUGCUAUCACAGCCUUGCAGAACCUAUACAUGGAGUCUAGGCACGUGGACUCGCUCAUUCGUACAUACUCAUCAAUGGGAUUCACGGGAACUCCGUAUGCAAGCAUUCGAAUAGAAGCAGUGCAUUUCUGAUAAGAGGAGAAGCCAAUCUUUCCCAGGGAAUCCUCCUUGCACUCGUAAUACUUAUCGUAUCCCACCACCCCCUCCCGGAUACGGUUGAACCCAUGUCUAGCCAUAUGGAAACAACGCCAGAAUAGGUGGUAUUUGAAGAGCGGGUUGGGGUUCUCGAAGUAGUCCUUCCUGAGUAGGAAAUGGACGCUCUCUAUGUUGCGAUUCAAGUCCGGAGUGUGCCCUGGGAUCGAUCACCUAAACAUCGGCCGCUGCCUACUAAGGUGGUCAUGGACGACGAACACAACAACCACAAGCUCCUCAUCGUCGGAUGAAGAAUCAUCCAAGUUGCAAAUGAAAUUAUGAAAAAAGAACUCGUCGGCGGAGUCCAUCUGUACCUUGCGGGCAAACCAUCGCACAACUUGCGGGCGUAGUCGAAGAAGCUGGCCGGUGAAGAGCCUCGCGCCUCCCUGGACUGGUAGCAGGCAUGUAGGCAUCCGACGGACGUGGUGGCGUCCGGCGAGCGAGGUCGCCGCACUUGGGUGUUGCAGGCAGGGGGAGCGCGGGGUGAGGGGAUGGUGGCGGCGACGUCGGGGUGCUACGACGGCGGUGGGGCGAGGCGGUGGGUGCGGCGACGUUGGAAGGUGGUGUGCUGCGGGGGGAGGUAUGUCGGUGCUGAUGGCUGGCCUGGGCACCGGAACUGGGCGUCGGCGACAGGUGGGGCAGCCGGGUGUGGUGGUUGUCGAUGGGAGGAAGAUGGAAUGGCCAAUGUGCCACCGAGUGGCGGGCUAGGGGGGAUGACAAGGGCGGGCCUCACGCGUGUCCGUUUCAUGUCCGCGCGGACGCAAAUGCCGGCCAAAUUUGGGCCGGAAAUGGGUCGCGCGACGGACAAAAAGCGGGCACACGUCCGUUUGGAUCACCGUGUUUAGCCGACUUUUGUUUCCGUUUCACUUUCAACCUAAAUGAACACGCGCAGACAGUUUUGGUCGGCGCGUUGGAGUCGCUCUUAAUUCCAAUUUCUAUACUUCUAAAAGAAAUCAUUUCCUAUAUAUUAGUAAAAAAAGAACCAUUUGCUUUGGUCUAAAAGAAAAAAAAGAGCCAUUUGGUGGCUCUGUGAGAGUAGAACAUGUACGGCCGAUGAGCUGUGUUUUUCUUUCCUGAAGUAGUAAAUUUCGCUUUUCGAGACACCACUGUACGGACCGAUGGAUUGUUAAAUGCGGCAGUGGCACCGGUGAUGUUCGCUCGCGUGCGCGCCAGGUAAGCCAUCCACCAGCGGCAUACAAAAUUGCUAGGAAACGGUCGUCUUCUGCAUCGACCGGCGGUGACCGACCAGGUCGGGUCGGGUCAGGUCAGGUCAUGCCGCGGGACCUCAAGAGCGUUGACGUGCCCGGUCCGGGCCGGUGCAAUGUACGUGUACUGUUGUGGUGUGAACCAAAAAACAUAUGACUGUUCAAAUGCACCGGACAGGCAGCUUUGGUCCCAGGAGGAGAUGCCUCCAAAAUGGGAAGGACGGCGACGGAACGGCACCGCGGCGACACGGUCGGCCUGCCGGCCGUUCCACGGCGGUUUGGCUUGGCUUCGACCGACCCGGCCAGGACCGGUCGCCGGACGCGCGGGUGGGGCAGGUGUACCGUCCUCUCUACUAAAACACAAGGAAGGAAACACGCACGCUCGCACGAACGCACGCACGCACGCAUGAAAAGGAAAGAAUUUGCGGGAAAAGAAAAGGAAAAGGAAAGAAUUUGCAAAAAGGAAGAAGAAAAGGAAAGAAGUUGCGAAUCCUUCCGAAAGAAAUGAGGAACCAAUAAUGAUCGUCCAAGCCUGGCACAGCCAGCCGUGUGGUACUACUGUAAAGAGAGAGAGAGAGAGAGAGCCGCCAAUCAGUGAUCGGCUAGGGGGGUUGGGUUGGUUCGCCGAGGCGGCCGGAUGUGAACCAGGUCUCGCCGUCGACAGCGACACGGGCCGCGUGGAUACACGGGCAGCAGCAGCACGCACGCACGCACGCGAGAAACCAGACGAAAAUCCAUCCGCACGAGUGCACAGGCACAGCGAUAAAGGCCAGCAGGCAGGCAGCAUCGCAGCAAAGCCGGAGCAGAGCCAUCAAACCGCGGCGCAACUCCUCCCCCUCCCCUGCUCCUGCUCCUGCUCCUCCCGCUCGCCCUGCCCGGCAGCCCCUUUCUGCUGACCGCUGAUGGGUUGCUGCCGCUCGUCGCUGCGGGCGGUGACGCACCCGCACCCGGAGAAGCCGCCGGGGGCGGGGGCGGCGCCAGCCAGGCGGCCGUCCUUCUCGGCGAGCGCGCACCGGGCCGCGCCGCCGCCGGCGGCGGCGGCGGCGGCGUCGGGGUCGUCCUCCGAGGCGGGGUUCGCGGAGUUCUCGCUGGCGGAGCUGCGCGCGGCCACGGGCGGGUUCGCGGCGGAGAACAUCGUGUCCGAGAGCGGCGACAAGGCGCCCAACUUCGUCUACAGGGGCCGCCUGCAGCAGCACGGGCAGGGCCCCCGCCCCGCGAUCGCCGUCAAGAAGUUUGGCAAGAUGGCCUGGCCCGACCCCAAGCAGUUCGCGGUACGUUCCAACAACCCCCCUUGCCGCCGGAGUCCCUCCCUCUGUUUCCAUUCCUCUGUCUGCCGCGGAACUGCAAUUCGCGAGCUAAAAACAACGGCUUUGCUCCGGGUUUGGUUUGGUUUGGCGUGCAGGAGGAGGCCAGGGGGGUGGGCAGGCUGCGCCACCGCCGGCUGGCCAACCUCAUCGGCUACUGCUGCGACGGGGACGAGCGCCUGCUCGUCGCCGAGUUCAUGCCCAACGACACCCUCGCCAAGCACGUCUUCCACUGUAAGUUUCUGCUCGCCCCCCCGUAUCAACACCGCCGAUCGAUCCUUCUUCAGCUAGCCUGGUUUCUGAAUUUCUGCUCCUCUGUGGAUUUUGCUUUAUCCAUUUCCAUAAACACAUGCUGCGAAAUUCCUGGCAGUUGCAGUUCCUGAUUGGGCCAGAAACCUGGCAAAAGCAACGAAUUAGGUGGUGUUUGGUUGUCCUAGGACUUCUUUUUCUAGUCCGUAGGACUUUUUGAAAAAGACUCUCAUGCUUCUAAGGACUUUUAGCAAAAAGUCUCAAAAAAGUCCCACCCUGCUUGGUUUACUCUAGUCCCAACACAAAAAAGUCCCUGGAACCAAACACCCCUUAGUCUGCUCCGAGCAACUGCAUUUGGUGUACCGAACGAAUCAUUUGGACAGCUCUUUGUUAUACGCCAUUCCUUUUCUUUUGUUGCUGCCAUGCCCAACAAAUCGAUUCGAUUGGGACCAAUCAAGGCACAAGUUCCCCAAACGCGUGACAUAAUUUAUUACUUGUCUGCUUACGCAUAUUGUAUUGGAUCCACUGCAGUUCAAUGUGGAAGUGACUUGUCACAGUAAAUUCACUGCAGUUAUGACCAAUGCAGGUAGUACCUGUAUUUAUGUGCUUAUGGAGGUUCUUCAGUGACGAUGAAAUUAGGCUGCUGACACUAGCUAGACCAUGAAGUAGGAGUAUUAGCCAUGUGCUGUGUUUUCUAUGAUGCGCAUUAGCUGAUGAACAUCUUGACCAGAGGUCCAGAGCGGAUGGAUGUACGUACUAGUUUUGAUUUGAUUGGCAAUAAUUGCCAUCGGUACUGUAUUGUCUUGAACCCCUACAAAAAUGCAUCUGAUUGCCUCUUUUUCAUGCUCUUCAUUGCUUUCACCAUGUACGCAAAAUUUACAGAACUGCGUUUCAGUUCACUUUCAUGAUAUUGCUUUCGCUCUUCUGCAGGGGAAAACCAGACUAUUGAAUGGGCUAUGCGUCUAAGAGUCGCGUACCACAUUGCUGAAGCGCUGGACUACUGCAGCAACGAGGGUAGACCCUUAUAUCAUGACCUAAAUGCAUAUAGGGUCCUUUUUGAUGAGGUAAGCAACCAAUUACUCUGUACUACUCGUUUUAUCCUAUCAUUAUAUGGAGAAAAGCCAAUUGUUGUCUCAUCUGGUUAAGGAAGGAAUGUUUUUUUUAUCUCUAAAAUAAGAAUGCCUCUCUUGGAAGUGCUUGUUGUGCAUCUCUGGGAACUGGAAAGUGCAUUUAGUGAUUCCAUUUAGCUUGUACGACCAAAUAUCGAUAUGCUCUUUCUGGUAGUUGUUUGGAUGUUUGCCAGUUGGAGGGAGGGGUCUGCUUCCAACUGUUUUACCUGUGGCUGAAAGAAGGCAAAGCACACACCAAACAUGGAAAUUCAACUCUUACAUUAUAAAUGUUUGGUAAUUCGCCACUAAGAACAAUCACUUUUUCUUAGUCAAGUUGCAUAAUGUUUCCUUGACAUGUACUUCAGUUGAAGAAAUUGUUACUUGAUUAGGGCCACUUGAAAGGCUAAACACUUGCACUUUUGGAUGAUGUUGAUUCAUUCAGCAGUCGUAUGCACAAUUCUCUACCUGUUAUCCUCUGUGAGCAAAAUUACUGAUAUGGUUAUCUGCAGAAUGGUGAUCCUCGUCUUUCAUGCUUUGGUUUGAUGAAAAACAGCAGAGACGGGAAAAGUUAUAGCACAAACCUUGCAUACACACCUCCAGAAUAUUUGAGAACUGGUACAUUCUUACCCUCGUACACCUGAAUAUUUUUUAAGCUAUCAUUUAGUGAAUACACUUUAAUGUUUUCUUUACUUACUUUGUGACAGCUGUUUCUUGAUUUAAUUCCUUAGUCAAGAAAUUUGGUAGAAAUAAUAAGGUGUUAACCUGUAGAAACAGAAUCUGGCUUCGACACAAAUGGAAUGAUACCACAAUUUGAGACUUGAACUGGGACAAAUUAGAAUAGAAUUAGAAAUACUUUCUGUCCCUCCAGACCAAUGGUUUAUCUUGUUGAAUUACUACAUUCUUUCAUAAGCAGCUGAUAUGAGUUGUCAGUGAACAAAUAUGAAGUUCCUAUUAAGACUACUUACAAACGUGUGGAGGCGACUCAACCUAAGUUCAGAUAAUACAGUUUCACAUAGCUAAUAUAAUAUGGUAUCUUUCUAAAGGAAAGAUAGAUUAUUUUACAUCUGUUAUUCUGUGCAUGGUAUUCUUUUGCUUUCUCUGGAAGAGUCAUACUGGAAAGUGUCAUAUUCAGCUUUGGCACCAAACUAACAUCUUUCAUUCUGACUGCUUGCUUUCUCAGGAAGAGUCACUCCAGAAAGUGUCAUAUUCAGCUUUGGCACCGUACUACUGGACCUUCUAAGUGGAAAACGCAUACCUCCUUCCCAUGUAUGUUUUCUUGCUAUUAGUUGUGCUUCCUUGCUGCACUUUAUCCUACAGAACCAAUUUUGAAAAUACCUUGGCACACCGGUAGUUGACCCUACCAUGUAUUUUUCCCUUGGUACAAUUACCUGUUGCACUGAAGGAUGAAUGAUGCACAUGUAUUGGGUUGGUUUUAAGCCUGACGUUCUUGCUUGUUGUUCAGCCUUUAGAUUAUGUGUAACCAUCUGAAGAUUUUGGUAAUGAGAUCGGGAGCCUUUUAUCCUUCAGAAAAUGAACACGUAGCUGGUAUUCUGUGAUUGUAAUAGUAGUGUCAUAGAAACUGUCACGGCAAAUGCAAGCGCUGAAAUUUGCUGUCGGAGAAUACAUAUUCUGCUUCCGGGUGUGACUUGGUAGCUUAAUUAUUCGGUAGCAGUACUUCAUACCAAUGGAAAUCAUGCUUUCUAAUUUAUAGUUAUGUUUGCUUCACUCAGGCUCUUGACAUGAUGCGAGGCAACAAUAUCCAAAUGUUGAUGGAUUCACAUCUGGAAGGAAACUACUCAACAGAAGAGGCAACCGCUUUGGUAGAUCUUGCCUCCCAGUGUUUGCAGUAUGAAGCUAGGGACCGCCCCCAUACAAAAAAGCUGGUCACCAUACUUGAGCCCUUGCAAACAAAAUUAGAGGUAACCAUUGUGUUUUCAUCCUUCUAUAUCUCAAAUAUGUAAUUCUACGUACUUAUCUGUUCAUCCUUGAUGGUUCAAACAAAAUUUGUAUUUUCCCACUGAACUGUAAUUAUAUCACAAUAACCUAUCUUGUCCCUUUCUCAUGGCUGUCAAUUUCAUUUUCAAACCAAAACAGGUACCUUCCUACGAGAUGCUUGGCAUACCAAAGCAUGAGGAAGAAGUAGCUCCACCUCCUGCUCCACAACCACCACAACACCCUCUUUCUCCCAUGGCUGAGGCCUGUUCUAGGAUGGACCUGACAGCUAUCCAGCAGAUUCUUGUAUCGACGCAUUACAGAGACGAUGCAGGCAGUAAUGAGGUAAGGAUCAGAGCAUUUCUGCAGUGCAGGGUGUCACAGGAGGAACUGAUCACUUUAUCCGUCUCCUAUUACAGCUAUCAUUCCAGGAAUGGACGCAGCAGAUGAGGGACAUGUUGGAAGCCAGGAAACGUGGGGAUCUAGCUUUUCGUGACAAAGAUUUCAAGACAGCCAUAGAAUGCUAUACACAGGUGGGCUCAUAGAUAAUUAUAUCAGGAGCCUUUAAAAUGUACUCCCUCCAUUCCAAAAUAGAUGACCCAACUUUAUACUAACUUUAGUACAAAGUUAGUACAAAGUUGGGUCAUCUAUUUUGGAACAGAGGGAGCGCAAAUUAUAUGUUGGAAUCAAGCUGACCCGUUACUUCCCUUUGGGUUGUUGCAGUUUGUUGAUGUGGGCACAAUGGUAUCGCCGACGGUGUAUGCUAGAAGGAGCUUGUGCCACCUCAUGUGCGACCAACCCGAUGCCGCCCUCCGGGACGCGAUGCAAGCGCAAUGCGUGUGCCCUGACUGGCCAACUGCAUUCUAUAUGCAAGCCGUCGCGCUUUCGAAACUAGAUAUGCAGAGCGACGCCAAGGACAUGUUGAGCGAGGCUUCGCAGCUAGAAGAGAAGAAGCAAAAGAACUCGAGAUGAUCCCGAGAGCGUGCUCUUUGUAAAGAUGUGUCGGUUUGGUCUCUUUUGCGGCUCAAAUGUUUACGUCGAUUGAGACAUGCUAUUCCGUCCUUUGGGGAAAAAAAACUGUGAGAUAUUCGAGGUUGAGUUAGGGAGAAAAUGUGGGGAAGAAGUGCUGUAGAGUCGUGUGGUUGUAACUAUUUGGUUUGGCAUUUCUGUGAUUGCAUUAUUUUUUGGGUCUAUAUAUAUGUGACAUUUAAAAAAAGUUGUAAUCAGGCAUAAUGCAAGGGAGUUUACGGUUGUUAAUUCUAGAGAUUAAGCUAAUGCCGUAGCUUCCAGCUAAAACCAUGGUUUUUUUUUUCUUCAUGCGGAUAUAUGAGUGUUUCUACUCGAUUUCAUAAGUAAAUUAAGAUUGGGGUGUCUCUACUCUACAAUCUGUUUUGACGGUGAACUUAAUUCGUUCUCACUUGUUCACACUGAACUUUUUUUUUACAGUGAACUUGUGAAGGCAGCCCAGGAGAAAAAUGCAAUGCAGCAGGACCUCUGUUCUUCUUACCAAGGGCUCCAUUAGCACAGUGAAUCAAAUAAUUGCAUUGCGUUCACCGGCCAGAGACUAGAGAGGGAACAUCAAGGCUCCAUUGGCACAGUCCAAAUCCGUGACAUAUCCAUGCCAAUCAGUGCACUACUCUUGGCCGCGUGUUGACGAGCUCACGCACGGAUCUUGAGGGUCCAGCCCAUGCAUCUUUGGCUCUUUGCUAUAAAGCCAUGAGCAAUGGGUUUGCGACGUACACAGUCCACAUUGCACACAUCACAUCACAUUAUUCAUGGGCUCAUGGCAACAUGAUGAGGGUGCUCGCUCUGGCCGCCGCCAGCGGCGUGCCGUCGAUCAUCUCUCGGGGCACGUUCGGUCGCAUGCUGGGCAACCGCAGCCAGAGCGGCUGCGAGGGCGGCGCCUUCUACACAUACGACGCGUUCGUGGAGGCCGCAAACGCGAGCAAGCUCCGCGGCUUCUGCACCAUCGGUGACGAGGACACCCGCAGGCGCGAGAUUGGUGAUGAUAUCGUACUCAUAGUUUUACAAAUAACAUCGACUACAACUACCGGCAAGCCGGAGACGCGAUGGGGCUGGAUCUGCUGGAUAAUCCGGAUCUGGUGUCCGCCGACAUCCUGUCGUCGCGUUCAAGAUCUGUGUCAAUGCCGAGGGGCCAAAUUUCGUGUUUUGAUCUUUUUCAAAAAGUUAAACCGGAUCUGACCCGGUUCGAUUUUUUUUUUUUACAUUUGACCCUUUUCCUACCGCCAAGGCCCUCGGCGGUAGGGUUGCCUAGCCUACCGCCAGAACCUUAGGCGGUAGAGUAACGGUAGCCGCCGUCUCCGUAACGUCUCGACACUGACCUGACAGACGACCUACCGCCGGCGGCCUCGGCGGUGGGAGGUGCAACCCUACCGCCGGGAUCCCUGGCGGUAGGGUGUCCAACCCUACCGAAAAAUUUCAGCCACUUUUGGUUUCAAUACGUGUGAGCCCCCUACCGUCGGAGGCCCCGGCGGUAGGAUGUGCAACCCUACCACCAAGGACCCUAGCGGUAGGGUGUGCAACCCCACCGAUAAAUGUCAGCCACUUUUGGUCCCAGUACGAGUAAAGGCCCCUACCGUCAGAGUCCUUGGCGGUAGGGUCUUAUCACAGUGCAUAUUUUGCACCCAACUUUUAUUUUGUCUUCAUUUUUUUGCCACAGCAAUGUUAUAAACUUAAAAACAACAUCCACACAUCCACACAUGUAGCAAUGUUAUAGACUUAAAAACAAUAAGUUUCACAUAGCACAUCCACACAUGUAGCAAUGUUAUAGACUUAAAAACAAUAAGUUUCACAUAGCACAUCCACACAUGUAGCAAUGUUAUAGACUAAAAAACAAUAAGUUUCACAUAGCACAUCCACACAUGUAGCAAAUAGUUUCACAUAGCUAAUGGUUCAACAAAUACCAAAUAGUUUCACAUAGCUAAUGGUUCAACAAAUACCAAAUAGUUUCACGAAGCCAACAUAAAAAGUUUAACUAGUUCAACGGUCCUCGACAACAUAAAAAGUUUCACUUGCUCCUUCCCCUCUUUGAGGUACGGUCCUCGUUGUUCUUUGAACGGUUCUCAGCCGCCUUCUUCUUGCGCCGAGGAGGGCGCGCUCUCUGAAACGGGGGUGGACUUGCCCAAUCCCUCUUCGGCACAUUCCUCUUCUCAAGCUGGGUUGUCUGAGUUGGUGGAGGUCCGUCAUCGUCGUCGUACUCCUCCUCCUCAUCGCUCUGUUCCUCUUCUUCCCCAUGUUCUUCUUCUGCUCGCUCCUCGUCAUCGUCUUCAUCAUCACCUUCUUCGUCCUCGUACUCCUCCUCGUCCUCUUCAGCCACCCUAGACGACGAGGCGGCCUGGCUCGAUGAAGCAAGGCUAUGCAUCGGGGCUGCAUGAGCAUAAGCAUCAACAGAGGAGGUAGCGCACCCAAGCAGGCCCACAAGCUUGCGACAUUUGUUGACCAUCUUCUGCAAUAAGAACGAAACAAGAACAUAAUAUGGAUCAAGUUUAUGGUUUACAAUGAAAAUGAACUUAAGAAAGAAUGUAAUUGUAGGAGGCUCGAUGUUAGCUUCACCGUUCCCCUCAACUUGUUCUCACUAUCUCGAGUCCCGGUGAUAGAACUUAGCGCAUCUGAGGCUUAAAAAAUGCUUUUGUUCAGCUCCGAAGACUGCAAAACAAUAAAUGAGUCACACUCACUAAAGUGGAUUUCAUCCAACCGCCGGUUGAAAACAGAUAAACACAACUUACCAUUUUGUUCAUGAGGGGUCCAUACUCCCUAAAUCCGCCUUUUAGCUCUUUGAUGCUGUCAUGGUAGGCUUCAUUCUCGGAGUAGUCAUCGUACAUGUCUUCGACAUCUGUUGUCGUCCACUGGGGCCUCAGGCGUAGACGAUGCUUGAUGCCAUCGUCGUACCACCGCAUGUGAUCCUCGUACUCAUUCCAGUCCAUCACUUUCCUCUCCACAUCUUUGCGAGUUUUCCACUCGUUCCAUUCCUUCACGUAUCUCGCAUGUUGCUCUCCCCAAUCUAUGAUCGAUUGAUUCUUCUGCUUGCUCAUCCUGUAAGGCGUAAGAAAGAAUGUAAAACAUCAAAACAAAAACAUAUAAAUGGAGAAGAAUGCACUCACAAGUGUAGGUCGGAGCCAGCAAUAUCGAUGACAUUGCCUGGUGGUGUACGUUGCGCCCUACCAAAUUGCGCGGUAACGCGCUGUGGCAAGUGGUACUCGACGGCGUAGACGCCAGAGAAGCCGGUCCUAUCCGCACAUCACGUUCAUCUCGAACCCCCACUCUCGUUCAUCAUAUGGCCGCCAAUUAACUAGUACCAAAAAAUGGUAAGCUCACGUGAAAGUGUCGUCGAAAAUAUUCAAAAUCUAGUUCUUAUACCUGGAAAGCCGCCAGAGCAUCAAGCUCGUUGGUGAAGACCUUGUACAAAGCCUUGGAUGUGCCCAUGUAUAGACACCCACCACGUCACAAGCGUAUGCAACGGUCGGGUAUCGAUCAUCUUCGUCAUCUUCGCCGUAGUCAGUCCAUUCACGCUGGCGCAGCUUCUCCGGACGCCCCACCGGGAUUCGCUUCCACAUCCAAAUGGAGAGGCCCCAGACACAUCCACACAUACCGGACGUAUCUUCCGCCCUCUGGGUUGCGUCGUCAAACUACAAAACAAGUAUAGAUGAUAAGAUGACAUAAACUAAAGCAGCAUACGUCCAUGAUAUUUGAAACAAUGUGAUAUUCUCUUACCGCACGGUAUAGGUAGGCGAGGCCGGCGGACCCCCACCUGUACCCUGCAUCCCAGUCCUUUAGGAAGUCGAGAUACAUCCAUAGGGCAUUGUCCCCAGAGCAGUCUGGAAACACGACCUCUGUGAGAAGAUACCACAGAUAGGCCCUGGCGUACUGCUCCACCACCCGGGGUUCGGCACCUUCCGGGCACUUGCUCCGGUGCUUCAGGAGCCAGGGCAGCGGUACGCUGGAAGUCCGGUUAUUUCUUAGCUGGGGGGGCAGUCGCCGAUGAGGGUGACAACCCUAUCAUGCCAGUUCUUCCUCUCCAUUCAUCUAGUGAGAGCACAAUGCUUGAGCGAUCAGGCCGUAAUCAUCCCUUUUGCAAGGGCAGGAGAGAGAGAGGCUAAAUCGCCAUUGCAAAUACUGGAGAUUGUUCACAGAACGGACCAUCUGUCGUCCGGACGAAUCAGGUGAAAUCUGUCCAGUCAAUUUUUAUUGAUACAUUUUCUUCUUUAAAGAACAAUUACUCUGACUUGCGAUAUUUAUUAUGCAGGACAAUUGUUCACUGUAAGGGCGAUCAUUGUGCCAUGAAUAAAGAGCUCGCGCCAACGUUAUCAUGCGCUAGCAUUCAACCUAUCAUCUUGGCAGUCCAGUUUACAAUGACACGAGGAGGCCAUGCUGGCAAACAUCUGCACCGCGCCUCUCAACAGACUGGUGUCCAACAUAUCCUCUUGACGGUCCACUCUAUAUUAACAUGCCGGAGGUUAAUCUCUGCACCUGACGUUGCCUGGCAGACACACACAUGGCCUGUCACCCUCGCGGUUUGAUCAGUGCCGAAUAUAACAUGGGGAGCCAGAAGAACCAACCAUGGAAGAGUCAACGAGAACCGACCAUGAAAGUGCUGGCCUGUAAAGAAAACAACCCUGAAGGAGCCAGAGAAUCAACCCUGGAAGAACCAGGGGACCUGGCGACUUAAACAUCGGCAGCAGAGGUCAAAAUCAAGAAACCCUGCGAAUAGCUUAAACGAUAUCAUGGGAUGAUCCAAUUCAUUGCGAAGAGUUCAAUUGUCAUAAAAAAUGGCCCUGGAAGAACCAGAUGAGCCGGACCAAGAGAGAACAACAAGCAAUGGGAGGACAUAUGAUGCGCAUAGCAAAGAUCAUCAACUCGCCAUCUCACCUCAGCUUCAAACAAAUUCCAAUGUUCCGCUGUCAAACUGUAUGCGGUUUAUGCCACGGCUGAAUAUGAAGAAUCUUAAGCCGACUCCUCGAGUCAUCUUAAGACUCGGGGGCUACACAGACAUGGCUCGACAAAUUUGGCUGGUUUCAACAAAAUUCAAAAACCUCGGUCAUUAAAGGAAAAAAACAGUCCCGGAGACUGCUGCCACAUUGGUGAAAAUUUAAAGAUCAUCAGAAAAUUUCCGUCUCAAAAAGUGCCGGGCAAUCAGAAAAGGUUCCGGUUCAAAAUCUGGGUCAAGAGAAAUCUGUCUCUCACAAAGUUUUGAACUCUCAAUAUCCGGCUCAACGUCCGGUUCAAGAGGAAUCCAUCUCUCGCAAGUUUGAGUUCUCAGAAAAAAAUUAAGGUUGCCAAAGAGGACUAGCUACCAAGAUGCGCGGUUCAAACGUGGGUAUCCUUCCAUAUUGGAUUACCAUAUUAUGAUCAACGUAAUAAAGCCGGCAUCCCCGAAACUCGGGGCCUCUAUUGUUUCAUCUCAUAUUUACUGGGCAUGAGUCUUUAUUAAUUGAUCAUAAGGGCACUAGGGGGCUUCCAACUCACUGAGUUUAGCUUACAAAACCCUUUUGACCCAGCAAAAACGUCACAUUAUUGGUUAAACCUGCAUGUAUGUUUGAUGCUACUCCGAACAAGAUGAUCCGCCGUACUCUUGAGAAGUCAAUCUUCAUGACCCUGAACUUGUCAAGGUUAAAACGGCGGCUUAAGUCAUGUGAGAGCCAGCUUACUGAUAGUGAGGAUAAACCAUGGCUAUCACGCCAAGCUUCAUUGAAGCAAGACUCGAGCCUCGAAAGCUGGUCUUUUUAUACUCUAUUGUCAUAGACAUACAUCAUCAUACUAUGCAUCAUAUAUGCAUGGACAUACUGGUUUAUGUUGCAGGAGCCGGUUUUCAAACCGGGUUAUAUUAUUCAAAUUUUAAAUAGACAACAUGGCUGGAUUUUCAUUAUGGUUAUCAUAACCAAUAUUGGAUGAUUGAGGUUUUCGAAACCGCUUCAGAGAAAUGGCUAUUAUUCCCUCAUCCAAAAAUAUCAGCUUACACGAGCAUGGUUCAACAUUGAUAUGCAAGGCUUUCAUCAACAUCAUCCAGAUGGUGGAUAUGAUUUUAUUUUACAAUGGAAGGAAUAGUCCCGAGUCUCUGCAUGCACACGACCGGCACUUGGGGGCUACAUUAUUCAAAUCACGAUUAUAUCAAGUAUGCAAGUGUCAUGUCACUGCAAGUAUGCACCAUAGCACCUGGGGACUAAUGCAUGGUAUUUUUAACUAGUCUCAUUGAAGACCCGACCAUCACAUAAUGAUGAGCCGGCCCUUGGGGGCUACCGAUUGCUCCUGUCAAAAUUUCAAAGUACACAAGUCUUAAUCCACUAUAUUGAAAGUUGCCUGAAGCUUGGGGGCUACAUCAUAUGAUGCUAUUUUCAAAGGAGUAUAUCUAAUGUCCCGGGUCGCUGCAGGUAAGACAACCCGGCACUUGAGGGCUACAACAUUAAGUUGUUUACCCAGAUUAUAAGGUCCAAAUUGAAGACCUGACCCAUCACAUACUGAUGAGCCGGCCCUUGGGGGCUACACAUAUGAAGUACAAAAUAUUCCGUUUAUGAUUGGAGACUCAUCUGGACAAACUGGUUCUCUCUAAAAGAUGCAACAUUUAUAUUUAAGCAAGUCUUAAGCCGUCACUUCGUCCUACUCAAGACUUGGGGGCUACAGGUGAGGGAGAACACCUUCAAAAAAUUUAGUGUUGAGCAAACCAGGUUUCAUGUUUUUUGGUGGAAAAAUGUGCAAAAGAUUAUCUCCUCGAGGCUACUCAGACACGUUAACUUAAUAUCGUACGGAUUUUUCAUCGAAAUCUGAAGUAUUGAAAGUUGGCACAACACCAGACGAAUUUUCUUUUUAUCAAGCCAAGGCAUUUGAAGAUAAGCUCAGAAAUAUCAUAAGGGUUAUUUUUUCUACAAGGAGCCAACGUCAGCAUAUUGAUAGGACAGAGAUUUCUACAAGGAGCCAACGUCAGCAUAUUGAUAUGACAGAGAUUCAGACCUUUCAGGAGCUGAUCAAUGAACUAAAACUGGUCUUUUUGAGUGAGCCGGUCCCUUUACAUAUUCUUAUUUCAGGAGUUUAGCAUGAAUAAACUCAAAGCUAACCUGGGGGCUAAUGUUGGGGAUAUUCCCCACGACCAAGACCCAGAUCAUAAGGAUAAUCCGCCCUGAUGUUAAGUCAUCUCUGGGUUUAAGUAGCCAUCUUAACAUGCGAUGAUGAGUCCCGGAGAUGAGUCUUGGAGAUGAGUUCAGAAGAUGAGCCCUGAAGAUAAGCCCUAAAGGUAAGCCGCCCGACUGUGAGCCGCCCGGCGUAAACCGCCCGGGUGUAAGCCGCCCGACGUAAGCCGCCCGGGUGUAAGCCACCCGCUUGGAGAUAAGAAGCCCAGGGUUCAGAUGCCCACGGUGAGAAGCCCGUGAUAAGAAGCCCGCGAUGAGAAGCCAGAAUAGGCCAAGUCCUAAUCUGACUUGGACUCUACAUGGAAGCCGCCCCUUCAACUAUAUAAGGAGGGACAGGGUAUCCCAAGAGGGACACGUUUUAGACAGAGAGGCAAGUCUUAGACAAGAUCAAAGUAGAUGCUCUCGAGAUAGAGGUAGUGAGACACCACCCAUGUAACCGAGAUCAUCAUCGUCAAUAUCAAUCAAGCAGGAUGUAGGCUUUUACCUCCACCGCGAGGGGCCAAACCUGGGUAAAAUCUCGCGUCUCUCGAUUCCGACCAACCCCGUUCAAUCUACCACCUAGUUGCGACGGCCUCAUGACUAAGUCCUCACACUAGGACAUCUGCCGUGACAAAACCACGACACCUUCCUUCUCCUUCCUCAUUCAAAAUCGGCUGACCCGAAUUUGAAAUUCAGCUGACCGACAUGUAGCUAAACUGAUAAAGUAAAGUAAAUGAUACCUUUGAUUAUUAUUUUUGAACAGGAUACCUCUGACUUGUUUAUGUGAAGCAGCAGUACAUGUGCGUACACAAUCUCCUGAUUGAUUCGGUUCUACACAUACACAACAGCCUUGGGCUGACUGAUCUUUGUGACUACCCGGAACACACAAGCACGCACGUACACGUAUACGCCAAAUCGAUUAGAUAGUUAAUCGGCCACGUCUUGCCUUUGUUUCCAUGCUAUCGUGUCUCAUAGAGUCCAUAGCAAUUUGCAGAUGUCUGUUUUCUCAUCACCUAGAUAGGAAUCAUUCGGCAGCCAGCUCCGGGUAUGUGUAAGGUUUGCAUAUAUAUUAAUUGUUGUGGUUGGAUAUAAGGAGUUGAGGUGGGACCAGUUCAUAACCGGAGAACCCUCCAUUAAGACACAAACAUAUUGUAGCUCCUCUGACCGCAACACGUUGACAGCCUGCCUGAUAGAUGGUCUCAUUUUGAUGUCAAGUUGGGAACACCAGAGCCCAACAAUCAUCACGUCACAUGUCCUGAUGAUAUCACACAUCCAGAUCGAAAUGACCAUACACCAUCAUCUCUUACGGAAGAACACACUCUCGAAGGUUUUUGCCCUGCAGUUUGCUACAGCUUUUAUUCUUCUUCUUUUCAGUUUUCACCAGCAAGCAAACAAACACUGAAGCGAGCAACCAUGAGCAUGAGCUACUCGCUGACUGAUCAGCCUCCGUGCCCGUAUGGCUUCUGGUUGAUGCAGGCCACGUUGCGGCCGAGCCGGACACGGAGCAGGCGGCAGUACCUCUUGUAGUACCCGACCCGGUCCCUGCCCUGGGGCGUCCCGUGACGCUUGCCGCACGCCAGCCCGCCGCUGAUGAUGUUGGUGGUCAUGCCGUACCCGGGGAGCCUCCCGGCGCGACGGCCUCCAGCCGCCGGUCAUCACGGCGUGGCACGACGGCAUCUUCUGCGCCCCAUGUCGCGGCGUCAUCCAGAACCAGAUGGCCGUCUUGAAGGCCACCACGGGGUCGGUCGACACCAGGUCCGGCCUCCCCAGCAGGCAGGUCCAGCCCCAGCGCGUCCCCGGCUCGACGGAAGUUGUGCUCACUGUGCAUGCAUACACAGCACGGUGCGUGCAGUGUGAUUAAAAUCAUCACGAACCAAGCGCCAAGUGAACGAGAACAGGGAAGAAGAAAGGAACUUACUGAGUGAGUUGCAUGGGGCCUCGCCCGUAGUACCGAUCGCCGGCCGGACUCCGCUGCUUCACCCAGCAGUAACCUGCGCGCAUGCACGGGCACGUAGGUACAGCGACGACAUCACGCAUGGCAGCAAUCGUCGGAGUAUACAUGCACACGCGUCGACAGAAAGGUAGAAGAGGAUACAUACCGGUUGUCUCGUGGGAGGUCUGCGCGAAGAAGGCGGCGAGCUCCCGGCGGCGGGUGGCCUGGUCGCCGGUGGUGCCGAAGCCGCGGAACGUGCUCGCGGCCUCCACGAACGCGUCGUAGGUGUAGAAGGCGCCACCCUCGCACCCGCCACCGCCGCCGUCGCCGUGGUGGCCCUGCCUCAGCAUGGAGUAGAACGUGUCCCGCGUGACGAUCGACGCCACGCUGCCGCUGUCCCUGGACGGCCGCGGCCAGCAGCAGCGCCGCGCCGGCGAGAGCGAGAAGCCCGAAAACCCUCAUGCUCCUCACACCUGAGCGAAAACUAGAGUCUAGAGGAGCCUGGAUUUGUAGCGAUCGCGAUGAAGCAAAGGUAGGUCGUGAUCAGGUACAGGGUUCGCACAUGGCCUGAAAGUUGCACGCUGCGGAGAGUGGACGGAUUGGCACGUCGGUUUUCGCGGAUUUGGGCUGCGAGACGCCGUUGCUGGAGCCCUGGUGUUCCCUCGGAUCGGUGAAUGGGUGAAUGCAACGCAAUGGCGCGCGCAAUGCUCUACUGGAAAUCCAUCUGAAUCGACAUAUAUGGCAAUGUGAUGUGGAUCGUGGCAAGGCUUUGCACAUGCUCUGGGUUCCUUGGGAGAAUCGUUGGGUCGUGGUCAGUACACACUGCUGCCAAGGACGAUGCACUGAUUGCUACGGAAGUAAUUUUGCUGGCUUGGAGUGUGCUACGUAACCUAUUGGAGCCACACGGAGCCUCAUGUUCCUGUGUGAAAUCGGUGCAUCUGUUCCUCACAAAUGUACAACUUCACAAAUCGGACUCCAUGCUUGAAACCAUGAAUUUUGCUUGGGGUUUAGCCUAAACACCAAAGUACCGAGAAGCGGGCGAGAAUCUUUUUAUCUUCCAUAUGUUCUGCCUAGCCUCGGGGACGGAUUGGAAAAAAGUUGCGCACAGUGGACCUUGGAUUUUCCGAGGUUUUGGCGUGAUCAUCGAGGAUUAUGACAUCGAUCGCUCUGGAUCUGGACGGGUUUUACGUCUGGGCACAAACCCAUAAAGCGUCUGACUUAUAUCGCCACAAAACAGUAGCAGGCCAACUUGCUCGUCGAACCGGGCGCCCAUCCAACAUAGAUGUAUGAGGGCUCGUGUGUUGACCUCUAAGCCUAUGAGCCGCUUCACCCCUGACUGUUGAAGGAGAAGGCCGACGCCCGUGUCUCUGUUUUCUCUUCUGUUCCUUUUGUUAACUCUCUGAAGAUAAAUUCCCCUCUCUUUUCUGUUCCUUUUAUUAACUCUCUGUCUCCGUGUCUCUGUUUCAUACAAGGGCAUGGUCUCUGGUUUAGUAGAGCAUUAACAUAAAUCAACAAGUGUCAGAAACUAAUCGAUCAAACAGCACACCAUAUCGAUAGGAGGAUACACACCCGCUGCUUCAACUUGAACCGUUCCGGGACGAAUGGUCGCGCCAUGGCGGACAAUUUUGACUGGCACCAUGGUUGUCGGUCGGGCCAUGGCGCUCCCUGCCGUUGCCCGUGGGCCGUGGUGGUCUUUUUUGUUUUUUGUUUUUUGAGGGAAUACAUCAUCUGUUGUCGAGGAGACGUGGUGAGACGAUUCUCUCAGGCCGGAUGACUGAAAAAAUGGUUCUGAUCGACGGUCAGAUUUGAUGACUUGACUGUUCCGUCAUAUCCGUACUCCUUUAUGGUUUUUCUUCAUUUUUGUCUAGUCUAGCUAUAAGACAAUGACUUGGUAGGAAAAGUUGGAACCAAUACUACCAGCCCCACAGGAUUCCUAGGCGGCUGGGCUUUGCAUUUCCACACAGAAAACACAACAGAUAGAGGAAAAGGCAAACAUUUUUUUUUCGAGCAUGGAGAGGAAAAAACAAACAUCGCUGUACCAAUCAGUGCACCGCGUUUUGACCAGGCCCAUGCACGCAGAGAUUAAAUACGACUGUUGCUUCGUCGCAGAAAAUUCAUGAAGAAGAAAGAAAUGUCAUAGUAGCACGCAACAAUAAAUCCGGAACAGCAUUUUCACAUCACACUCCAUCCUCCCUCAGACUCCACACCUUGGCGGAUGCGGCUCUCUGAGCUGCUGACUCUCGCCGGCGCCGCGCUGCUCUGCAUCGGCGUGGCCAGCGGGCAGCAGCCGGCAGGCAGCGUGCCGUCGACCGUCACGCGGGAGGCGUUCGAUUCCAUGCUGGGCGGCCGCAACAUGAGCGGGUGCGAGGGAGGCGCGUUCUACACCUACGACGCGUUCCUGGCGGCGGCCAACUCGAGCGUGUUCCGCGGCUUCGGCACCACCGGCGACGACGCGACCCGCCGGCGGGAGCUCGCCGCCUUCUUCGGGCAGACCUCCUUCGUAACCACCGGUUACUGCUACGUGAAGGCGGUGAACCGAGCGAGCGCGCCCUACUACGGCCGAGGCCCCAUACAGCUGACGACGUACGUGAGAAAUCUUCACUCUGUUUCUGGUAUACUUGACACUGGAUCUGUACCCUGUUUUUCCUUACAAGAUGAGGUUCAAUUAUUCGCGAUGAAUGAACUUCAAUUAUUCGGCAAAAUUUGAUCUAAAAAAGUUUCGUACUACUAAUGCACAGUUUAUAAUCGCAGCGAGGACAAUUACCGGCAGGCAGGGAGGGCGCUGGGGCUGGACCUGCUGCGCAACCCGGACCUGGUGUCCACGGACCCCGUCGUCGCCUUCAAGACGGCCAUCUGGUUCUGGACGACGGCGCCGGCGCCGAGUACGUCGUGCCACGCGGUGAUGACCGGCGGCUGGACGCCGUCCGCCCAAGACCGCGAGGCCGGGUUGCUCCCCGGGUACGGCAUGACCACCUACAUCCUCAACGGCGGGACGGAGUGCAACCAAACCUCCGCGGCGGCCCAGGACAGGGUCAACAACUACUACAAGAAGUACUGCGACAUCCUCCAAGUGGGGUAUGGCGACAACACCUUCUGUCAGAACGACGAGCUGGCUCAACCGCCAUCGUCGUCUCUGCAUCCUCCUCCUCCAGGAACCCCAGGAGGUCAGUAGCCGUCUCUUUUAGUUCUUUACAUGCUUGGAGGAGCUAGCUAGACCUUGCACAUGUUGCAUCGAGAUGCUAGUCCAAUGUCAUUCUCCGAUUUUCUUUCCACAGAACCAUCGCCUCCACCACCGUCAAGGAGUGUUCUGAUCGGCGUCUCUAGUUCAAUCUCCCUCUUGAUCAUUAUUGGCUCCUUGAUCUGUUUCAUUUUAUGGCGGCGGCGAAAGCAAGCUGAAAUCCACGAGGAAGCAAUGGAGCAUGGGUCGGAAGAGGGUAACCUCUUCGACGUUGAUCAGGCCAUGGAAGACGAUUUCGAGAAAGGCUCCGGGCCCAAGCGGUUUCGUUACAAGGAUCUGGUCGUCGCCACCGGCAAUUUCUGUGAUGAGAACAAGCUCGGACAAGGAGGCUUUGGCUCCGUGUAUAGAGGGUUUCUGAAUGAAUUGAACCUUCAAGUUGCUAUCAAGAGGGUCUCCAAGGGCUCCAAGCAGGGGAGGAAGGAGUACGCCUCUGAGGUGAGGGUCAUAAGCCGGCUCCGGCACAAGAACCUCGUGCAGCUCAUCGGCUGGUGCCACGAAGGCGGCAAUCUGCUCCUCGUCUACGAGUUGAUGCCCAAUGGCAGCCUCGACGGGCAUCUCUACGGCGCCAAUAACGUCGUGCUCCCAUGGUCUGUAAGGUAUGUCUACCCGCCCAUCAUAGAAAAAGCAUGAGCACCGCAAAUGUAUCACUCUCCGAUUGCUUUGCCCUUAAGAUCGAUGAUAAUUAACCAUGUGAUAUUUCCACCACAAAUGUAUUCUGAUUCUCCGAUUCCGAUAGCUUUGCCCUUAACAUCAAUGAUCAUUAACCAUGUGAUGCUCUAUUUCCUUUGUCUUCAGACACGAGAUUUUGCUCGGAUUAGGCUCGGCGCUUCUCUACCUACACCAGGACUGGGACCAAUGCGUCCUGCACAGGGACAUCAAGCCAAGCAACAUCAUGCUAGACGCGUCGUUCAAGGCCAAGCUCGGCGACUUCGGGCUCGCCAAGCUCGUCCAGCACGGCCGAAGAUCACUGACGACAGAUUUCGCAGGCACGAUGGGGUACAUGGACCCGGAGUGCAUGACCACCGGCAAGACCAAUCCCGAGUCAGAUGUGUAUAGCUUCGGCGUCGUCCUCCUCGAGACUGCUUGCGGCAGGCGGCCUGUGGUGGUAGCUCAGCGGGAGGAGGACGCAGUCCACCUAGCUCAGUGGGUCUGGGAUCUGUAUGGCAAGGGGAGGAUUCUGGACGCCGUUGACGAGCGAUUGGGUGGAGAGUUUGAUGCCCAGGAGAUGGAGCGUGUGAUGAUUGUUGGGCUCUGGUGUUCUCAGCUCGACUUCAAAAUGAGACCGUCUAUCAGGCAGGCUGUGAACGUGUUGCGGUCAGAGGCGCCCCUCCCAAGUCUCCCUGCGCUGAUGCCGGUUGCAUAUUACAUGCCUCCAGCUGGUACACAAAGUUUUACAUCUUCGUCUGUAACAACUGGCAGCAGCGGUGGCACUUCUACAUCUUCGGUGGUAGCAUCAGCGCGACCACCACCCAGUCAACAUUGAUUGUAGAAUUUUUCUAUGACACGCUUGUUCUGGAACGUUUAUUUAUGUGCUGAAUUGAUGAGAAAUUUAUGAAUCAAUUUAUGUAGAAUAAUCAUAAUCUAUACCUACUAAGAAAUGAAGAAACCCUUCUUCCUUCCUAUUUUUCCAGGAGAUGGAGCGGGUGAUGAUUGAUUGUUGGGCUCUGAUGUUCUCAGAUUGACUUCAAAAUGAGACCGUCUAUCAGGUAGGCCGUCAAUGUGUUGUGGUCAAAGACGCCCCUCCCGAGUUUCCCGAUAGUGAUGCCGGUUGCAUAUUACAUGCCACCGGUUGGCACACGAAGUUUUAUUUCUUCGUCUGUAACAAGCGGUAGCAGCAGUGGCACUUCUAUGUCUUUGGUGGCAGCAUCAGCGCGACCACCACUCAGUCAACAUUGAAUGUAGAAUUUUUCUAUGACAAGCUUGUUCUGAAAUGUUUAUUUAUGUGUUGAAUUGACUAGAAAUUUAUGAAUUAACUUAUGUAGAAUAAUCAUAAUCUAUACCUACUAAGAAAUGAAGAAACGCUUCUGUAGCGACCCGACCUCAGACGGUCAAGUCUCUGUGCUUAAGUGUCAUCUCUGAAUCGGAAUGCUGACACACACAGUACUCGAGGAUUUAUAACAGAAGUAAAUCACAUGUAUAAUUAACGUAAAUAUUAUUAUUACCUCAAUCCAUAUAGCGGAAGUAUCGAUAAGAUUGUGGAUUCCCAUCAAUACCAACGGCAAAGUUGAGUGUAGACAUCGUAACCCUAAUGUAUCACUUGCUCGUUGUAAGAAUCCUGCAACAUGAGACGUUGCAGCCACAAAGGGUCAGUACAUUGAAUGUACUGGCAAAUUCACACCAUAGGAUAAUGAUGAAUAAAGGCUAUCACUACAUGCAUAUAUGGCUGGUGGAGGCUCUGGGUUUAUUUUUGCAUAAAGCCAAAUUUUCCCUACAUCAAAGAAUAUAUUUUAUUUAUCUACAAAGUUGGUUGAUAAAUAUUGAGAAGGUUCCUCCAACUCAAUCCCCAAAAUAAUAGUUAUAACCCAACAACUUAAUUAAGUAAAGUGAUGAGAUCAAUAUGAUAAUCCAAUAACCAGAUAUUCAGGAUGUCCAUAACGGGGGACACGCUAACCAUGAUUAGUUUGUACACUCUGCAGAGGUUUGCGCACUUUUUUCCAUAAGACUCGAUCUCCUCCGUUGGAUUUCUCGCACUGCAUGGUGUUUGAGAAACGGAUGACCGAGACACAGUCUUUCAGAAGCACUAACUCUUUACUCUGGGUGGACAGUUACACCUACUUUCCCUCUACAUCUGCUAGCCCACCACUGAAAGAGGUCAUGCAACAUACUCAACUAUGCUAGAGCCCAUAAUAGUUUGUGGCUGCACACGGAAGUUUCUAACAUGAAUAAUCUUAUGAUCCCUUUGAGCCUGGGUGGCGAACCGUAGGAUGAUCACACGGGUACUCCGGGAUAUCCUAGGACAACACUGGAUUCUCCAGGUGCCGAAACCAACAAUCCACCCAGAUGUGUAUUAAAGUUGCCACCUUAAGUUGAACCAUUAAAUAAUAACUCUCACAUCUGUCAUGAAUCACUCAACCAAUCCACGUCUACGAGCUUAGCAGAGUAGUAUGAGCAUAACGUAGAAGUAACUCCCAAGGUUUAAAUGCAGGACAAUAGGUUCGUACCUCAUCAACUACUUCCCAAUACCCACAUGUUAUCAAGUCCUAACCAUGCAGUAUUCAAGGGUUGAAACUAAUGCAUAAAACUGGGUAUGAAAGGGAUAUGAUCAAAGUGUGAACUUGCCUUGUACUGUUGAUGUAGAUGAUUCGCACUCAUAACUCCUGAUAGUUCUACUCGUCACACUCCGGUCAAUCUAUCGUGAGCAAGCAAUUGCAUACAUAAGCACUCAUGCAAAAGAAUCGAAGAAAAGAUCUCGGAAAGCUUCGAAAACAAGCAAUUUACUCUUGCAACAUAAAACAAUUUCGAACAGUACCAAAAUUGAGUGAAUUUGGCCUUAUCAGAAAGUUUAGGUCAAGUGCUUCGAUUUGCGAAAAUAAUCAACUCAAACGGAGUUAUAAGACUCAAGUUACGAUCAAAAGAAGAUUCAAAUUCAAAUCUGUUUGAAUUCAAAUUUUAAACUUUCAAAAACAUGUUUAAGUUGCUUAUCUGGAUAGAGGGGAUCAUAACGAAGAAGUGGGUGUUGGUUUCGUUGGAUUUGGACAAACGAGUAAAAAGUUACGAGCGUUGCAAGAUCAGGGACUAAUCUGUAAAAACAAUCGCGAAUAGGUCCCUGACGUGAAAAAAAAGAAAAAAAAGAAUUUUUUUAAACGGGCCGGCGGAUCGGGCGUAAAAUUGGAGGUGGGUCCAAGGCGGCGAGGCGGGCUGGAAGCGGACUCUAGCCGGAGUCGGUCACAUAUUUUUUUUAUAGAGUAAAAUUGUAAAGAAAAAAAAAUAAAACUAUUAUAUAUCGUAUUAUAUAUCAGAAUUUUCAGGAAAAGAUUUUCUACGUCAUGAACAUUUUUCUAGAGUCAAAUAAAAUCCAUAAAAAUUCAAAUAAUUCAAACAGUGCUACUGCUAUAAUAAAAUCCAGUAAAAAUCAUUUUAAAAAUACCAAAAUAAUUUCAAACCCAUUUUUCUCCAAUUUUCUAAUGUAGGGAAUCAUUUUACCCUAAUUUCCAUAUAUUUUAUUUUUGUAGAAAAAAUAGUUUGAAUAAAACCCAAAUAACUCCAAAAUGAAAAUAAUUCGAUAGGGACUUUUAAAUUGGAUUCUUUGAAACUCCCAACUCAUAUUUCAUAUGUUUUGAAGAAGUCAUUUUAUCUUCUCUCAUGAAAAUCAUUGAUUUGCUUAAAGUUUCUGAAUUGGAAAAUAUUUCCAAAAAAAAAUUCAAAUCUUUUCAUAACCCUUUUCAUUUAUUUAAAUGGAAGAAGUCAUGUCAUCUUCUCUCUAGGGUUUUGUAAUGAAGUAGAUUUGAAUUCAUGGAAAUCAGAAAGCAAAGAUGCAAGUUUGGGAAAGUCCUAUUAUUCCCUCUCAUUUAACUUUCAAAAAGUUUCAAAUUUCACUCAAUUUCACACAAGCAAUCAAACAAUCAAUCAAAACUAUCUAUUUGAUAUAACAUUCCAAAAUUUAGAAUUUUGGGAUGUUACAAACCUACCACCCUUAAAAUGAAUCUCGUCCUCGAGAUUUGGAGAGGCUAGCAAGAAAUAGGUUAGGUUUGGGGGUCUUCUCAAAAUCCACCGAUCAUCCCAGGGGGUCUGGGGUGCUACCACCCUUAGAAGCAUGGUUAUGGUUCCAUCAAAACUCAUAUACUCCAUCCUUAUUCUUGACAGUGUCUGUCUUCUCAUAUCCUCGAGAAAAUUCCUUCUCUGGGCUCUUCCGGUAGUGGCAUAACCUUUACCUCGAUUCUUGUGUCUUUUUUUUAUCUUGGUAAGGUUAUUCCGAGACUAGUCUUCUUAGCUGACGGGUCUGGCGCCAAUACUAAACAACUAUUGAUAUCUCAUGGUGGUCAACAAUUUAUGGUUUUUCCCGCAGGAAAUGGGUCUGGGCUUCAUUCUCAUCGUAUGACCUACAAUUGGCAACAGCUGCCUUGUACAAGGGAAAAUACCUAUACCAUUCUAAGGUUAAACAAGUUUUAAUAUCGCCGUCUCUCUACUAUAGGCAAGUCACUCAGAUUUACCAUCCCACAUAGCAAAGCGAAUAAUAAGAGUAAGUCGGUAUGGUGAUCAAUCCAUCCCGCACCCAAAUCAUUACCCUGUAUAUGGUUUAGCGAAUCUCGCAUUCUAACACUCGGUCAUCCUCACCAGCAUUGCAGAAUUUCUCUUGUCGUCAAACCAAGUUCGGAUGAAUCCAUUGAUUCUUCAUGCCAAACAAAUAUCUAUCGUUCCUUCACAACUCUCAGGUUUUGCGUUACUCCUAUAAAAUCGUCAGUGGGUAAGGUCGUAAUCUCUUCCAGGUUUUUUCCUUCAGCAAGAGUGUGCUUGCUCCUUGGCAGGUCCUGGGGCCUGUGGGUUAUGGCCCAUCUCAUCACUUGUAAACCUUAAACUCAUCAUCGGGGCAACAGAUCAUUAUUCCAACAUCCAGCUUCCUAGCAUUCUUAAAUACAUCCAAUUGUACUGUCUCCCUUCCUUCUAUUGGUGCCAAACUAAAAUGUGAUUACUCAAACUCAUCACGGGGUUACAAUUGCUCCAUAUUUCCAACAUCAUACCUCCUUUAUACUCCAAUAGUACUUCAUCCCUUCAUACUCUUGGGGUAUCCCACAUAUCGAGAUAAAGCUCAUACUUAUUUUGUCCGUACUCCACUUCGUGGAACAUCAUUAUCUCUUCCAGGGGUCAAGGGUUCUCACAGGGUACUACCACCCUUAAAAUGCCCCAGUUCCUCCAUAGACCAUAUUUCUCAUAUCCUCGAAAAUGGUCAAAAUCUUUCUUCAUAGAGUAACAACUCAUAAAAUCCAAAUCAGUACCAACGAUGCUAACUUCAUUGAUUCUCAAAUUAUUUCAAUCUCCUGCAUUUCCAUUACAUGCCUCAGCUCAACACCUCAAAACCAAGGAGUUGUUCCCACUACUUCUACUAUACUUCUCACAGACACAACUAAUUAUCACCAGUCUCCUUCUCCUUGGGACAAUCUCUGGCAAAGUGCCCUGCUUCAUUACAACGAAAACAUAUUACUUCCGACAAGUCUUGUGGUUUCCUUUUUGGGCAACCGCUGAAGUAGUGCCCUGACUCCUUGCACCUGAAACAGGUGAUAUGACUCGGGUCCUUCCUGGUAUCCAAUCUACUUCUCUUCCUGGACUUUUCCGUUCCAAUCAGGGCUUCUAUUUCCUUUGGGUCAUACUCUACUUCCUCUGUCAGGAAUUCUGCUAGAUCCCCGUUCUGACAAUUCAGGGAGAUGCGUCCUUCUUCUCCACAUGAAUAGCAAGACUUGGUGCAGGGUUUAAUUGGGUUUCCUUCGGGUGUGUCCUCCACCUCUUCCUUCAUCACGGGUUCUUCUAAAUUUUCCAUGAGGGCUCCUUUCAUUGCUUCUUUCUUCUACUGGAUGGUUCUUUGUACCAUAGGGUAAAUGUGACACUGAGCAGGGUAGUGGUUAGUCCCUUCACACCAGAAACAAGUAAUCUGCUUAGUUGGGCAUUCUUCAGAUGGGUGACUUUCUUCACAAUGAGGGCAUUCAUCCUUGUGUUCCUUAUGGUUAUGCCCUAUUUUCUCCACAGAGCUUGCAUGCAUAAAGUUUCUUCAUAUCAUUUCCAUAAGGCUUCAAUUUCUGGGACACAAACCAAGACUUUAGCAAAGUAAACUUAAAUUCUUUCCAAGUGGUUACUCCUUGCCAUCCAUUGAUGUUUUGGUACAUCCUCCACCAAGUAGCAGCACCUCUUUCAAAGCACUGAAGAGCAUGAUGGGUCAUAUCCUUUCCGGCUAUAGUGUUAAUCUUCAUAUGAUCCUCCAUGUUCUGAAUCCAUCGGUCUGUCUCCAAUUGAGUCAUCAGUCUAGAAAAAUAUGGGUUCAUCUCCAUUCAUUGUCUAUUGGGUCCAUGGGUUUUUGGGGUGGGAUAAGAGAGAUAGAGAGGGAUACACACAAUACAAACAAUAGUCUUGAAAAGACAGAUUUUUAUUGUGGCUGUCGGAAAAACAUCAAACAAAUGACAGCUCACAAUCGUCGCAUCUCACGUAGGUAUAAAACAAGGGUUUGGUCUUCUAAAGGUCAAUAACUCUUCAAGUCUUGUUCAUGUCUCCGAUGGCUGCUUCCGAUCGUGCUUGUCCUUCUGAAAUUUUUCUGCCAGGCCAUCUCUGUUGAUGCGAAGUCUCUCGUGACGUCAUUUAAUAUUCUGGAGUUGCAUUCCAAACUUCUGGGUUUCAACAUCCUUGGCAUGAACCAUGGUCCUACUGUUCUUCAGUCCUGACGAAUCUGUGGUAUCUCGAGGUUUUGCUCCUCCAGCUUGACUACUUUUAGCUUCUGGGUCCUGAGUUCUUCAUGAAAUAAUUCCUGGUCAAAAAUGGCUUCCUAAAGGUCCACCCUAAACUUCUUGAUGUAAGUAUCCAGAUCCUGGUGAUACACCAGCUAAAGUUAAAAGUGCAUCCUUUGCUGAUAGAUGCUCCCUCAGCCUUCUUCCAUCCAAUCCUUCCGAAGAAAUGCAUGCUUAACUCAGCACGGUGACAAUAGCAUAAGCGGGCGAUAAUACCAUGGAUACCCGUGUUUAUGCCCAUGUCAUUGCCAUGAGCUAUCAUUCCAUAGUUGAUAUCUCCUGCCUUAGGGUUUUCUUGACAAAAACUUUGAGUUUUAAUGCUCCAUGUUCCUGUCUUUCUCCGACACACCUUGAUCUCGAGUUUUGACAGCUUCAAUAGUCUGACAAAUUCCAUAAGGGUAGCAUUCCUAGGUCACACUAAUCUGGAAAUUCUUCAGAGCCUUCAAAUUCUCCUAGUCUUCGGUGUCUUCAACCGUUAUAGUUUCCAUUAAUAUAAUGCUCCGUAAAAUCCUCUUCAUUCCGAAGUGGUCUUGGUUGUCCAAUAUCUUGUCCUUCUUGGGUAGUCUCAUCAAUCGAAUCUUCGUGGUCAAAAGGGGAAAGGGGUAUAGUCUCACUAAAAUGGAAUAUUUGAAUAAGCUCAGAAAAGAAGAGAGGUAAAAGAUCUUUUUGAAAAUAAAGUUGUAGAGAAAAAUAUUUCCUAUGGGCUUGCCAGUUUCUAGGAGUCACGUCCUACAGUCAACAUGUGCUCUGAUACCAUCUUGUAGCGACCCGACCUCAGACGGUCAAGUCUCUGUGCUUAAGUGUCAUCCCUGGACCGGUAUGCUGACACACACAGUACUGGAGGAUUUAUAACAGAGGUCAAUCACAUGUAUAAAUAACGUAAAUAUUAUUAUUACCUCAAUCCAUAUAGCGAAAGUAUCGACAAGAUUGUGGAUUCCCAUCGACACCAACGGCAAAGUUGAGUGUAGACAUCGUAACCCUAAUGUAUCACUUACUCGUUGUAAGAAUCCUGCAACAUGAGACGUUGCAGCCACAAAGGUCAGUACAUUGAAUGUACUGGCAAAUUCACACCAUAGGAUAAUGAUGAAUAAAGGCUAUCACUACAUGCAUAUAUGGCUGGUGGAGGCUCUGGGUUUAUUUUUGCAUAAAGCCAAUUUUUCCCUACAUCAAAGGAAUAUAUUUUAUUUAUCUACAAAGUUGGUUGAUAAAUAUUGAGAAGGUUCCUCCAACUCAAUCCCCAUAAUAAUAGUUAUAACCCAACAACUUAAUUAAGUAAAGUGAUGAGAUCAAUAUGAUAAUCCAAGAACCAGAUAUUCAGGAAGUCCAUAACCGGGGACACGGCUAACCAUGAUUAGCUUGUACACUCUGAAGAGGUUUGCGCACUUUUUCCCAGAAGACUUGAUCUCCUCCGUUGGAUUUCUCGCACUGCAUGGUGUUUGAGAAACGGAUGACCGAAACACAGUCUUUCAGAAGCACUCACUCUUUACUCUGGGUGGACAGUUACACCUACUUUCCCUCUACAUCUGCUAGCCCACCACUUAAAGAGGUCAUACAACAUACUCAACUAUGCUAGAGCCCGUAAUAGCUUGUGGCUGCACACGGAAGUUUCUAGCAUGAAUAAUCUUAUGAUCCCUUUGAGCUUGGGUGGCGAACCGUAGGAUGAUCACACGGGUAAUCCGGGAUAUCCUAGGACAACACUGGAUUCUCCAGGUGCCCAAACCAACAAUCCACCCAGAUGUGUAUUAAAGUUGCCACCUUAAGUUGAACCAUUAAAUAAUAACUCUCACAUCUAUCAUGAAUCACUCAACCAAUCCACGUGUACGAGCUUAACAGAGCAGUAUGAGCAUAACGUAGAAGUAACUCCCAAGGUUUGAAUGCAGGACAAUAGGUUCCUACCUCGUCAACUACUUCCCAAUACCCACAUGUUGUCAAGUCCUAACCAUGCAGUAUUCGAGGGUUGAAACUAAUGCAUAAAAACUGGGUAUGAAAGGGAUAUGAUCAAAGUGUGAACUUGCCUUGUACUGUUGAUGAAGAUGAUUCGCACUCAUAACUCCUGAUAGUUCUACUCGUCACACUCUAGUCAAUCUACUGUGAGCAAGCAAUUGCAUACAAAAGCACUCAUGCAAAAGAAUCGAAGAAAAGAUCUCGGAAAGCUUUGAAAACAAGCAAUUUACUCUUGCAACAUAAAAAAAAUUCUAACAGUACCAAAAUUGAGUGAAUUUGGCCUUAUCAGAAAUUUUAGGUCAAGAUCUUUGAUUUGCAUAAAGAAUCAACUCAAACGGAGUUAUAAGACUCAAGUUACGAUCAAAAGAAGAUUCAAAUUCAAAUCUGUUUGAAUUCAAAUUUUAAACUUUCAAAAACAUGUUUAAGUUGUUUAUCUGGAUAGAGGGGAUCAUAACGAAGAAGUGGGCGUUGGUUUCGUUGGAUUUCGACAAACGAGUAAAAAGUUACGAGCGUUGCAAUAUCAGGGACUAAUUUGUAAAACAAAUCACGAAUAGGUCCCUGACAUGAAAAUAAAAGAUUUUUUUUAAACGGGCCGGCGGAUCGGGCGUACCGGGCGGCGAACGACGGGGCGACAGGCAGCGCUGGGCGGCGACGNNNNNNNNNNNNNNNNNNNNNNNNNNNNNNNNNNNNNNNNNNNNNNNNNNNNNNNNNNNNNNNNNNNNNNNNNNNNNNNNNNNNNNNNNNNNNNNNNNNNNNNNNNNNNNNNNNNNNNNNNNNNNNNNNNNNNNNNNNNNNNNNNNNNNNNNNNNNNNNNNNNNNNNNNNNNNNNNNNNNNNNNNNNNNNNNNNNNNNNNNNNNNNNNNNNNNNNNNNNNNNNNNNNNNNNNNNNNNNNNNNNNNNNGUUAUAUAAAGGGGCAGGGGAGGCCCGAUUUGGAGGAGGGUCCAAGGCGGCGAGGCGGGCUGGAAGCGGACUCUAGCCGGAGUCGGUCGCGGAUUUUUUUUACAGAGUAUAAUUGUAAAGACAAAAUGAAAAUAAUUCCUGAAGGAAAUAUGCCCUAGAGGCAAUAAUAAAGUUAGUAUUUAUUUCCUUAUAUCAUGAUAAAUGUUUAUUAUUCAUGCUAGAAUUGUAUUAACCGGAAACAUGAUACAUGUGUGAAUACAUAGACAAACAGAGUAUCACUAGUAUGCCUCUACUUGACUAGCUCGUUGAAUCAAAGAUGGUUAAGUUUCCUAGCCAUAGACAUGAGUUGUCAUUUGAUUAACGGGAUCACAUCAUUAGGAGAAUGAUGUGAUUGACAUGACCCAUUCAAUUAGCUUAGCACUUGAUCGUUUAGUAUGUUGCUAUUGCUUUCUUCAUGACUUAUACAUGUUCCUAUGACUAUGAGAUUAUGCAACUCCCGUUUACCGGAGGAACACUUUGUGUGCCACCAAACGUCACAACGUAACUGAGUGAUUAUAAAGGUGCUCUACAGGUGUCUCCAAAGGUACUUGUUAGGUUGGCGUAUUUCGAGAUUAGGAUUUGUCACUCCGAUUGUCGGAGAGGUAUCUCUAGGCCCACUCGGUAAUGCACAUCACUAUAAGUCUUGCAAGCAUUGCAACUAAUGAGUUAGUUGGGGGAUGAUGUAUUACAGAACGAGUAAAGAGACUUGCCGGUAACGAGAUGGAAAUAGGUAUUGAGAUACCGACGAUCGAAUCUCAGGCAAGUAACAUACCAAUGACAAAGGGAACAACGUAUGUUGUUAUGCGGUCUGACCGAUAAAGAUCUUCGUAGAAUAUGUGGGAGCCAAUAUGAGCAUCCAGGUUCCGCUAUUGGUUAUUGACCGGAGACGUGUCUCGGUCAUGUCUAAAUAGUUCUCGAACCCGUAGGGUCCGCACGCUUAAAGUUUGAUGACGGUUAUAUUAUGAGUUUAUGUGUUUUGAUGUGCCGAAGGUUGUUCGGAGUCCCGGAUGUGAUCACGGACAUGACGAGGAGUCUCAAAAUGGUCGAGACAUAAAGAUUGAUAUAUUGGACGACUAUGUUUGGACACCGGAAAGGUUCCGAAAGGUUUCGGACAUUUAUCGGAGUACCGGGGGUUACCGGGACCCCCUGGGAACUAAUGGGCCUUGUUGGGCCCUAGUGGAGAGAGAGAGGGGCCGGCCAGGGCAAGAGGCGCCCCCCCUCCCCUUGAGUCCGAAUAGGACAAGGAAGGGGGGGGGGGGCGGCGCCCCCCUUGCCUUUCCCCUCUCCCACUCCUUCCUCACCCCUCCUUCUUGGACUUGGAAAGGGAGGGGCAAACCUACUUGGAGUAGGUUUCCCCCUCCUACUGCGCGCCACCCCCUUGGCCGGCCCUCUCCUCCUCCCCCUUUAUAUACGGAGGAGGGGGGCACCCCAUAGACACAACAAUUGAUCUCUUGAUCUCUUAGCCGUGUGCGGUGCCCCCCUCCACCAUAAUCCACCUCGAUAAUAUCGUAGCGGUGCUUAGGCGAAGCCCUGCGUCGGUAGAACAUCAUCAUCGUCACCACGCCGUCGUGCUGACGAAACUCUCCCUCAACACUCGGCUGGAUCAGAGUUCGAGGGACGUCAUCGAGUUGAACGUGUGCAGAACUCGGAGGUGCCGUGCGUUCGGUACUUGAUCGGUCGGAUCGUGAAGAUGUACGACUACAUCAACCACGUUGUGCUAACGCUUCCGCUUUUUGUCUACGAGGGUACGUGGACACACUCUCCCCUCUUGUUUCUAUGCAUCACCAUGAUCUUGCGUGUGCGUAGGAAUUUUUUUGAAAUUACUACGUUCCCCAACAGUGGUAUCAGAGCCAGGUUUUAUGCGUUGAUGUAAUAUGCACGAGUAGAACACAAGUGAGUUGUGGGCGAUAUAAGUCAUACCUCUUACCAGCAUGUCACACUUUGGUUCGGCGGUAUUGUUGGAUGAAGCGGCCCGGACCGACAUUACGCGUACGCUUACGCGAGACUGGUUUUACCGCCGUGCUAUGCACACAGGUGACUAGCGGGUGUCAGUUUCUCCAACUUUAGUUGAACUGAGUGUGGCUACGCCCGGUCCUUGCGAAGGUUAAAACAGCACCAACUUCACAAACUAUCGUUGUGGUUUUGAUGCGUAGGUAAGGACGGUUCUUGCUCAGCCCGUAGCAGCCACGUAAAACUUGCAACCACAAAGUAGAGGACGUCUAACUUGUUUUUGCAGGGCAUGUUGUGAUGUGAUAUGGUCAAGGCAUGAUGCUAUAUUUUAUUGUAUGAGAUGAUCAUGUUUUGUAACCGAGUUAUCGACAAAUGGCAGGAGCCAUAUGGUUGUCGCUUUAUUGUAUGCAAUGCAAUCGCCCUGUAAUUGCUUUACUUUAUCACUAAGCGGUAGCGAUAGUCGUAGAAGCAAUAGUUGGCGAGACGACAACAAUGCUAUGAUGGAGAUCAAGGUGUCAUGCUGGUGACGAUGGUGAUCAUGACGGUGCUUCGGAGAUGGAGAUCACAAGCACAAGAUGAUGAUGGCCAUAUCAUAUCACUUAUAUUGAUUGCAUGUGAUGUUUAUCUUUUAUGCAUCUUAUCUUGCUUUGAUUGACGGUAGCAUCAUAAGAUGAUCUCUCACUAAAUUAUCAAGGUAUAAGUGUUCUCCCUGAGUAUGCACCGUUGCGAAAGUUCUUCGUGCUGAGACACCACGUGAUGAUCGGGUGUGAGAGGCUCUACGUUCAAAUACAACGGGUGCAAAACAGUUGCACACGCAGAAUACUCAGGUUAAACUUGACGAGCCUAGCAUAUAACUGAUAUGGCCUCGGAACACUGAGACCGAAAGGUCGAGCGUGAAUCAUAUAGUAGAUAUGAUCGACAUAGUGAUGUUCACCAUUGAAACUACUCCAUCUCACGUGAUGAUUGGACAUGGUUUAGUUGAUUUGGAUCAUGUGAUCAUUUAGAGGAUUAGAGGGAUGUCUAUCUAAGUGGGAGUUCUUAAGUAAUAUGAUUAAUUGAACUUAAAUUUAUCAUGAACUUAGUACCUGAUAGUAUUUUGCUUGUCUAUGUUGAUUGUAGAUAGAUGGUCCGUGCUGUUGUUCCGUUUAUUUUUGAUAUGUCCCUAGAGAAAACUAAGUUGAAAGAUGUUAGUAGCAAUGAUACGGAUUGGAUCCGUGAUCUGAGGAUUAUCCUCAUUGCUGCACAGAAGAAUUAUGUCCUUGAUGCACCGCUAGGUGACAGACCUAUUGCAGGAGUAUAUGCAGACGUUAUGAACGUUUGACAAAGCUCGGUAUGAUAACUACUUGAUAGUUUAGUGCACCAUGCUUUACGGCUUAGAACCGGGACUUCAAAAUUGUUUUGAACGCCACGGAGCAUAUACGAUGUUCCAAGAGUUGAAAUUGAUAUUUCAUACUCAUGCCCGUGUCGAGAGGUAUGAGACCUCUGACAGUACUUUGCCUACAAGAUGGAGGAGAAUAGCUCAACCAGUGAGCAUGUGCUCAUAAUGUCUGAGUACUACAAUUGCUUGAAUCAAGUGGGAGUUUAUCUUCCAGAUAAGAUAGCGAUUGACAGAAUUCUCUAGGCACUAUCACAAAGUUACUAGAACUUCGUGAUGAACUAUAAAAUGCAAGGGAUGAUGUAAACGAUUCCCGAGCUCUUCGUGAUGCUGAAAUCGACGAAGGUAGAAGUCAAGAAAAGCAUCAAGUGUUGAUGGUUGACAAGACCACUAGUUUCAAGAAAAGGGCAAAGGGAAGAAGGGGAACUUCAAGAAGAACGAGAAGCAAGUUGCUGCUCAAGUGAAGAAGCCCAAAUCUGGACCUAGGCCUGAGACUAAGUGCUUCUAUUGCAAAGGGAUUGGUCACUGGAAGCGGAACUACCCCAAGUAUUUGGCGGAUAAGAAAGGAUGGCAAAAGUAAACAAAGUUAUAUUUGAUAUACAUGUUAUUGAUGUGUACUUUACUAGUGUUCAUAGCAACCCCUCAGUAUUUGAUACUAUUUGAGUUGCUAAGAUUAGUAACACAAAUCGGGAGUUGCAGAAUGAACAGAGACUAGUUAAGGGUGAAGUGACGAUGUGUGUUGGAAGUGGUUCCAAGAUUGAUAUGAUCAUCAUCGCACACUCCCUAUACUUCGGGAUUAGUGUUGAAAUAAGUGUUAUUUGGUGUUUGCGUUGAGCAUGAAUAUGAUUUGACCAUGUUUAUUGCAAUACUGUUAUUCAUUUAAGUUAGAGAAAAUUGUUGUUCUGUUUACAUGAAUAAAACCUUCUAUGGUCAUACACACCAACGAAAAUGGUUUGUUGGCUCUCGAUCGUAGUGAUACACAUAUUCAUAAUAUUGAAGCCAAAAGAUGCAAAGUUAAUAAUGAUAGGGCACCUUAUUUGUGGCACUGCCGUUUAGGUCAUAUUGGUGUAAAGCGCAUGAAGAAACUCCAUGUUGAUGGAAUUUUGGAAUCACUUGAUGCUUGCGAACCAUGCCCUAUGGACAAGAUGACUAAAACUCCGUUCUUCGGAACAAUGGAGCGAGCAACUGAAUUAUUGGAAAUAAUACAUACUGAUGUAUGCGAUCCGAUGAGUUUUGAGGCUCACGGCGGGUAUCAUUAUUUUCUGACCUUCACAGAUGAUUUGAGCAGAUAUGGGUAUAUCUACUUGAUGAAACAUAAGUCUGAAACAUUUGAAAAGUUCAAAGAAUUUCACAGUGAAGUGGAAAAUCAUCGUGUCAAGAAAAUGAAGUUUCUACGAUUUGAUCGCGGAGACGAAUAUUUGAGUUACGAGUUUGCCCUUCAGUUAAAACAAUGUGAAAUAGUUUCACUACUCACGCCACCUGGAACACCACAGUGUAAUGGUGUGUCCGAACGUCAUAACCGUACUUUAUUGGAUAUAGUGCGAUCUAUGAUGUUUCUUACCGAUCUACCACUAUCGUUUUGGAGUUAUGCAUUAGAGACAGCUACAUUCACGUUAAAUAGGGCACCAUCUAAAUCCGUUGAGACGACACCUUAUGAACUUUGGUUUGGCAAGAAACCAAAAGUUGUCGUUUCUUAAAAUUUAGGGUUGCGAUGCUUAUGUGAAAAAGUUUCAUCCUAAUAAGCUCAAACCCAAAUAGGAGAAAUGUGUCUUCAUAGGAUACCCAAAGGAGACAGUUGGGUACACCUUCUAUCACAGAUCCGAAGGCAAGAAUUUUGUUGCUAAAUUUGGAAUCUUUCUAGAGAAGGAGUUUCUCUCGAAAGAAGUGAGUGGGAGGAAAGUAGAACUUGAUGAGGUAACUGUACCUGCUCCAUUAUUGGAAAGUAGUUCAUCACAGAAACCGGUUCCUGUGACACCUACACCAAUUAGUGAGGAAGUUAAUGAUGAUGAUCAUGAAACUUCAGAUCAAGUUACUACCGAACCUCGUAGGUCAACAAGAGUAUGAUCCGCACCAGAGUGGUACGGUAAUCCUGUUCUGGGGGUCAUGUUACUUGACCAUGACGAAUCUACGAACUAUGAGGAAGCGAUGAUGAGCCCAAAUUCCGCAAAAUGGUUUGAGGCCAUGAAAUCUAAGAUGGGAUCCAUGUAUGAGAACAAAGUAUGGACUUUGAUUGACUUGCCCAAUGAUCGGCGAGUCAUUGAGAUUAAAUAGAUCUUCAAGAGGAAGACGGACGCUGAUAGUAGUGUUACUAUCUACAAAGCUAGAAUUGUCGCAAAAGGUUUUCGACAAGUUCAAGGUGUUGACUACGAUGAGAGUUUCUCACUCGUAUCUAUGCUUAAGUCUGUCUGAAUCAUGUUAAGAAUUGCCGCAUUUUAUGAAAUCUGGCAAAUGGAUAAACAAAACUGCAUUCCUUAAUGGAUUUAUUAAAGAAGAGUUGUAUAUGAUGCAACCAGAAGGUUUUGUCAAUCCUAAAGGUGCUAACAAAAUAUGCAAGCUCCAGCGAUCCAUCUAUGGACUGGUGCAAGCAUCUCGGAGUUGGAAUAUACACUUUGAUAAGUUGAUCAAAGCAUAUAGUUUUAUACAGACUUGCGGUGAAGCCUGUAUUUACAAGAAAGUGAGUGGGAGCACUACAACAUUUCUGAUAAGUAUAUGUGAAUGACAUAUUGUUGAUUGGAAAUAAUGCAGAAUUAUUCUGCAAAGCAUAAAGGAGUGUUUGAAAGGAGUUUUUCAAAGAAAGACCUCGGUGAAGCUGCUUACAUGUUGAGCAUCAAGAUCUAUAGAGAUAGAUCAAGACGCUUGAUAAGUUUUUUCAAUGAGUACAUACCUUGACAAGUUUUUGAAGUAGUUCAAAUUGGAACAGUCAAAGAAGGAGUUCUUGAAUGUGUCGCAAGGUGUAAAGUUGAGUAAAGACUCAAAAACCGACCACGGCGGAAAAUAGAAAAGAGAAUGAAGGUCAUUCCCUAUGCCUCACUCAUAGGUUCUAGAAAGUAUGCUAUGCUGUGUACCAGACCUGUUGUGUACCUCACCAUGAGUUUGGCAAGAGGGUACGAUAGUGAUCUAGGAGUAGAUCACUUGACAGCGGUCAAAAUUAUCCUUAGUGGAAUAAGGAUAUAUUUCUCGAUUAUGGAGGUGAUAAAGAGUUCGUCGUAAAGAGUUACGUCGAUGCAAGCUUUUACAUCGAUCUGGAUGACUCUAAGUCUCGAUCUAGAUACAUGUUCAAAGUGGGAGCUAUUAGCUAGAGUAGCUCCGUACAGAGCAUUGUAGACAUAGAAAUUUGAAAAAUACUUACGGAUCUGAAUGUGACAGAACCGUUGAAUAAAAUUAUCUCACAAGCAAAACAUGAUCACACCUUAGUAAUCUUUGGGUGUUAAUCACAUAGCAAUGUGAACUAGAUUACUGACUCUAGUAAACCAUUUGGGUGUUGGUCACAUGUCGAUGUGAACUAUGGGUGUUAACCACAUAAAGAUUUGAACCAUUGAUGUUAAAUCACAUGGCGAUGUGAACUAGAUUAUUGACUCUAGUGCAAGUGGGAGACUGAAGGAAAUAUGCCCUAGAGACAAUAAUAAAGUUAUUAUUUAUUUCCUUAUAUCAUGAGAAAUUCUUAUUAUUCAUGCUAGAAUUGUAUUAACCGGAAACAUGAUACAUGUGUGAACACAUAGACAAACAGAGUGUCACUAGUAUGCCUCUACUUGACUAGCUCGUUGAAUCAAAGAUGGUUAAGUUUCCUAGCCAUAGACAUGAGUUGUGAUUUGAUUAACGGGAUCACAUCAUUAGGAGAAUGAUAUGAUUGACUUGACCCAUUCCGUUAGCUUAGCACUUGAUCAUUUAGUAUGUUGCUAUUGCUUUCUUCACGACUUAUACAUGUUCCUAUGACUAUGAGAUUAUGCAACUCCCGUUUAUCGGAGGAACACUUUGUGUGCCACCAAACGUCACAACGUAACUGGGUGAUUAUAAAGGUGCUCUACAGGUGUCUCCAAAGGUACUUGUUGGGUUGGCGUAUUUCGAGAUUAGGAUUUGUCACUCCGAUUGUCGGAGAGGUAUCUCUGGGCCCACUCGGUAAUGCACAUCACUAUAAGCCUUGCAAGCAUUGCAACUAAUGAGUUAGUUGUGGGAUGAUGUAUUACAGAAUGAGUAAAGAGACUUGCCGGUAACGAGAUUGAACUAGGUAUUGAGAUACCGACGAUCGAAUCUCGGGCAAGUAACAUACCGAUGACAAAGGGAACAACGUAUGUUGUUAUGCGGUCUGAUCGAUAAAGAUUUUCAUAGAGUAUGUGGGAGCCAAUAUGAGCAUCCAGGUUCCACUAUUGGUUAUUGACCGGAGACGUGUCUCGGUCAUGUCUACAUAGUUCUCGAACCCGUAGGGUCCGCACGCUUAAAGUUUGAUGACGGUUAUAUUAUGAGUUUAUGUGUUUUGAUGUACCGAAGGUUGUUCGGAGUCCCGGAUGUGACCACGGACAUGACGAGGAGUCUCGAAAUGGUCGAGACGUAAAGAUUGAUAUAUUGGACGACUAUGUUUGGACACCGGAAAGGUUCCGAAAGGUUUCAGACAUUUAUCGGAGUACCGGGGGUUACCGGAACCCCCCGGGAACUAAUGGGCCUUGUUGGGCCCUAGUGGAGAGAGAGAGGGGCCGGCCAGGGCAAGAGGCGCGCCCCCUCCCCUUGAGUCCGAAUAGGACAAGGAAGGGGGGACGGGCGCUCCCCUUGCCUUUCCCCUCUCCCACUCCUUCCUUCCCCCUCCUUCUUGGACUAGGAAAGGGAGGGGCAAACCUACUUGGAGUAGGUUUUCCCCUCCUAGGGCGCGCCACCCCCUUGGCCGGCCCUCUCCUCCUCCCCCUUUAUAUACGGAGGAGGGGGGGCACCCCAUAGACACAACAAUUGAUCUCUUGAUCUCUUAGCCGUGUGCGGUGCCCCCCACCACCAUAAUCCACCUCGAUAAUAUCGUAGCGGUGCUUAGGCGAAGCCCUGCGUCGGUAGAACAUCAUCAUCGUCACCACGCCGUCGUGCUGACGAAACUCUCCCUCAACACUCGGCUGGAUCGGAGUUCGAGGGACGUCAUCGAGUUGAACAUGUGCAGAACUCGGAGGUGCCGUGCGUUUGGUACUUGAUCGGUCGGAUCAUGAAGACAUACGACUACAUCAACCGCGUUGUGCUAAUGCUUCCUCUUUCGGUCUACGAGGGUAUGUGGACACACUCUCCCCUCUCGUUGGUAUGCAUCACCAUGAGCUUGCGUGUGUGUAGGAUUUUUUUUUUGAAAUUACUACGUUCCCCAACAAUUCCAUAGGGACUUUUAAAUUUGAUUCUUUGAAACUCCCAACUCAUAUUUCAUAUGUUUGGAAGAAGUCAUUUUAUCUUCUCUCAUGAAAAUCAUUGAGUUGCUUAAAUUUUCUGAAUUGGAAAAUAUUUCCAAAAAAAAUUCAAAUCUUUUCAAAACCCUUUUCAUUUAUUUAAAUGGAAGAAGUCAUGUCAUCUUCUCUCUAGGGUUUUGUAAUGAAAUAGAUUUGAAUUCAUGGAAAUCAGAAAGCAAAGAUGCAAGUUUGGGAAAGUCCUUUUAUUCCCUCUCAUUUAACUUUCAAAAAGUUUCAAAUUUCACUCAAUUUCACACAAGCAAUCAAACAAUCAAUCAAAACUAUCUAUUUAAUAUAACAUUCCAAAAUUUAGAAUUUUUGGAUGUUACAGCUUCUUCCUCCCUAAUUUUCCAGGACAUGGAGCGGGUUCUACUAAGAGCAACUCUAGCAGACGCGCUAUAUCCCCCUCCUCACAAUUGUUUUACGGUUAACCUUAAAACGAUUUUGUGGGAAAUAUUAGCACUUUUCUGACUAAUCUAAUCCACGAGUAAGCAGUAAACAUGGCAAAUACGGUAUGUAUCUCAUACCAAUACCUAAGCAUGUGAGGACGUAUAGUACAUAGAACCGAAACAUCUAUGAACAACAUAUAUACGGCAAGCACAUGAAUGAGCGGAUAGGGGAUGAACGAGUCAUACCCUCCGGUUGGCCAGGCCAACACGGCGGCGGCAGCAGCAGCCUCGGUAUCAGCCAAGGCCUUCUUCUUGGCAAUUUCGUCAUCCGCCAUGGAGUCGAUGUAGAGGAAGUAGUGGAAGCAGAGGCGGACAAAGACGGGAACGGAUCGGGAGCAGUCGCGUCGAGACGCCCCAAAAACCUUAUUGCUGUUCUCCCGGGCAGGAUCUCGAACGACAGGGUUCCGGAGGCACCUGCCCUCCCGACCAACCGUGCACGCGGUCCUCGGGAUGGGGUCGCCGGAAGCAGCAUAGAGAGAGGAACAAUAGAUGACGGCUAGGGUUGUGCGAGAGGGAGUGAGUGAACUGAGUAAGGGUUCACUCCACUGGCGAGCGCCUUCUUAUAUAGGCCGUCGGGCCUUGGCUCAGGCCCACGACUAAGUCCGCGAACAGCCCACGGUCCAACGUCUCGGAUAGUGGCACUUCCGUAAGCGACUCGUUAAUUAAUCCGAGAUUAAUUAACCAUUCCUCACCGAUAGAAAUAAGCUUCGGCUUGGCUCAUUCCCGCAACCCGCGGCGCGCGCGCGCGUCGUGGCGAGCCGAGGCGUGGCGAGGCGAGGCGGGCGGCGGCGAAGGAGGAGCGCACGUGUACAACUCCUAUUCCCAAGCUCCCAAUAGCAAGUGGUAGAGCAGCCCUUAUAAAGAGGUCUCACUCUUCUUACUAUAGUAGUACGGUACUAAACUUCCCACCAAACUUCCCACCACCUGCCAUACACAUGCAUGGGUCUUAGAGAUUUACCAUGGAUUAUUGUCUUAUAUGGGCCUAAGCCCAUCCAUAAUCCAUCAAUCCCCACCAGAUCUUGAGGCACAUAAGUUUGUCAACUGUACCAAACAAUGUUUGAUAUACCAGAAUUUCCAGUGGAGACUGUUAAGUUGAACUUCCACCUAGAGCAAUAGGAUUAGACUUCUUCAUAACUAGACAAUGGACUAUGUCUUGAAUUGUCAUUUUGGCGUGCAGAAGUUUCGCCUAUUGUCAGCUGAUACAUGCCUGCUGAAGGCUAAACCCCACAGGUGGAGCUUAUUAGUCAUAUUCCGUACCUUCUCAUGAGCUUCCUAGCGAUCACCCAAUCUCAUAGACUGUAACCAACAGUCAGGCUCACAUAGGUGUGUUCCUCCAAGGAAUGUUCUGUAGGUUAGCAUCUUGCUUACAUAAGCUUUGGAACACAUUAAGACAAAAGUCAGCCUGCCUUACAGAAUUGAGAGUAUUAUUGCAUCUCCAACAGAGUGGGUUAAUUAAGGAUACUCUCCUCAAUUGACCGCUGGAUUGUUUUCCCGGGUCCUAAUUCACGGGAUGUUCGAUCACAUAGGUUGGGUUACUCCCAUGGAAACUUAUGUGGGUCUCGUACCCAUCUCCCUCGAUGCAUUCACAAUCCGUGAUAGCCCUUUCGUAAAAGGGUCUGCCAGAUUUUUAGCAGUCUGGAUAUAAUCCAACGCUAUCACUCUGGAGUUUCUUGAUUUUCUGGCAGAUUUUAAUCUUCUUCUUAUAUGCUUUGUGGAUUUCAUGUUGUCCUUUGAACUCUUAGCCUUGGCAAUCACAGUUGGAUUGUCACAGUUUAUAAGGACAGCUAGGACUGGUUUAUCAACCAUUGGCAAAUCCAUCAAAAGCUCUCGAAGCCAUUCUGCUUCGACGCAUGAUGUGUCUAAUGCUGUGAGUCCUGCUUCCAUAGUCGAUCUCGUUAAGAUCAUCUGCUUGCAAGAUUUCCAGGAAACAGAACCACCACCAAGUGUGAAGACAUAUCCACAUGUGGCUUUGAUCUUAUCAGCAUCAGAUAUCCAAUUCGAAUCACUAUACCCCUCAAGUACCGUCGGGUACCCAGAAUAGUGAAUUCCGUAGUUCACAGUGCCUUGCAAGUAACGCAUCACUCACUCAACAGCAUGCCCAUGAACAUCUCCCGGAUUGGAAAUAAACCGGCUCAGUUUGCACACAGCAAAUGAGAUGUCAGGACGAGUAGCACAAGCUAGGUACAUCAGUGAACCAACCACUUGAGAAUAUUUCAAUUGAUCUACAGCCGUGCCUUCGAACUUUCGAAUCCGCACGCUAGGAUCAUAUGAUGUUGCAGAAGGUUUGCAGUCCGAAUAUCCAAAACGGCUCAAAAUCUUCUCAACAUAGUGGGAUUGCAAAAGUGUAAUUCCACCCUCGGUAUCUCUCAGUAGCUUGAUGUUUAAGAUAACAUCAGCCACACCCAGGUCUUUCAUCUCAAAGUUAUGAGAUAGAAGAGCAUGCGAGGCAGCCAAUGCGAGUAACACUCGAAUGGUUGUGAAUCUAGCCACAUGUGAGUAAGUAUCAAAGAAAUCCCCUUCUUCUUUCUGGGUAUAACCCUCACUACAGGAAUCAGGCACUUUGCCGUCUGCCAUGGCUGACGGUAAAGGCAUGCCUGGCGGACGGCAAAUACCUUUGCCGUCAGCUAACAGACGGCAGCAGGUCCGGCUGAAUAGGCUACGACAAAGGGUUCUUUGCCGUCUGCUAGCGGACGGCAAAGAUGAAAUGGUCUUUGCCGUCCACCAGCGGGCGGCAAAGAGCCUGGACGGCACACGUGGCGGGUUAGGUCCGUUAGGGGGUUAACGUCGUGAUUUGCCGUCAGCUGGCGGAUGGCAAAGACCUUUGCAUAUUUGCCGUCUGCCAGCAGAUGGCAUAGCAGACCACGUGGCAGCACCUGGGGGCUGGCCUAUUUGAUUUCUUUGCCGUUUGGUGGCUGACGGCAAAGAUGCAAUGGUCUUUGCCGUCUGCCAGCAGACGGCAGAGCAUCCAAAUAGCCUGCCUAUUGCCCCAGGUUGCACAGGUAGCUGACACGUGGCAUAUUUGCCAUCUGCUGGCUGAUGGCAAAGCUCUUUGCUGUCUGCCAGCAGACGGCAAAGAGCCUGUAUAGCCCCUGUUUUUUCCGCUUUUUCUUAAAUUUAUUCAAUUUCACAGAUAUAUAUAUGGACACAUAUGAAAAUACUUUCGACAAGCAAACCAACACAUAUACAUACCAAAUCAUAUCCCUGCCAUAUGGAUAUGAUCAUCCAACACAUAUACAUAGCAAAUCAAAAGUCCAUAUGCAACAUAUAUAGCUAGCCAACAUAUCCAACAACAAGCAUACAAUGGUUUCAUCCAUACAUACAUAUAUAGGUAGAAAGUUUCACAUUGUUCAUCCCAGAAAAUCAAAACAAGAAGGAAGCAUAAAGAGAAGAGUAGACUCUAUGAACGCAAGCUUCCUCAUCUAAAGCAAAUCUGCAAACUGGGAAAGAAGAAAGUUAGAAGAAGAAGAAGAAGACUAGUUAGAAGAAGAAGAAGAAAAAGAAGAACAACAAGAAGAAGAAGAUGAAGAAGAAGAUUUCUUUUCUUCUCUUUCUUUUUCUCCUCUCCUCUUCUUUAUCUUCUUCUUCUUCUAACUAAGGUAGGUAAAAAUGCCAUUUUAUUGCUAAGCUAGGUAAAAAUGCUAAGUGUAGGUCAUUUUAGAGCUAAGCUAGGUAAAUAGGUCAUUUUGGAGCUUAGUAAUGUUAUUAUGUCAUUUUCGAGGAAAAUAAGCUAAGUCUAUAUCAUUUUGGAGGUAACAAAGAUUAUCAUGCCAUUUUUGACCUAAGUAUGUCAUAAAUGAACUGAAGAAGCUAAGUAUAGCUCAUUUUUUGUCUAACUUAGGUAAUUAUGCCAUUUAGGAGGAAAGUAAGCUAAGUAUGCAUUUGUUAAGCAAAACACUAGACAAAACUUACCCUCAUCACAACAAAUGCGAUGAACAUCGCAACUAAGGUAACAAUUGAUCCAACGGCAUAAUGAUAUCUCAUUAUCAAUGGCAUAUUUUCUAAUCUUCUUAAUAUUCAAGCGCAUUGCAUCCAUCUUCAAGCGCAUUGCAUUCAUCUUCAUCUUGUGAUCAUCUACGACAUCGGCAACAUACAACUCCAAUGUCAUCUUCUCUUCUUCAAUUCUUUUAAUUUUUUUCUUUCAAAUACUCAUUUUCUUUUUCCACUAAAUUUAACUUCUCAACAAGAGGGUCGGUUUCAAAUUCCGGUUCACAUACCUCCUAGAUUAAAAUAUCCCUAUGUCAAUUUGAUGGCCAUAAUUGUCAUAAAUGCGAAAUGCAACAAAUAGUUAUGAAAGAGAAUUUACCACAUCCGAAUCAUAAAGCGGGCGAGGGCCGACGCGGACGGACAUCAAGACCAUGGCACUAUGUAUAAGAAACAAUCAUACAAAGUAAGAAAAUUAUACAAGUAACUAUAUAAAUCAUACAAUCAUACAAGUAACUAUAUAAAUCAAGUACAACAUAAAAAAUUGAAUACCUAAUAAUAAUCUGGAUCGUCGGGUUCAAUAAAUGCUCCGGGAGCAAUAAAUGCAUCAUCAUCACUAUCGGUAAUGACGUGCUCAUCAUCAUCAUCAUUAAUAAAUGCAUCAUCAUGUGGAAGGCCACCUUUACGUAAUCGGUCAAGCAUUGACAGGUCAUCCGUAGCAGUAACCUCUUCUAGUUCAGGCUCUUCUUGUUCCAGCUCAGGGGUGAAGUCGGGUUCACUGUCGCUGUCUACUUCAAUGUUCUGGGGUGAAGUAGAGCGGUUCUUGAAACGUUUCUUGGAAAGAUGUGUUUCUUGGAAGAAUUCUCCUUCAUAUGUGUCUGGGUUAAUGUGAGGUUCAUAAUCCUCUUCAUUGGGGGGGGGGGGUUGUAUAACACGUGGCGGCACUUCAUAAACGACAUCCCAACCAUUGAGAUUUGGAUCAUUUUGACAGGCGCACUGUAGAUAGAAAACUUGGGUUGCAUGUUGAGCCAUAAUAUAGACAUCGGGAACAUCCAAAUGGGUGCUUUGUUUGAUUUCCACUAGCCCUAAGUGUUCAUGAAUCCUUCUAGUCUCCGUCGGCUGGAACCAAUAACAUUUGAAGACUACGACGUUUGGUGGGUUUGCACCAUAGAAUUGAAGUUCAUAAAUUGCUUCAACUCUUCCAUAAUACUCGGUAUCUCCUUCGCCGAUAGCAGAGACACACCAAUUUGUAGACUUUCGGUCGGCCAUAGAUAGCUCUUUGCCAUAGGUACGAAAGCGAUACCCGUUGAUGUCGCAUUUGUCAAAUGAACGAACCUUAAAGUCAAAACCACUAGCGACUUGUCUCAAUUCGGCGUCCAUUAACUCUGAAAUUAGCCUACAAGUUUAAUACGAAAGGGAUUGUUGCAUUAGCCACAAAUUAGACGAAGAAAUGAAAUGGUCUAAUGGAAAUUGCCAUUUGUUUGAACCAAGAGAUGAAACCGGGAUAGCCGCCUCCAUGCUUUGCCAGAAGCUCAUACUCUUCGACAGAAUCCUUUUGGAUCACCGCUCCAUACGAGAAUUUGGCGACGUAUCGACUGUAUCAAAUUUAUCCGGGAAUAAGAGCAGUUCAAAGGAAUUAGAAGUUGUGAAACAAUGUACCGAGAACUUACUCGAUGUACGGCGACACUUCUGUUAAGUUGGUGAAGAUAUACAACGAAAUGAUCUGCCAUUCUUUGAAAUCCAACAUUAAGGAAUUAGAAGCACCGUCUUGUGCGAGAUCCCCUUUGCAUAGGCUGAGGUCGGAUCCACCCUUGUUAGGGUCGUCAGCAUUGUACUGAGGCUUCGGAUUAUGCAAAUGACGAUUUUUGGCUUCGUAGUGUGCUGUCACGAAGUUUGCCGCCUCCUCAGUAAUGAAUGCCUCAGCCAUCGAUGCUUAAAUUCUACGUUUAUUUUUACAUCUUGCUCGUAGCGUCUUCUGCAUCCUCUCAGUUGCGUAGCACCAACAAUUUUGCACGCCCCCCCAAUCUUGCCUCGGUUGGGAGAUGCAAAAUCAAGUGCUGCAUUGGAUUAAAGAAGCCCGGCGGAAUGAUCUUCUCUAACUUGUAGAUCAACUCCAGUGCCAACUCUUCCAUUUUUUCUAGUAGGCCAGGCGAUAGUUCUUUCGCACAAAGAACAUAGAAGAAAUAGCUCAGCUCUGCUAGUACUAGCCAUUCAUCCUCAGGGAUGAAGCCACGCAACAUCACCGGCAUUACCCGCUCAAUCCAUAUGUGCCAAUCAUGACACUUGAGACCAAAUAUCAACGUCAGGAAAAUGUUUUUUCUUUGCAUAAUCUGUCCGGGGGGGAUUGAGUGGAAAGACAAAUAUGGGCCAACAACUGUAUUGGGAUGCCGUCAGACCAAACACACUGAACCCAUCCAUGCUGAUGCCGACUCGAGGAUGCCUUGGAUCUGCCGCUUUGUCAUCAUGUAAUGCAUCGAAGCGCUUCCAUGCUUCACCGUCCAAUGUGUGCACCAUCAUCAGCUUCCCAUUUGCAUCUAGUUGGGCUCUUUUGCCCGUUUUGUGCCAUGUCAUCUGUCUGGCCGUCUCUUCGACCAUGAAAAGACGUUGAAGUCUUGGUACGGUUGGCAUAUACCGAAGAACAUUAACGGGGAUUUUGGUCUGCGUCUUAUCACCCAUACCGUUGUCUACCACAACAUACCUGGAUGACUUGCAAAUGGGACAAUAGUUCAAGUCUGCAUACUGAAGCCUAAAUAAGGCACAUCCUUUCUCACAGGCAUGUAUCUUCUCAUAGGGCAUCUUAAGAGCACGGAGGAUUUUGUCUGACUGGUACAGGUUUGCAGGUAGUACAUGGCCUUUGGGUAGGAAACAUACAAAUACUGUCAUCAUUGCGUCGUACCAUUCUCUGCCCAAGUUGAAUUGAGCCUCCAGAGCUAUUAUUUGUGAGAUGGCAUCCAGCUGACAAAGCUCAGUGUGCUCGUGGAGAGGACGUUUUGAAGACUCCAACAUUUCAUUGAAGGCCUUUGCAGAUUCCUCCAUCUCAUUGUCCGAGCCCCGAGCAUCAUCAAAGUCUUGUACCAUGUCUUGCAUCCCGGUACCAUGCUCGUUGGUGCGACGAUGAAGCACCUCAGCUCUGGCAUGUUGGGCAGACUCGCAUGAAAUGUCCACACCGUAUAAUCUGGCGUAAAACCCCUCUUCUGCAGGUGUUUGCCCAUUUCUUCCUCUGUCCUCUUGUGCCAGUUGUUGCACCCGGCACAUGGGCACCAUGUUGUCCUCUGGCCAUUUGCAAAUGCGGCUCUCAGAAACCCCUUGGUUUUGUUAACCAUUCAAUGGUGAUGUCUUUCUGACUAGUGUGACCGGUGUACAUCCACGCACGAUCACUCAUCUUGCCUAGGUAUUGGACACAUAAGAAAUAUAUAUAUAUAUAUAUAUAUAUAAAUGAGCAUGUAUAUAUUCAUCAGUUAAUGGAGUUUGUCACUUUUAUUAUGUCCAUGCAACCUAGAUGCUAAUAGGUAAAGAUAGGUCCUAAUCCCACCCGAGUAUGUGUAGAUUGGGUUCAUUUUCCCACGCUCUGCUCCGGAUUCGGCAGCACCUCCCCGCCAUUCUCCUGAUACAUGUCUCGGCAAUAAGCAAAAAUGAUGUGUACCCGGAGAACAACAGGGAGGCAGUGACAAAAUUCUACAUCGGAUCCAGAGCAGACCUUAUGGGAAAACGAACCCAAUCUACACAUACUCAGGCUGUCCAUGGAUAACGUUGGACAAUUCGAAAGAACUACGGUUAUAAAUAUGCAAAUGCAUGCAUAUUUAUAGAUGUAACCCUUUCGAACGGGAGACGCAUAGUGGUCACACAUACUGAUGAUUGAAGACACCUAUAACUAGAAAGUUUCAUCGGCACAAAGACCGGAACAGAGCAAAUGAAGGGGCGAGGAGGAGAUGUCAUUUGUGCUCACCCACGAACCAGGGGCGGAGCUCGUUGAACUAGACCCCCGCAGCGACGAAAAAACUGCACAUUUAAAUCAAAAGAUGAGUUGUAACAUCCCAGAUUUUCAAUUUGGAAUGUUAUACAUUAGAUCAUCAUUGCAUAUCAUAUUUAUUGCAUUUUGGCUAGAUCCUAGAAAGUCUACGCAACUCAAGGACCCACAGGAGAGAGUUGGGGAUUUCGUUAUUUUCAAAUUUGGGUUUUCUCAAAUUUUGAAAAUAGGAUCAUUUGAUUUGAUUUAUUUUAUCUUCAAUUAUUCCAAUUAUAAAAAUAUGAGAGAGGGAAUAAAAUGACUUUCCCAAAAUAAAGGAAUAAUGAGGAUUUUUAAAAAAUCAAAUAAGAUUUUAUUUUGGAGUUUUUCGCUAUUUUAUUUGGAUAGGAAAAACAUGCGCGUUUUUUAAAAUUGCAUUUAGGCCCCAAAUAAAUGUUCAUCUUGUCCGGCUUGAUUUUAGAAGUCGAGGAAAAUUUAUUUCGGGAUUUUUGGAGUUAGUUCAGUAUUCUUUUGUUUUUCUCUGCGUAUUUAUUAAAAAAACGAAACCGACUAUGGGCCGUGUUCGGCCAGGACUCCGCCUGGCCGGGUCCUUUAUAAGUCGCGGCCCGACCCCGCCGUUGGCCCAAGCCGCCGCCGCCCCCAAACCCUAACCCUAGCCAGACCCCGCCGCCCGCCGGAUCCGCCACCGCCGCCGAUGUCNNNNNNNNNNNNNNNNNNNNNNNNNNNNNNNNNNNNNNNNNNNNNNNNNNNNNNNNNNNNNNNNNNNNNNNNNNNNNNNNNNNNNNNNNNNNNNNNNNNNNNNNNNNNNNNNNNNNNNNNNNNNNNNNNNNNNNNNNNNNNNNNNNNNNNNNNNNNNNNNNNNNNNNNNNNNNNNNNNNNNNNNNNNNNNNNNNNNNNNNNNNNNNNNNNNNNNNNNNNNNNNNNNNNNNNNNNNNNNNNNNNNNNNNNNNNNNNNNNNNNNNNNNNNNNNNNNNNNNNNNNNNNNNNNNNNNNNNNNNNNNNNNNNNNNNNNNNNNNNNNNNNNNNNNNNNNNNNNNNNNNNNNNNNNNNNNNNNNNNNNNNNNNNNNNNNNNNNNNNNNNNNUGUUGCCAGCGCCGCCCGUCCCGACGCCCGACACCGCCACCCGCCGACCCCGCCGAAGCCCGCCGGAGCCGCCGCCCCUCGCCGAGGUAGCCGCCGGAGUUGUUGCCGCCACCGGCGGUUUUCUCUAGAAAACCGCCCGGUUUUUUUAAAACUGUGGUUGUUUUUAUUUUUUUAGAUCGGUUUAUUUUUUUCUUUUUUCUCGGUUUAGUUAAUUAGCGAGCGUUCGCGCGUUCGUUCGUUUUAACGAACGUAUUCAUCGUUUAGUUACAGUUAACGAACGUUCGUUCGAUAAACUGUUCAUCAGUUUUUCUUUUUCUCGGAUUUUCCGCGAUUAUUCCAGAUCGCGAUUUCUGAUCCGAUUUUCGUUCUAGUAUAUCUUUUCGCUCGUUUAUCGGAAUCAGGUGAUUCAAGCGCCUAGAGUUUCGUCUUGAAAUUUUCUUUCCGUUUAACCAACUCAAACAAGUUUUUGCUAAUGUAAAAUUUGACUUAGAUCCAGAUUAGUAAAUGAAGCUUGUUUCUUUCGCCGUUUGACUUUCGUUGCUUCGUUUGAUUUGAUUCUUUUUGCUAACCGGAGUUCUUAAGUUGAACUUUCUGGUUAGAUCUUUUAUUUGAGUUUUACCUUUGCAUUAUUUGAGUGCUUACUGUAUGCUUGUUUGUUUGCGAUAGAGUACCCGGAGUGCGCCGCUUGCUACUUCGAAUCUCUAGGUUUCACGGAUCAUCAGCAAGGCAAGUAACACUUUGAUCAUACCUCUUUACUACCCAGUUUUAUUGCAUUAGACCAAUCCUCAAACAUUGCAUGAUUAGGAUCUAAUUAAAUUGUGGGUAUUGGGAAGUAGAUGAGGUAGUACCUAUUACCUGUUUUGUUAUCAAACCUUUGGGGAGUUACUUCUGCGUUUGCUCAUAUUGCUAUGCUAUGCUAGUAGACGUGGAUUGGGUGAGUGUAUCCAUGACAGAUGUGAGAUUGUUAAUUUAAUGGUUUACUUAAGGUGGCAACUUAAACACACAUCUGGGUGGAUUGAGGCACCUGGGUAUUCCAGUGAUUGCCUGUUUUCUUUUGGACCGCCACCCAGGCUCAAAGGGAUCAUGAGAUUAUUCAUGCUAGAAACUUCCGUGUGGAGCUACAAGCUAUUAUGGGCUCUAGCAUAGUUGAAUAAGUUGUGUGAACUCUUACAGUGGUAGACUAGCAGAUGUAGGGGAAAGUAGGUGUAACGGUCUACCCGAUCGUAAGGUGCAAACACUUCUGAAAGACUAUGUCUCGGUCAUCCGUCACUCAAACACCAUGUAGUGCGAGUAAUCCAACGGAGGAGAUCGAGUUUUGUGGGGAAAAGUGCACAAACCUAUGCAGAGUGUAUAAACUAAUCAUGAUUAGCCGUGUCCCCGGUUAUGGACAUCUUGAGUAUCUAGUACUUGGAUUAUCAUGUGAAUCUCAUCAUGUUACUCAAAUUAAUUUUGUUGGGUUAAGGAUGAUACUUAAUUGGGAUUGAGAUGCUGUCAACCAUUCUCAAUGUUUAACAACCACCAUGAUAGUUAAAUAAAAUUUAUUCCUUUGUAGUAGGGAAAAAUUGGCUUUUUCGCAAAACUGUAACCAUAGAGCUUAACACCAGCCAAAUAUGCAUGUAGUAUAGCUUUAUUCUGUUCAUUACUCUCUAUGUGUUAUUUUGCCAGCAUAUUCCAUGUGCUGACCCGUUUUCGGGCUGCAACGUUUCAUGUAGCAAACUUUUCAGACGAUGAGUAAGGUGCCUUAGGUCGUGGUCUUAUACUCAGUGAUGCCGUUGGAGUUGAUGGACUCACUUAUCUUCCAAGCCUUCCGCUGUUAUCGUUUUAGAUGGCCUUAAGCCAUAUUUGUCAUACUUAUUUCUCUUUUGAGAUACUCGAUGUAAUAAGUGUGUGAUUGCUACUCUGUUAUAAAUCCUCCAAGUACUGUGCGUGUCUGCAUUGCUGAUCCAGGGAUGACACUGGUGCACGGUAGAUCAGACUGUUUGAGGUCUGGUCGCUACAAGGUGGUAUCAGAGCACACGCUGACUGUAGGACACGACCACUAAGCUUAAACCCUAGAACACUACUCUCUUCUCAUUUCUGACUCCUCUCCAUUUUCUACUCUUUUAGGAAUGGCGGAUGCAAGGAACAAGUUCAUGCAACCGGAUUAAGAUACACCUUUUGGACGACACUUGAAGGAAGUCACUAGAUACCUGAACAUCGGAAUUCCAAGCUUCACUUGAACUUACAAUGCCACACUACCAGAAGAAGAGCGCAGGAUGAUUCAAGUUCAAGUUCCAGGAAGGACGUUCAUGCCAGUCACUGAGCCUAUAGAGUUUUCCUUUGAUGCACCAACCUGGAGUUUAGGGAAGAGCAGGGCAGCCCACAUCACUAUGGGACGCAUUGGAGAAGUCUACCACAGGGAGCUUAAGGAUACUAUUUAUCAGAUUUGUGGGCGCCGAGAUGAGCAAUGGGAGAUGGUCAGCACCAAGAAGGAUAGAUCAAUUGCAGCUUUCAUCCACGAGCAAAACCAACACAUUCGUCGCUAGGAGAACCAAAUGUGCACAGGCAUGAUAGAUCUGAAGAAGGCAUUGACCAAGAUCACGGAGUUGGAGGAAGAACUCAAGGCUACGCGCGAGGAUUAUAUGGAGGAAAUCGUCGCACUGGUGGAGAAGAAUGACGAACUGGAAAAGAAGAUCGGAGUAUUCAUGGGAGACCCAGCACCAGGAGGAGAAGACGAUGAUUACGCUUGCCCGGAUAACUACAUCAUCAUCGAUGACACCAACUCGGACCCCAGUGAAGAUGAUUUUGUUGAUGAAGCUGGAGCAGAGAUCAUGGAGUCUUCGACCGAUCAAAAUUUCUACUAGACCACCAUAAUCAGUAGUAGUAUUCCCCCAUGUAUAUAGUAUAGUCCGAGCACUUUGUAACGAUAGUUAGAUUGAUUGUAUGCCUUGUUUGAAUUUAUUGAGUGAUAUUGAUGUGUUUGUCUCAUGAGCAUAUGGGUAGUGUUUUCUCUCUAGACCUCAUUCUAUUCUAAAUUCUCAUCUUUUCUAAAUCUAUCAGAUGCCUCUGAGAUGCGACACCGGAUUUGUUUUCCCACCGGAGAUCACUCAGUUGAUUCAACAGCAGAAUGCCCUGAUGCAAGUGUUAGUACAGAACCAAGGCAACAACAACAACAACAACAACCCACCGCCACCACCUGUUGAUCACUUAACCCGUUUCUUGAGACCGAAUCCGCCGGUGUUUUCCAGCAGCACCGAGCCGAUUGUUGCAGAUGAUUGGCUCCGCAAAGUUGGAAGGGAGUGGACCACUGCAGGAUGCACAGAUGCGGAGAGCGUGCGUUUUUCCGCACAUCAGCUUGAUGGACCCGCAACAUCAUGGUGGGAGAAUUACACAGCCACACACCCUAUUGACACUGUCACAUGGGACCAGUUUCAGCAAGCUUUCCGUACUGCCCAUGUUUCAGCAGGAGCUAUGGCUACGAAGAAGCGUGAGUUUCGCAACCUACGCCAAGGAGGACGCACCGUAGGCCAGUAUGUGGGGGACUUUAGUAAGUUAGCACGUUAUGCUCCAGAUGACGUUGGUACAGAUGCAGCUAAGCAGGAGAAGUUUCUGGAAGGACUAAAUGAUGAGCUGAGUAUGCAGUUGAUGGUAGCAACCUUCAACAACUACCAGGAGUUGGUAGAUAGAGCUCUCAUGAUUGAAGGGAAGCAGCAGCAGAUUGAAAGCCGCAAGAGGAAAUAUGGACAAGGAAAGUACAAUUCUGGAGCUCAUCAGAAGCCAUGUUUUACCCCAAAUUCGGGAGGACCUUUUCAGCAUACCCAUGGAGCAGGAGGUUCGCACAACCAUAGUGGACCCAAGAAUGGUAUUGGGAAUGGAGGAAGCAACGGACAGAACCGUAAUAACCCAUCUACCCCAGUUAAGAGAGAUCUGAGCCAAGUCACUUGCUACAAGUGCCAGAAGAUUGGACAUUAUGCUAAUGAAUGUCCCGAAGCUAAAAAUGGAAAUGGCAAUGGAAGCUCUGGGAAGAAGCCUAACCCUUUCAAUAAAGGACAUGUGAACCACGUCUACGUGGAGGAGGUUGAAGCACAGCCUGAUGCAGUAAUAGGUAGUUUUUGGUUAAGUCAUUUACUGCACUCGUUCUUUUUGAUACUGGUGCAUCGCAUUCAUACAUAUCAAGGGGAUUUGUGGAUAAGUAUAAACUGCCCACCAAAGUUCUUAGAACACCUAUGUUAGUAAGUUCACCAGGAGCCGAGUAUAUGGCAAGCCAAGGAUGUUUUUAGAUGCCAUUGUCCAUAGGUAGGCAUGUUUUCCCCUCAGACUUGAUAAUCUUGGAAUCGCAAGGUUUGGACGUAAUUUUGGGUAUGGAUUGGCUAUCGAUGUACGGAGGAAACAUCGAUUGCGCCAGUAAAACGAUUUCGCUUACCACCCCAGAAGGAAGAAGGAUUAAGUAUGUAUCCCGGCAUCUGCCGAAGAGGACUCAAGUAAAUUCCUUAUCAGGAGUUGUACAGGAGGAAGUACCAGUGGUGAAGGAUUACCCGGAUGUAUUUCCAGAGGAGUUGCCAGGCAUGCCACUGGAUAGAGACAUUGAGUUUUUGAUUGAGCUUUUGCCAGGCACAGGGCCAAUAUCAAAGAGACCGUACAUGAUGCCCGCAAAGGAUUUAGAGGAAAUUAAGAAGCAGAUUAAGGAGUUACUGGAUAAAGGCUAUAUUCGCCCAAGUUCUUCACCUUGGGGUUCGCCAGUGCUUCUAGUGGAGAAGAAGGAUGGAUCGUUAAGGAUGGUUGUUGAUUAUCGAGGAUUGAAUGAAGUGACCAUAAAAAAUAAGUACCCACUGCCGAUGAUCAAUGAUCUGUUUGACCGAUUACAAGGAGCUAAGGUAUUUUCCAAGAUCGAUCUACGAUCAGGAUACCAUCAGUUGAAGAUUCGAGAGCAGGAUAUACCUAAGACGGCUUUUACCACCGGGUAUGGGCUGUACGAGUAUACCGUUAUGUCAUUUGGUCUGACUAACGCACCUGCCUAUUUCAUGAACCUGAUGAACAAAGUGUUUAUGAAGUUUCUGGAUAAGUUCGUCGUAGUAUUCAUUGAUGAUAUUUUGGUUUACUCAAAGAAUGAAGAGGAACAUAAGGAGCAUUUGCGUUUGGUACUUGAGAAGCUCAGAGAACAUCGGUUAUACGCCAAGUUCAGCAAAUGUGAGUUUUGGUUGAAGGAAGUUGGAUUCCUCGGACACGUUAUAUCCGGAGAAGGAAUAGCAGUAGACCCCACCAAGGUUGUCACUGUGACAAAUUGGGAAGCACCCACAUCAGUUGGAGAGAUCCGGAGUUUUCUUGGACUUGCAGGAUACUACCGGAGGUUCAUUGAGAAUUUCUCGAGGAUUGCUAAGCCCAUGACAGAGUUGUUGAAGAAGGACACCAAGUUGAAUUGGACUGAGGAAUGUGAAGCUAGUUUCCAAGAGUUGAAGAAACGUUUGGUUACAUCACCAGUGUUGAUUCUGCCAGAUCAACGCAAGGAUUAUGAAGUAUAUUGCGACGCUUCACGUCGAGGACUUGGAGCAGUGCUAAUGUAGGAGGGAAGAGUUGUUUCAUAUGCUUCACGACAACUUAAACCCCAUGAGAAGAAUUAUGCCACGCAUGAUUUGGAGUUAGCAGCCGUAGUGCAUGCGUUGAAGACAUGGAGACAUUUUCUCAUCGGAAAUCACUGCGAGGUGUACACGGAUCACAAGAGUUUGAAGUACAUUUUCACGCAAAGGGAGUUGAAUCUCAGGCAGAGGAGAUGGUUGGAACUCAUAAAAGAUUAUGAUAUGAGAUUGCAUUAUCACCCCAGAAAGGCUAACGUAGUAGCCGAUGCGUUGAGCCGCAAAAGUCAUGUCAACACACUCAUGAUCGGAGAAUUACCCAAGAAGUUAGCCGAGGAUCUUCGUGAACUACGUUUGGAAAUAGUUCUGAGAGGCUAUGUAGCAACAUUGGAGAUUCAGUCUACCUUGAUGGAAAAGAUCAGGGAAGCUCAGAAGACAGACAAGGGGAUUGAGGAGAUAAAGAAAAGGAUGAGUAAAGGAAAAGCCAAGGGAUUUCGUGAGGAUGAGCACGAUACCUUAUGGUUUGAGGACCGCGUUUAUGUGCCCAAUGAUCUGGAGAUCAGGAAGUUGAUCUUGCAAGAGGCCCAUGAUUCGCCGUAUUCGAUUCACCCAGGAAAUACCAAGAUGUAUUUGGAUUUGAAUGAUACUUUCUGGUGGACCGGAAUGAAGAAGGAUAUUGCGGAGUAUGUAGCAGUUUGUGAUGUAUGUCAGAGAGUGAAGGCAGAGCAUCAGAAGCCAGCAGGAUUGCUACAGCCAUUGCCGAUACCCGAAUGGAAGUGGGAUAAACUAGGCAUGGAUCUUAUCACGGGAUUGCCCAGGACUCGUUCAGGCUAUGACUCGAUAUGGGUUGUAGUCGAUCGUUUGACGAAGGUAGCUCAUUUCAUCCCAGUGAAGACCACUUACACCAGUGCUAAGUUGGCAAAGAU
RNAcentral lists this long non-coding RNA (91767 nucleotides) under Triticum aestivum (bread wheat). Its description in RNAcentral is "long non-coding RNA (TAES_LNC004866)". The record is from RNAcentral. Lineage: Eukaryota; Viridiplantae; Streptophyta; Magnoliopsida; Poales; Poaceae.